Molecule: long non-coding RNA, 148455 nt
Filed under: Triticum aestivum (bread wheat)
Lineage: Eukaryota; Viridiplantae; Streptophyta; Magnoliopsida; Poales; Poaceae
Description: long non-coding RNA (TAES_LNC007520)
Rfam family: MIR1120/MIR1122 microRNA precursor family (bases 9826-9959)
Source: RNAcentral
AGCAGCAACAGGAUAUAACCAAAAAGGGUACAGUAGCAUAAUUCACAGUUUGUAAGAAGGAACUCAGCUACAAAAACAUCAUGUUUGCCACAAAAAAAAAGAGUAUGAUACAAACACAUCAUGUUUAUCUUGUAGUACAUCUGACGGGUUGCCUUUUUCAAAGACAAGCAGCUGAAUUAGUCACGGAAAACUAAAGUCAUGUCUUUCUUCAACUGUGUAUUUAUAAAGAAUGUCAACAGGUAACCAAUUAGGCACAAAGGAAGCAAACACAUUAGAUAGGAAAAAGGUUGAUCAUAUAUAUCAGUAUGACCGCUAGGUGGAUAUAUUCCCGGUCAAUGGCAAGACCAUAAUACUCACCAAAAUUAGUAAAAAUAAUAGCGGCAAGUAUCCGACCAUUGUAUCAGAGGCUCACAUAUCUGGUUAAAUUCUGAUACUUGGAUUUAACAACCCACAAAGCCAUAAUCAAGCUAACUAUACCAUAAUGCAUCAGAUAAUAAUAAAGGAGUAAUUAUUUGAAUUACAUCUCAAAUAAUAUUCUGCCGGAUUAAAGGAAGUACAUUUGAUUUGAUCAAAUACAGAUAAAUAUGUGCAAUAAAAGUGUAGAAUAGUUGAAAAGAUCAGGAGCGGACGGACUCACAUGUCAUUGUAAAGUGUGACAGGUUGAUGGAACAGAAUUCAACUCAUACCAAAUUAAUGAUAUCAGCUUAAUGACCAUCGCGCGGCACAAAAGGUAUCUACCAUGUGCUUGGGAUGGCAAUCCUAGAGAAAGCAAUCAGCAAGGUUUAUUUUCCUUAAACUCUGUUGUUUUCAUAACAUCAGAUAAAGCAGCAACUUAGAGAAUCAUAAAAUGCAAUCAGUUACAUCAGGUAAUCAUAAGCUCAUAGCACAUAUAACUAUAACCUUCUAUACCAUCCUAUCAUGUUAUCUUCAGGUGAAAUAAAAUGAAUGUGAAGUCUUUUCAGUAAGCCUACUAUUAAAACAAAUGAGGGGAAGUUAAUAGUGCACAUGUAAAAGUAUAGUUGUGAGUAAGAAGUACGUGUACAGUCAGCUUGUGUAGUCUCUUUCCCUUCAACGUAUCAGGGUAAACUGAGACAUAUUUUGGUUAUGCAUAUGGCAAUAGGGGCUGAGGAAAGGAAAAAACAGCUGGGCAGAAAAAGAAAUACAAGGGCGCUUGCGACCACACCGCCCAGCCACACGCGAAGCAUCAGCCAUCUAGAAGAAAAAUUUAAACAGCCAACCAUCACGAAACCAAGUAGAGUCAACAAAGGGUGCUUGGGUGCACAAAUGGCUACCACUAAUGAAUGGACAAUAGAAGCUGAACAAACUUAACAAAUUUCAGUGCGUGAGCAUCCAGACGCAAGCAAGGCAGUCUAAUCUUCUUCAAUAUUCCCCUCACAUGAAAACACUCACAGAUCUCUAAAGGAAGCAAUCGCAAUUUCUGACCGAAUUAAUAACGAGGCGUCAAUCCCCUGUCCCAAUCCACCAAACCUCAUGCAAACGCAUAAAUCGAUCCCACCGGCAGCCCCCAAAAUCGAGACCCAGAAAACCUAAGUUGGAACAAAAGGGAGGGGAAAGUACCAACCGGUCAACCACAGCCAGAACCAGGGCAAGACGCCGCAGGACAGACCAGGCGACAGCAAGAGGAAGAUGAUACGGAGCAGGGCCACGUUGCACAGACACCCUCCGCCACCAGAGAGAACAUACGCUGCAUUUGCCGGGCGCAGCCGUGAUCCCUCGUUUCCCAUCCUGCCACAACGACACUUGAAAGGAAAAAAUGCUAGAGUCUGGCAGGUGGGCCGCCCAGAGAGGAAACAAAGUCCAGAAGCGGACAGAGUUGGCCCACACCCUCCCCAAUGGCCCGACACAGGAGAGAGCCCCUUUUCCAGGGAGCAUAGUAACUGUAGGGAUGAACCAAACCCUGACAGCUAUUAUCUUUGCUAACAAAAUCUUGCGCAACUGAUUUGCCCCUUUUUUUGUAGCAAAUAUUCCUUGACAAAUUUGUCUAUCCUAAGAAAUAAGAAAUUCACCAUCUCAAUGCGAAGAAUGAUCUUUCAGGGUGACAUAAAAAUUUGUUCAUAACUUCCACUACCAUGACACAUGCACCAAUGCAUAGUUUGAAAGCACCUUCAGGACCACAAAAUUAAGCCAACAGAGCAUGAUCAGGUUUUGCAGCACAUAUGCAGGAUUAAGGGUUCGAUAUCUUCUGUAAAAGCUAAGCAUCAUGUGGCACAUUUCACAGGCAGUAAUGCAUGAUUAGCAGCACAGAUACAAGAUUAAGGGACACCUUUUUUCCUGUUUAAUUAGUGUUUAAGUACUCCAACCAAAUCCAUGAAUCAAGGAUCAGAAUAACAGCUGCACAACACAAGGACCUCAUAUGCAUCGUCAAAAAGAAGUGCACAUCACUAAAGCAUCAACCGAUUAAACCCAGAUUGCACUUUCCUGCCCGAUUUGUUUUCCUUUCUAGGGAUCGGUAUGAUUGAUUAACAAUGCUCCUGUCUAAAGAAAAACAAUGUUACACCACAAAAGAACUCUGCACAGAUAAUUUGCAGUAAUCAAAAUAUCUAUAACACAAAACAAAUGAACAAUAAUAUGCACAUUAGUAGAUCCUCCGUGAGCUUAAAUUCGAUAAACAAAAAAAAACACAAAAUUGAGUAGUGCCAACAAAAAGUGGCCGCAUGAACAAAAAAUCAUGCAGGAACUUGAUAAAACCAAGUACUCUGCUACCAGAAGAUUCAAAGAGUAGUACAAAAAUUGACUAUUCCCAUGGGAUGUGGCAAGAACCUGCCUGCAGCAAUUAAAAAUUCAGAACCAUCAAACACAUAUGCUCAUCAUUCAGAAAAAAAUAUCCACAUCAUACACGACGACAUGAAUUUUUGAUUACUCAAUUCUACCAAAAGCCUUCGAUAGGUCUAUUUUUAACAUAAAUGCUUUAUGUUUCCACAAGGACAAUUGGAUUUCUUGGGCAAUAAUAACAUUAUUUGAAAUUCUCCUACCCUGGAUAAAAGCUUGCUGAUUUUCAUGAAUAUGAUCAGGGAGGUGAUCUUUAAGCCUAUUUGCCAAAGUUUGACGAUUACAAGCUACAUUGCAUAUGCUAAUGGGUCUAAGGUCUUAGGGAGAAUUAGCAUUAACUUUUUUUCGGAAUAAGAGCAAUGUAGGUUUUGUUUAAACUAGGAUGAAGGCAUGAAGCAUACCUUGGCUGUAGAAAGUUUGAACCAGUUUGGUGAUGUUGUCUCCAAUCCAAUUCCAAGCCAAAAGGAAGAAAGCCACAUUAAGUCCAUCUGGUCCAGGUUCUCAAAUAAAAAAGUGAAAUCACUUUAAAAUAAUCACAAGUUCUCAAACUUAGAAGGUUUGUUAUAUUUAACAGCAUCCGGUUGGGAAAUGGUAAAAAUAGGAGCAUGGUCACUGUACGGGGAGUUAUAAACAGUAGUGUUGGAAAUCUAUGACAGCAUCCAGCAUUAACAAAGCACCAAUCCAUCAUCCGGAAACAAGAAAUGAAUUCGAAUUUUUGGAUAACGAAUCCUUCUAAUCCAGUCUAUCUACUGUCUUUUUGAGGAGCCAGAGGAAAUGCAUCUCAAGUUUAUCCCGCUAACUAGUUUGGCCAAAGGUUGAAACAACCUCACAAAACUCAUACUACAUCUCGACCUCCUUCUCAGUUCUCACUUGAAGCACUUAAGAAUCGCAGUGAAAACAGGAACCAAGCGAGAGAGCAACUUGUACAGCUUCUCAACCUUGUCGCACAUGGUAACUAAGUAGGCAGCCUCCGGGUUUUCCUUUGUGGCUAGAUAGCCAACCCCGAUACAGAAAGCCAUGAUACCAAGGUGGAAGCAGUUUCUCUUCACUUCGCCCCACACCUUUGGCCACCAUGGGAUCCAACUCGGCGAUUCCCUGGCGUCGGGCGGUGGAGGCAGAGAUGCGUCGGGCGGUGGAGGCAGAGAGGCGUCGGGCGGUGGCGGCAGCGAGGCGUCGGGCGGAGGCGGCAGCACGUCGGGCGGAGGCGGCGGCGCCUCGGGUGCACACCGCGAGGGGAGACGACGCGUAACCCGCAUCCCUCUUGCUGCGUGAGCGAGAGAGGAAGGGGAACUAUGAGGGGAGGGUGGAUGGACCUCGACAGAUGGAGGAGGAGAGGGGGAGGGGGGAGGCGGAGUAACCUGCGAGGCCGGGGCGCGCGACGGUCGAGCGCAAGGUGAUGAAGCGGACGACGGUGGCCCGCGGCGCCACGACGUAGGGACCUGCAUUCGCAGGCACGAUCCGGACGAGGGACAUCGCAGGCAGAUGUGGCGGCGAGGUCGCCGGCGAACUGCGCUUCUGCGCCGCCGCGGCGAACUCCCCCCCUCCCCCCUCUCCUUUUUUGCACAAAUGACCCUGAGCGCGAUCCUUUUCCUAUUUAGGGAUUUUCUUUUCUAUGGAUAUAAAUUGCAGGUUUUUUCUAUUUCUCCUUUCCCUGGUAUUUUAAGGCGCUGCUCUUUAACAAGCCGAGAGUUCCAAAUCAACACAAAAGGGAAAAACGUAGGGAUUGAGUUUUGUUUCCCCGCGAAGUGUUUUCCUCUCCUGUGCAAAGCGACCUCUCUGUCAUCGGUGGUGAGGGGGUCGCCGGAUUCCACGCGUGCGGAUUAGAUAGCUUUAGGUUUUAAGCCUCGGUAGUUUAGGCUUCAGGUCGCUAGACGUCUUGGCUUUGGCGGUGACGACGGCAACACCUAAUAAAGAAGCUUCAAUUCCUCUGGCGACGAGGCGGUCAACUCUAUAUCAUGGGGGAUGGAUUUGGGAGCUAGCCUGUUCAAGCGGGGAUGUUGUGGCGGCGGCGACGACAUCCUUGUGAUGACUUGUAUUCUCGGGCUCUGCCGUUGCGAUGACGUCUGCUCCAGCGUCGACCCAAUUCUUGGGAGAUAGUGAAGGAGCGGAUGCAGAUUGUGGUCUGCAUCAACGACUUCUAGGAAGCGGAUCGUGUGCUCGGUUCGUGGUUGAUGACUGGCAUAUAUGGUUUGCUCCUCCGGUGUCUUAGUUGUGUUGGGGGUGCCAAAUCUGUAAUUCGACGGCGUGUCCGGAGUGUUGCCCUGGUUUGAUUCGUUCAAAGAUAAUGGCUUCGUCUUUGGUGAGCCACCUUGAAAGUUCGUAAAGUUGCAAUUAAUGGUAGAGCAGCGUCAAACUCGGGUGAGAAGGUGAUCCAUCUUUUUUUUUUCUUUGGUAGCUGUUGUGGUUGUGUCAGAGGUAGGUGGCCGACGUUGGUAUUAAGCAUAGGAGAUUCUUCGAUCUUGAUUGUAAUUUUCUCUUUUGGCUGCUAUUUCUUCAUGCAAAGGCUAGCGUUUCGCUGUCUUGUAAGUUUUGCUAGGUCGAUUUUUCACGUGACUUAUACUAUGAUCUUUAUGAUAUACUAGCACAUAUGCCAAUGCAUUGCAACGGGAGAGAUUUUUUUCUGCGAGAAGCAACAGGAGACAUAAUUGAUGUGUCCACCAAAAACGGUCUCCACAGCGGUGGGCGACAAAGCGUCGAGCUCCCGUCUUCUCAUGGGUCAUGUUUGGCGCCAGAGGUCUUAAUAGUGGGAUUGGUCGGCGUGGCGGCGACCACCUAACUCGUUGUUUUUUCCUCUGGGUCCACCUCUGCCUCAGGAUUGUGGCUGACUCCUUAUUUGAUUGCUGCAUGGUGACCUCCGGGGCACGGUUGCUUUGACCACUCUCUCCUACGAUGACGUAACUGAAUAAAUUAUCAAUUGCAGCGCAUAAAUCUCAUUUUAUUAGCAUAAUCAGCGCAUAACCAGGCAUUAAUGUUCCUUCUUUAUCAUGGUUUAUUCUCUUUGAUUAUUCUAGUGCUCACGUGCCCACAAUUUUUAAAUUAAGGCAAACCAUCGUAUUCUCCUUUUUUGGCGUGUGCUCGUAAUUUCUUUCAAUUAUAGCCAACCAACAUAUUCUCUUUCAUCGGCACGUGCAAACUAUCACCAGCAAUAAUUUAUAGUCUCUCGUUUUGCUCAUGAUUCUGAAGACAACUUCCUUACUUUCAGACAACCUCCUUAUUUUCAGACAACCUAGGAACAUAUAAAAACUGGUGUGAUUUAGUAUAAAGCUUCAAAGUGGGACUAUUCCUAUCAUAAUUGCAAGCUAGCUGAGUUGGUUUUGUCCAUCGGCGCAAUAGGGAAUGUCCAUAGUUCAAUCCCCUCGCGUUUUAAAUUUUUUGUUGUUCGUCCAUCUGACAAAAAAAGAAAUGUGUGGUAGGCUCAAUUCGAUCCACCCAGGGGACAAACAAAACAAAUUCGGGAACUACGUGCGGAAUGGAUGGAACAAACUCUAUAUGUAUAUUUUUACUUUUUCUUGGGCCACCUGCAUGGGAGCUACUAUAUGAUGCUAGUUGCAUCAAAUAGCGUGUGAGACACACAACAGUUCGUGUUGGGCCAUCCCGCUGGAAGGCACUGAAUGACAUGUGUUUGUAAGGCACGAAUAAAUUUCCAAAAAAGCGACAUGUUGAAUGAUUGAACUCAAGACCUCAAAGAACCAACCACGUGUUGCUAGCCACUAGAUCAAACACGUAAUGCUAACCAGUGGCCAGAUAUUUAAGAACAUACUGCAACGUUAGAUUAAAAAAAUUAAUUUUUUAAACUUUUCAAACAAAAAAUAAUUAUGAAUUGCCGAAUAUUCUUGCAAACAUGAACAAUUUUUAAAUUACAUUUUUUUGUAAAAUUCUGAAUAUGUUUUGAAAAACAUGAACAAAAUUUGAAACAAGAUCUUUUUAAAAAUUUACAAACAUUUCUUGAAAACAUGAAGCCUUUAUGAAAACACAUUUUUUAAAAAUUUUGAAUAAUUUCUUCAAACAUGAAUAUAUUUUGAACAUUUAGAACAAUUUUAGAAAAUGUGUACUUUUAAACAUGAACAUUAUUUUGAAUUUGUAACACAUGAAUUUGAAAAUCUUGAUUUUUAUUGGAAAAUGCAAACAUUUUUUUGCAUUUUGAAUAAAUUUUGAAAUGAGGAAAAAAUUUAAAGUCCCAAACGUUUUUCAAAUCUGGAACACAAUUUUGGAAUUCUGAGUUUUUUUGAAAAUUUGAACAAAAAAUGAAAUUCUUAUUUUGAAAAUUUUGAAUUGGCCAAAAAAGGGAAAACAUAAAAAUAAAUUUGGAAGAGAAAAAAGGAGAAAGAAACAGGAAUGGAAAAGAGAAAAAACGGAAAAAGAGAAAAUAGAAACAGAACAGAGAAAAAACGGAAGGGUCGGCCCUGUCUUGGGCGCCUUUUGCGAAGCACCUAUUAUUUGCCGCGCCGUGCGACAAAGAGUUUCCUAACUGUGUGGGCAGAUAAAUAAGUGGGCUGGUUUCGCUGAGCUAUAGUGCGCGCAACCCACAUUCAAAUCAUGGAGAUGGACGCACAAAAUUUUAAUAUCACCUUGGAUAGAAAAAAAUCGACGACGAACAUAUGCAAAAAUCAAAGAAACACAACUUGCUUUAUUUUUAGUAGGUAGGUAUAGAUAUAGAUAUAAAUAUAGUUUUGUUUCCCCAUCUAGGGUUUUCUUCCUCUCAGACAUAGAUCACCUCUAUAGAGAGUUCCUUUUUCACUUCAAUUUGUGUUCAUCUUCUCCUUGACAUCGAUGUUUAAGCUGAGUAAAUUGUAUGGUGCUGCAUUUACAUGUGAGUACUGGUGAGGAAAUGUGUAUGUAUUUUGCUUUCAAGUUUAUAGAAUGAGCUGGUAUUUCCCUCUCAUUUAUGAUGAAUGCCCUACCUCAAGUAAGAUAUCUUAUAUAGCUUGUUCUUUUGUUAGAACGAAGGCUCAAGAAGAGUUCGAAUUUGAAUUAAUAAAGCCAUCAACCGGCCAGGAGUACAAGAACUAGGCCACCAAACUACAACGGCUGAAAGGUACAAGGGAGUUGUUAGGACAAUUUAGAAAGCUACACACAACCAGCAAACAGAGAAUUAUAGAACAACUAGUUGAGUAGAAGCCCUUUGCUCAAAGGCACCUAAAACGACUUCGGAUGAAGCCUCGAGGAUCAGCAAACCGCCUAAAGGAGUCGAGCACAAGACUGAAACCAGGGGCUAGAGAUGUCUAAGACACCUGCCUCCGCAAACGUCAAAGGGGAUCCCUUCCCUCGCUCACGCUCAAAGGUGUUGUUGGAAAUAUGCCCUAGAGGCAAUAAUGUUGUAUUAUUAUACUUCUUUUUUCAUAAUUAAGAAUUUUUAUUUUAUGCUAUAAUUGUUAUGAUCCUGGAAUAUGCGAUUCAGUGAAAAACUCAUAUGCACGUGUGGAAUGAUAAACGGUAAAAUAAGAUUCCUAGUCUCGUCUCUAAGACUAGCUCAAGUGUUGUUGGUGAUCACGUUUUUGAGAUCUUACGAUAUUGUUAAGUGUAACGAUAGUCCCAAAACAACAUUGAGAGUAUGACGUUAGAAAAAUGAUCAUAUCGAAACGACCUAAACGUGUUUGUUAUACUUUGAGAUAAUAUCAUCAUAAGUCAAUUGUUAUAACACGGAGUGUUAACAUGUGUUUUAGUUGUUAGACCAUGAGAGUAGCAUAGUCACUUCUUACCGUACGAUGCACUUUGAGGUUGUUCAAACAUCAUCUGUAACUAGGUGAUCAUAAUGACAACUUACAGGUGCAUCGAAAAGUUUGAAAUGGGACUAGAUAACUCAAGAGUGGAAUUUGCUCCUCCGACAGUGGACAGAUAUUCUUAAGGUCCUCUCACUGUCACGACAUCCAUUAUCGUCUGGCCAGACAUAGGUGGCAAUGUCACGGGGAUGCCGGAACACGUCAAAGAAAAAGAAGAACAAAACUGGUAACGAGGAGACCGGUAUAGUGAGCAUGUGUAUGACUCAAGAGAAUACUGAUAUAUCUCACCUUGGUUUUUGUAAAGUAUCACGAAGCAAAAGGAAAUCACAUGAUAACCAAAGGUUCACUUGAAUGUCAUUCAUGUAAUCGUAGGGAUUCAUAUGGAUGUCCAUGGUUCCGCUAUUGGUCAUUGAACGAAGGAGUUUCGUUGAUGUCUAUGUUUUACCGAACCUAUAGGGUCACAAUUUUAAGGUAAUCACGAUCUUCUGAGUGUUAGUAGGACGAGAGUAUCAAGAAUUUAUUUGUGAAUUUGUUUUAUUAAUAUUCAAAAUAGUUUUGAGAGGAUCUAGAAGCGUUUCAGGGUCAGCGCCUCAGCGGAAGGGUUCCAGAGUUUAUCGGGCAAUACCGGGUGUUACCAAUAAAUAAAACAUUCGGAUAUAUUCCCAUAUACGAGGGCGCGCUUGGUUCAUCGUAUUUCUUGCUUCGUAUCAUCAGACUCCAUGAACUCCAAGAAGAAAGACUACAGCCGAUGGCCACCACCACAUGUAUUCAACAGUGACUGCACGACCACGACACACAAUAGAUCAAUAGGAACACCUGCUAUCGCUGUCACCGGGAGCCUGAAUGCCACCAUGACGCAAGACGUCGUCGAUGACCACCAUCGUCCAUGGUUGUCCUCGCCUCAACUCAAAGGGCAACAGAAUCUCUAGCCAUGUGGACGUGCUCGCACCAGGGACUAGUGAGGCAGCUAGAUGCCCCACCAGGCCCGUGGUCCUUGGCACUUUGCUGUGGCGGAGUGAGUCCACGAUGGAUGCGGGUUCCGGCCACGACGGCGUUGGGAUGCAGUGGCGGCGCAUGGAGGCGCUUUCGCGGUGGCGCGUAAAGGCGCUUUGGUGACGGUGUUUGGAGAAGCUUCGGCGGCGGCGACGUUAGCCCAGAGCUCGGCGGGAUGGAGGCACCGAUGGUAGCGGAGGCGGAUGCUCGGCGUGGAUGGCGGGCCGCGGUGGUGGAGCAAUGACCAAUCAACAUACAACUAAACACACCCCACUCGGUACCACAAUGCAGCACUCAAGGCAAGAUAAAACGAUGAUAUAAACAUCUACUCCCUCCGUCCGAAAAUACUUGUCAUCAAAAUGGAUAAAAAAGAUGUAUCUAGAACUAAAAUACAUCUAGAUACAUCCCUUUUUAUCCAGUUUGAAGACAAGUAUUUCCGGACGGAGGGAGUACGAGAGAAGCCGUGAAUGACGAAACGAGAGCUCCAAGAUGACACCUUCAAACCGGAUACGAUACCGCGGUGCUGCCCGAUCCAGGGAUUAGGGUUUACCACGGAGCAACAGGGAGACAGAGAAGAGCCACGAGGACGCCUUCAAGAAGGGUAGAGACCAAAGGCGGCGCCGUCGUCGACCUGGUAGGGCCAGAUUUUCACCCCGGCAAGCCCUCGGCAUCUCCCAAACGGAGUACACCAAGCCACCACACGCCACACCACCACCAUUGUCCAUCGCACACUAACCACCACGCCGCCCGCACGAUCAUGGCAGCUAGUCCACGCCCGAGCCGCGAGCUCCACCCACGAGCACCGUGGCUGCCACCACCAAGGCCGCCGACCUAGCAUCCAAGACUCAGACACCACCCAACCCGAGACACGCAACUACAAUGAAUAAAGAGAGACGACUAGAAAGGACCCUCCUUUCCCACCCCUGGUUGGCCCCGAGACCCCCCUAGGCCGUCCAGAUCUGGCCGCCACUGCCUCGCCCUACCCCUCCUAGGCAAAGGAUGAGCUGCCCGGUGGCACACCACCAAUCGAUGGGAGGCAAGGAUGACUCUGUGGCCCUCCUGGCGGCGGGAUCGUCCCUAAAUGGUGGACGACGGCUGGGAGAGGACCAGCCCUCUAGCUAAGGCAAUACAUGUGUGACGAGGAAGAAGGCGAAGGCCAAUAUGGUCCGCCUGCAAGCGAGCCAACGUCAAAAAGCCGGCCGUCGCCGCAGCCGGAACCGCCGAGCUACCAUGUAACAUCGCGCCGCCGAAAAUAAUCUUCGUCGUUGCCCCCUUUGCAACAAACAUAGUGUUGCACUUGGCCUAUGCAAAAAGAGUCUUGUUGCAAUCACCCCAAACUGUUUUUCCCUUCCACAAACAUAACCUCUGUUGCAGAAACAAAAUCAAACACACCCUUCGCUAUAGUCGGGAGUCACUGGCUAGAGCGGCAUGGGGUGUGGCGUUGUGCGAUCGCGGGGUGCGAGCUCAUGUGGGAUGCCGUGAGGCAGGGAGGCCGACCGUGCUUGGCCUCUGUGGCCAUGGAGGCCAUAUCCAAGAGCUCAGACUUCGAGUGGAACAACGUUGCUAGAGUAGGGAUCGAUCAAAGAAGAGGGGGAAACAAAGGAGGGCCUCGCGUGGUCUCGUAGGCGUGGACGAGGUGGCCGGACACAGAUGAAAGGCGACAUAUUCAAUGAUGGACGGAGGUGAACCAAGGUGGAAAAAGAUAACGAAUUAGUCGAUAACCUGACAGCGACCUCACCUACUUGGACUGUAACAAACCCUGUAUUGUGCUUCAGGUCUUUGCAACAUAGCAUGUGCUGCAAAACCUGUUGAGUCAGCGCGUGGGAGCGAGUUGCCCAAGCGGUCGAUACACGAUCAAUUAUCAGUCAGGUGAGAUGGAGCAUUUCUGAAUACAUUUAUGAAAUCAUGUUUAUUCUUAAAUUUUGAAAAGUAGAUAAAAACACUUGGGCUCACACAAGGUGAAAUGGUCUUUAACCGCCCCAAUUGCCCUCCUCCCAUGCUCAUCUCAUGUGAGGCGCUCCCUUUUCCUACUACAAAGGCUAGGGUUAAGGGGCCCCAUUACCGACUGGGGUUUUACUUGCGUGCUCAGGACAUGGAGCGGCUGCCGGAGCUCGGAGCGAGUUGUAAUCGUCGACCUCGCCACCGCAAUGACGACCUUCAGGCUCGCUGCUCCUGCCGGCCUUUGGAAGGUGACAAGGCCGGUCCAUAGGCCGGGCAAAAAGGUAAUCCACCCUGGGCACCGAGAGCAUCAGGUCCCCAAAAUACUAAAAUAUUAUAGUAAUGAUCGUAUUAUCAUAUAUUAUAUUAGAAAUACAAGUGAAUAUCCAAGACAAGAUUAAAUUCUCAUGGGGGAAAAUUCACAACACAUACUAAUAGGGUGUGUUUGUUCCCUGGGAGGGCCCUAGCCUGCAUCGCAUGAAGGAGCUUGGCUAAGCCUAGCCUGGUUGAGAAGAUGCAAGAACAAGUAGAGAAGUGUGUUUAGUUGACUGCAUGAUAUGGGGAAGGCUAAGCUAAGAUUUUGUUUGGUAUUAGAUAGAGAUGCUACACAACCAAUGUUGUUUGAUAAUUUGCAUAUAUGUUGAUUCAAGGUGCUUGUACAUGUAUGUAAAAAUAAUUGGGAGGUUGUUUUGGUGAUAGAACUCCAACUCAAGUAUGUUUGAUGCUUGAAGUAAAAAAAAUAGGGUAAAAUAUAAUCACAUGUAUUCAAAAUGGCAGAGAUGGUUGAAGUUCAAAAAAUCACAUGUCUAUAUAUUAGCAAAAGCAAUGAACCAGAAUCAUGGGUGCACACAAAUAAUUAUGCAGUACAAUAAAAGUCCAAUAAGAGUGCGUAUUACAGUUUAACAAACAAGCAUUGAUACUCCACACAAUCUGGCUCACAUGGAAAAAGAGCAUCGAUACUCCAUUACAAUCCACACAAUCAGUCCAUACUAUAGUUAAACCAUCUCAAAUCCUUAGGGGAAAGGACGCCGAUAUCCGCCACACGUGUAGCAUGAGCAGGGGGUAGCCCACACGGGUUGUGUGUGGGCGAACAGUAGAAUUGCCCACACGUGUGGGCGCAGCUACUUCCUGCCACACGCCCAACAAGUACUACUCAUCCCCAACCCGCACGUGUGGCACGAAGCAAAUAUGCCCGCACGUCCUGGCGCAGCUACAAUACGUACCCGCGGGAUGACGAUUUAGUUGCCAUCCGGGAUGGCAGAUGUAGUUAUCCGGGAUGGCAAAUAUGGUUGUAAAAGCAUGGCAACUCUCUCUGUUUUGGUUAACUAUAGUUGCCAUGUCUAAUUUAUGGUAGUUGCCAUGUGUAACCAAACCAUAGUUGUUGUGUGUGAUUAACACUACAAAAAAAAGACACAUCCGUGACAUUUUGGGCCGAACAAUUUUUUUUUCUGUCAUACUUAUGACACUUCUAUGACGAUAAUUAUGACAAAACCCGGUACCAUCAUAGAUGUGGUGGGCUCCUACUUCUAUGACAAAAAAUCAUGACAGAAAAUGGGCUUUUUGUCCUGGGCGGGCCGGAGACGCAGCUGCAUGACAUUCUUUGGGCUGUCCAUGACGGAAAAAACCGUGGUAGAAGCGAGGGCGAGGAAAAAUUUGAGGAGUUCCCGGUUACGGUGGGUGGUCGGUGUGACACCCCAAAAUUUUAACCUUGUUUUGUUAAUUAAAAUUUUGCCAGGAAAUUAAAACUUUCAUUUUCUGGGCUCCCCUUUCCUUUUUGCAACAUUUCCUAUUUAACUUGGAGUUGUUUCCUUCAGUGAAAACCUUUCAAAUAUGUUAUUGAACUUGUUUAUCCUCUCAAGAAAAUCUUUUCUUUUAUCAGAGGAGUUAAUUAUAAAAUUAUUUCCCUGAUCUUUAUUCCUUUAAAAAUGGUUUUUCCAUGGUUUGUGGUCCUAUUUGAACUACAACCAUUUGAUAAGUUCUUUUAAAAAUCCCACCAAAAUUUGGAGAUGUCAUGAGAUGUUUCUAAAUCACUUUUAUGCAAAAAGAUAUUUCAUUCAUUGAAUAUUUUGAGCUCUACACUUUAUUUUCAAAUAUGGUCCAGUGGGCAGAUUUGCACUACAACCUAUUUAUUUAUUUCUUUAAAGCCUUCACCAAAAUUAUGGGAUGUUAGUAGUAGCAUAUGAUUCAACUUUAUGCAAAAACCCAGUGAUGCUCUUUGAAAUAUUUGAGUGAAUCAACCUCUUUUCCAUACUGGCCCAACUUGAAGAUUUGUACAACAACUACUUCUUAAGUUGCUCCUUUACCCAUGAUUUCUUAUUCUACUUGUAGUUCCCCCUACUAAACCUCUAAGUCCAGGAGCAUGCACCCAUUGGAUCAUUUUUGGUUCAUGAAAUGAUGCCAUUUACCUCCUGUCCAGAAUUGAAGUUUUGCAAAACUUGCACUAGCAAGUUUGAGAUUUGGGCAAACUAACCUCACCACCCUCUCAUCCAUCUAAAGAGACCCCACUCUGGAAGUUUUGGCCACCCCAAGAAAUGCCUAGGUGCCUGUGGCAUUUUAUCAAACACCUGGUGAGCAUGGACAGAUUUGGCAUGAGUUUUUUAUUUGCAUUAUGAACUUGAUCCCCUGACCAGACCAGCAUGUCCAAUGGUUUUGCCCUAGCCUAUAACCCCACCCUGCUAACCCUCUUGUGGUUUAGAGCCACCUAACAUGCCGUAGCAUUUCGUCGAGCACGUUCCGUGCGUGCUCUGGGCGCGAGCAGAAUGCGCGUAUUGCACGUGCCGCGCCCGAGCUGCCACAUCGCGCCCCUGGUUUUGCCCGCUCUGUAGAGCCACGCCACUCACUCCCCUCCUCACCGCAUCAUGCCAAGCAGCCCUGGCGCCCUACAGCACCACCGUCAGAGCCCUUGGCGGCACGCCGACGUCCGCAGCGCGCCCCUGCCUCAGGCGGUGCCGCCCAAGCCACCAGCGCUCGCCAGCUGCCCCGUUGAGCAUCUCCAGCUCAUCCGCAGCCUCGUCCCCUAGCACGCGUCGCCGCCACGUCGUCAUAACUACAGAAAGACGGUCGCCGGCAACCUUAUCCCCGGCCGCCACGGAACCGCCUUGGCGAGUCUAUUUAAGGAGCCCCGAGCUCAUCCCCACACGCAGGCAGCCUCUCACCAUCCUCCUAGUGCCCCCCGUUGCCGUCAAUUGAGGGGGAAGAGGCCGUCUUCACCGACUCCGGUCAGUUCGGCCACCGCCGCCUCUCGGCUCCGUUCGGCACAACCAGAGCCUCCCUGGCCCUCCCAAUGCCACCAAGCGACUCCACUACUUCUUGCGGUGCCACCCAGAACCCCAGCUGCGACGUAGAGCCACCAUAGCCGCAAACUCACUUUGCUCCCGAAGCCACCGGCCGCCGCGAAGCUCGUCGACGGCGAAUCCCUCCACCUCCAACAACCCUGCAACCACCGGAAGGAUCACCCUAGACCCGCGGAUCCGUCCCUGCCCUCAGCUCCCCGCAAGGACCCGCCGUUCGCCGGCGAUGGUCACCGAAGUUCCGCCCCACUCGGGCAGAGAAGGGAAAGGGGAGGGAGGACCAGUCAAACCUGACCAGUGGGCCAGGCAGGCCCACUCUCAGUGACUCGCGUACCGUCCACGCUGGAGUAAGUGGAAGCAUAAAUCCAAAAUACGCCUUCGACGUGUACGUAUAUUCGAAUUGUUUUCUUUUCUGUUUUAUUUUUAAAUAACAGAUUUUGACCAAAACUUUGACUGAGCUUAACUUUUUAAAUACAACUCCAAAUGAGUUGAUUCUUUUUCCUACCUCUCUCAAAUAUUGUCUAGUUUAUUUUAAGAUUUAUUUAAAAAAAAUUCAGACAACCUUUUGGUACUUUUUUUGAAACUAUAUAUUGAUUCAAAAAUAUUUUAAAUAGGAUUUUGGAGAGAGGAGAAAGCUUUCAAAAGUUUUGGAGUGCAUCAUGCCUUUCCACAACUUGAAGGCAAGCAUUCUGAACCCUGGCAUAAUAUUUUGCAUGCAUUGUUUGACAUGAUUAUGACACCACCUCAAUACGUGGAACUUGUUAUUUUAUGUGGUGAUGUGAUCUUUUGCAUGAAUACUUAUUGGAAAUUUCCUUGCUGUUGGAAAUGGACAUGCUUGGGAUAGUUAUCAUCCUUGUAUGCCUUUCGUGCCUACCGGAAGGAAAACGGGAAAGUCUCUGUCUUGGGUAGACCCGAGCUUGUCCCUAGUUCCUCGUCGAGACGAGUGUGUCCGACAUGGUAUGAAGGGUAUGAUGAGUGGUGAUUCUAUCUGUUGGAUGAAAUACAUUCAUUAUGCUAAUCAUGCAGGGAAAUUAUAAACCUCCUGAGUCGACCCUAGAUCGAGUCUUGUUCCAGUAACCCCCAUACUUGUUUCGUACUACCACUUGUCUCUACAACAAGCAGGGUACGGUUCAGUAAGUUGUUAACCCCUUUCUAGCACACACCGUACAGAGAGGCCAUGGUGGAAGAUACCGGUUGUAGCUGGUAGGCAGGCCACCUGGUCCGGGGGCAUGGGUGUUUCCGGUUGGGACCGAGAGGGGAGGCCACCCCUUAGAGCGCGUGAUAUAAAUUUGAUCCCAUGCUACGCGAGGUUGUAGCCUCCCCACUUAAAGUUUUGCUUGACGGGUGUCGUGGGUGAUUCCAGACACCGGUGAGUUAAGCUGGUGUGUGCAAGUUAGGUGAGUUCUCAACUAAAAGACCGUAGACGGAAUUAGUCCCGAUGGACUACAGGAAUCCGUUGCUCGCGGGUAAAGAGUACACCCUCUGCAGAGAUUAAACCUAUUCGAAUAGCCGUGUCCAUGAUUAAGGACUACAGUCUGGGAUGCGUCAAGUGUCGGUCUUCGUGUCGGUCUUCGGAGGAGAAACUACUAAGCCAGAAUGUGGAUCAUGACUGAUGACAUGUGAUAAUUAUGUUUAUCUUUAUUAUGGACUAACACAUUGUAAGGGCAUAUUUUUCCCUCAGGUGUUUUGCUGAUUGAUGACAAUGCAUUUGCGGACUAAUCGUGUGCCUUGAGUUUCUCAGGUUAUUCAUAUCUAGGCACGAGACGAUUCGGUGCCCCUUGGAGACUAUUGAAGUCGGCGUUGUUCUAUGUUUCUCUUUGGUGGAUUUGAGUCGUAGGAGAGCCGUACUAUUAAGAGGGGGUCUGUGUCGGAAAGGUUUGGGUGGAAUCAGCACGUACACUUGUUCCUCCUUUCCCUGCAGUUUGGAGCUUCCCUUUGUUAUCUUGGUUGUGCGGAAAUCUGACGACUACUGCUGUGCUUGCGGUAGUACCGCAAGUACACGCGGUAGUACUGCUGUGUGUCACGGUAGUACCGCUCAUCUGGAGCGGUAGUACCGCGGCUCCCUGGCCUUGUGCCGCUCCAGUGUGGUAGUAGGGGCGGAUGUAAUUUUUUACAUCCGCGCCCUCCACGAUAGUACCGCUCGUCCAGCGCGGUAGUACCGCGGAGGCCCACGGUAGUACCGCUCCCUAGGAGUCGUAGUACCGUGACCCUCCUACCUAGUACCGCAGUGUCGCGGUAGUAGGCGCGGAUGUAAUUUUUUACAUCUGCGCCCGCACGGUAGUACCGCACCUCGCGGGGCGGUAGUACCGCGUCGGAUUUUUGUACCUCCUCUGGUUCAGUGGAAGUAGGCACGGAUGUAAUUUAUUUCAUCCGCGCCCUUCCCAGGCCGUGACUUUCCUCCCUUGCGGUAGUACCACAGGUGGGUGCGGUAGUACCGCGCAAGCGGUAGUACUGCCCCCUUAUCAGGCUAGUUCCUGCCUGUGUUGCUGUCGCGGUAGUACUGUGGUUAGCCACGGUAGUACCGCACAGCCUCGCGGUAGUAACGCGCCCCUAGAGCGGUAGUACCGUGUGUCACAGGCUGAACAUGUGGAUAACGGUUGGAUUUUGUCCAUGACUAUAUAAGGGGUGUCUUCUACCUCUAGUUGACUACCUCUUCCAUCUCUAAGCUCCAUUGUUGCUCCAAGCUCCAUUUUCACUCGAUCUCUCUCCCUAGCCAAUCAAACUUGUUGAUUUGCUCGAGAUUGGGUGACAAGUGCCCGAUCUACACUUCCACCACAGGAUAUUUGAUUCCCCCCACUUAUCCCUUGCGGAUCUUGUUACUCUUGGGUGUUGAGCACCCUAGACGGUUGAGGUCACCUCGAAGCCAUACUCCAUUGUGGUGAAGCUUCACAGGAUUAUUGGGAGCCUCCAAGUGUUGUGGAGAUAGCCCCAAUCUUGUUUGUAAAGGUCCGGUUGCUGCCUUCAAGGGCUUCAAUAGUGGAAUCACGGCAUCUCGCAUUGUGUGAGGGCGUGAGGAGAUUACGGUGGCCCUAGUGGCUUCUUGGGGAGCAUUGUGCCUCCACACCGCUCUAACGGAGACGUACUUCCCCUUAAAAGGAAGGAACUUCGGUAACACAUCCUCGUCUCCACUGGCUCCACUCUUGGUUAUCUUAUCCCUUUACUUUUGCAAGCUUACUUGUGCUAUAUCCAUUGCUUGCUUGUGUGCUCAUUGUCUUUGCAUCAUAUAGGUUGUCCACGUAGUUGCACAUCUAGACAACCUAUUUCAUUGCAAGGUUUAAAUUGUUAAAGAAAAGUCUAAAAAUUGUUAGUUGCCUAUUCACCCCCCUCUAGUCAACCAUAUCGAUCCUUUCAAUUGGUAUCAGAGCCUCGUCUCUUUAUUAAGGACUUUGCCGUCCGAAGAGUAUGGUUGACGUCAACGACGGUGCGGAGGAACACUCCGGUGUGAAUCCCAUCUCGUCUUCGGCCGAAGGGGGAACCUCAGUCUCACGUGAGGAAUUCAAUGUGGCUUUAGACACAUUGAAAACCUCCAUGACGGCCGAGGUUAAAAGCAUGUUUGCUGAAUUUCUAGAGGGACUUAAACUAUCUACCUCACCAAUGAAAGUGGGUGAUCCCACUAACAAGGUGACGGAUGCUAACUCCGAUAAGGGGGAAGCUAACAAUGAAAAGAGUCCUUCUACUAGUGGUAGAAAUGGCACCGACUCUUUGCCCAUGUGGAACCCCCGGUGUAUAGAGGACCGAUCCCCUCUACUCAUUUGAAUCAUGCCGGCCCUCCUCCUAAAUAUGUGAAAAAUGAAGAUUAUGAUUCUUGGGUUUAUCGCUUCAAGCGUCAUCUAAAACAUGUGAAUACUAACCUUUGGAGAAUUAUUGAAGAAGGUUUCUAUCCUCAUGAUCCAAGCAACUUCACCCCUCGAGAAGAAGUGGACAAUCAAUUCAAUGAGAGUGCUCUCUUCAUCAUCCAAGAUGCUAUCCUUCUCGACGAUCUCCCUCAUCUUCGACCUCAUGUCAUGGAUAAAGAAGCAUGGAAGUGUGUCGAGCGUAUGUACAGAGGAAGUGCUAGCAUUCAAUGCUCCAACUAUGAAGUGGUGCAAGAUGAAGCCGAUGAGUUUGCAAUGAAAGAGGAUGAAGAACCUCGUGAGCUCUUUCGAAGAGUGACCAAACUUGCGGUCGCACUCCGAGAUCAUGGGAGUAAGGACACGGAUGACAACUGGAUCAAGCGCAAGUUCCUCAAGGCCAUGAUGCCCUACAACAAGGCCAUGUCCUCAGUCAUCCGCCAAAGACCGGACUUCCACUCCAUGACCUCUGGUGAAGUGUUGGAUGAGUUUGUUGCAAUUAACAUCUUGGAUAAGACCGCCGACAAUGCGGUGCUCCGUUCCCAAAGGGCAAAGAAGCCCAAUCUUGCCUUGAAGGCCAAGGUUAGUGUGGAAGAAGAAGAAGAAGAGGAAGAUGAGGAGAGCAACCCCGAGGACACGAAGUAUGAUUAUCAUGAGCACAUGGCUCUAGCCUCAAGACAAUUUUGGAGUAAGAAGACUACAAAACCCAACUUCAACAAGAACAACUCAAGUGGCCUCAAGGGGAAGCAUCAAGUUAGAACUUGUUUCAACUGUGGCAAUGUCAGCCAUUUUGUUGCGGAUUGUCCAUACGAGAAGCGGGAAGACAAUGGUGGCAAGUUCAUUCGAAAAGACAAAGCCAAGUCCUUCCCCAAGAAGAACAACUUCAUCAAGAAGACUCCUUCUCGCGGGUUGGUGGUUCAAGAAGAAUAUCGUGAGGAUGACGAUGAUGAUGACGAUGGUGAAACAAUGGCCAUGGCAUCUGUUGCCAUUGUCUCAACUCCUCGGGUGUCUCUCUUCGAUGCACCUAACGAGAACAUCACCGCCAAGUGCCUCAUGGCUAAGGCCACCAACAAGGUAACCCCCAACAUCAAAACCACCAUUAUUCCUAACCCUCCUUCAACGGAUGACCUUGAUAAUGGUAAGGGGUCUAAUGAGGAGAUAAAUGAAUUUGAGUCCUUCAUGAGUAAGCUCAAGGGCAAAUCCAAGAAGCACUUCGUUGCUCUCUUGGAACAACUUGGUGAAGCCAAUGACAUGAUCGAGGCUCAUGAAGAAACCAUCACUAAGAUGGAAAGUCACAGUCGUGACUAUGCCGAUGAGAUAUCGGAUCUCUCUAAUGCUCUUGAGGAAGAGCGUGAGCAUCGUUUGGCUCUUGAGGAGUCACACAACGAUGGUCAUGCUAAACUAAAGAAAGAUCUUGAUCAUGCUCUUGUUGUGUCUCGUGUUCUAGCUUCCGAGAAGGCUAAACUUGGGGUUGAUCAUGUUAGACUCACGGAGGAGUUUGAUGUACUUGACAAGGCCCACAAGGUCUUGAAAGAUGCUCAUGCCACCCUCAAGGAGUCUCAUGCUCAACUCCAAGUUAAGCUAACUAAGGAAAAGGCCACAUUUCCUCACAUGGUCUUAAUUGACAAUGCAAAUGCUACUAACCCAUGUUGUGAGCAUGUGCAUCUUGUGGAGGAAAAUGCCAAGUUGAAGGAACAACUCGAGAAAGGUCUUGUGUCAUGCAUACAAGGCGAGAAGAACCUAAAUGACCUUUUGAGCAAUCAAAAGGAAGUUGUGGGCAAGGAGGGAGUUGGGUUCGCACCCAAGUCCAAGAAGAAAAAGAAGAACAAGGAGAAGAAGAGCAAGACCAAUCGACCUCCUCUGCUCAUGCAAACCUUUGUGAAGGAGGGAGAAGGUGCUCCUAAGGAGAAGAAGAACAAUGGGAAGAAUGGUGAAGCCAAAGAGCGCAACGCCAUCUCUCCCAACAAAGCCGGCGACUUUAACCCCUCUUAUGUGUUGUGCCGUGCUAGUGAUGGACAUGUUUAUGCUAAAUUUGUUGGUUCUCCUUAUGAGUACAUUGAAUGGUCUAUUUAGGUUCCUAAGACCCUUGUUACUAACAUCAAAGGACCCAUUACUCAAUGGGUACCUAAAACCAAGCAUUGAUCUCUUGUAGGUGUUUGCUUCCGAUGGGGGAUCAUGGUUGCUCGAUAGUGGAGCAACAAAUCAUAUGACCGGGAGCAAGGACUUGGUGGUGGACGUGCACAAUAUCCCAUCUAUGCCCACCAAUGUCGAAUGGGGUGAUGCCUCAUAUUCUAAGGUAUUGGGUCUUCGCAAGGUUGUCAUUUCUCAUGAUCUAACGAUCGAGAAAGUCAUGCUUGUUGAGUCCCUUGCAUUCAAUUUACUUUCCGUUCGUCAACUCGCACUCAUGGGUUUUGCCACCUUCUUUGAUAUUGAUACCGUGGCCCUCUUGUGGAGCAAGACUCUUAAAGUAGCCUUUGUUGGGCAUGUCGAGAAUGGUCUCUAUGUGGUUAACUUCUCGGAGCAACCCACUAAGACCGCGACAUGCCUAAUGGCUAAAGUUGAUGUGAGAUGGCUUUGGCAUCGCCGUUUAGCCCACGUCAAUAUGAGAUCUUUGCAAAGUCUUCUCAAGGGGGACCAUGUUCAUGGACUAACGAAUGUUAGUUUUGCCAAAGAUCGUGUUUGCAGUGCUUGUAUCGAAGGAAAGCUUCAUGAGACGGCGCACCCUCCCAUGACUAUCAUCUACUCGAAGAGACCCUUGGAGCUCCUUCACAUGGACCUCUUUGGGCCCCCAUCCUUUGAUAGUCUUGGGGGUAGAAAGUAUUGCUUAGUGAUAGUGGAUGAUUAUUCAAGAUACACUUGGGUAUACUUCUUCAAGAGGAAGAGUGAGACCCAACAAACCGUCAUCGACUUUGCAAAUGAAGCUCAGCGUCAACACGAUGCAAAGAUCUUGACAAUAAGAAGUGACAACGGCACCGAGUUCAAGAACUACACCUUGGAUGAGUUUCUUAGUGAUGAAGGGAUCAAGCAUCAAUAUUCUGCACCAUAUACCCCUCAACAAAAUAGAGUUGCGGAGAGAAAGAACCGAACGUUGAUGGAUGCGGCAAGGACCAUGAUGGCGGAGUCCAAGUCUCCAUACAACUUCUGGGCCGAAGCCAUCAAUACAGCUUGUCAUGCAUCCAAUCGGCUCUAUCUCCGCAAAGGCUUGAACAAGACUCCGUAUGAGAUACUCACCGGGAACAAGCCCAAUCUCAAGUACUUCUGGGUGUUCGGGUGUAAGUGUUUCAUUCUCAAGAAAGGUGUUUGUUUGUCUAAAUUUGAAGCUAGAGCUCAUGAGGGCAUAUUUGUUGGUUAUGCUACAAACUCUCAUGCUUACCGUGUUCUCAACAAGUCCAACAGACUCAUUGAGGAGACAUGUAACGUAGAGUUUGAUGAAAAUAACGGCUCCCAAGUGGAGCAAAGUGGUACUUGUGAUGUAGGUGAUGAAAUUCCUCCCCAAGCCAUAAGAAGAAUGGGUAUUGGUCAUAUCCUACCCAUUGAGGAACCCCUUGUGGCUGAAGGAGAAGGACAAUGCUCCACUCAAGUGGAGCCAUCACCUCCCCAAGACCCACACGCUUCCGAAGAACAAAGUGAAGGCCCUCACCUUCAUGAACAAGACCAAGGGCAAGAUCAACCUCAAGAUGGAGGUGAACCUCUAAAUGAUGCCCAAGGUCAAGUUCUCCCCCUCGAGCAAGUUCAAGAUCAUGAGCAAGCUCAAGACGGCGCUCAAGAUGAUCAAGUUAACCUUCCUCCUUCCACACCCGAGGAAGAAUUAGAGCGUCGUGCCGCGAAGAUUGCUUCCAAACUCACCACCCAAGGCCAUCUCAUGGAAAACAUGGUUGGAAGUCUAAGAAAGGGGGUAAGCACUCGUAGACAAUUAGCUAACUAUUGUGAACAUCAUGCGUUUGUCUCUUGUGUUGAACCCCAAAAGGUCUAUGAGGCGCUCAAAGACUCGGAUUGGCUCAAUGCUAUGCAUGAAGAACUAAACAACUUCGAGUACAACAAGGUGUGGAGAUUGGUGCCAAGACCUUCGGGGAACCACAACGUCAUUGGAACAAAGUGGAUCUUCAAGAACAAGCAAGAUGCUCAUGGGAACAUCAUUCGCAACAAGGCAAGAUUGGUAGCACAAGGCUACUCCCAAGUCGAGGGCAUCGACUAUGGUGAAACCUUUUCUCCCGUUGCUCGUCUUGAAUCCAUUCGUUUGUUGAUUGCUUAUGCUUCCCAUCACAACUUUAAGUUGCAACAAAUGGAUGUGAAAAGUGCUUUUCUUAAUGGUCCCAUUAAUGAGUUGGUUUAUGUGAAGCAAACCCCCGGGUUCGAGGACCCCUACUUCCCGGAUCACGUGUAUCAACUCGAUAAGGCACUCUAUGGCCUUAAACAAGCCCCACGUGCGUGGUAUGACCACCUUACCGAGUUGCUACAAGAUCGUGGAUUUGAAGUAGGACAAAUCGAUCCCACUCUUUUUACUAAGAAGGUCAAAGGGGAGUUGUUUGUAUGCCAACUAUAUGUUGAUGAUAUUAUCUUUGGUUCUCCUAACAAAGCUUUCAAUGAGGAAUUUGCCGGUCUCAUGACCUCCAAGUUCAAGAUGUCUUCGAUGGGAGAAUUGAAGUUCUUCCUUGGUUUUGACAUCAAACAACGAAGAGAAGGAACCUUCAUCAACCAAGCCAAAUACACUCAAGACAUGCUUAAAAGAUUCAAGCUAAGUGAUGUCAAGCCGGCUUCUACACCAAUGCCUACCAAGUGCCAACUUGACAUCGAUCCCAAUGGUAAAGCAGUGGAUCAAAAGGUAUAUCGCUCCAUGAUUGGCUCCUUGCUUUACCUUUGUGCAUCUAGACCGGAUAUCAUGUUGAGUGUGGGGAUGUGUGCACGGUUUCAAGCCGCACCAAAGGAAAGUCACUAUGUGGCGGUCAAGAGAAUCUUUCGAUAUUUGGCUCAUACCCCAAACUUUGGCCUAUGGUACCCAAGAGGAGCAAAUUUGAAGCUUGAAGGUUUCACGGAUUCCGAUUGGGCGGGGGACAAAGUGGAUAGGAAGUCCACUUCCGAAGGGUGCCAAUUUCUUGGUUGCUCUUUGGUAAGUUGGUCUUCCAAGAAGCAAAGUUGUGUGUCCCUCUCGUCCACCGAAGCGGAGUAUGUGGCGGCCGGUAGUUGUUGUGCUCAACUCCUAUGGAUGAGGCAAAUUUUAAAGGAGUACGGUGUCAUUUGUGACAAAGUGCCUCUUUGGUGUGAUAAUGAAAGUGCCAUCAAGAUUUCUCUCAACCCGGUACAACACUUCAAGACGAAGCACAUUGAGAUUCGGUAUCACUUCAUCCGGGAUCACAUUAGGAGAGGGGAGAUCGAGCUCAAGUAUGUCAACACUCAUGAUAACCUUGCAGAUAUUUUCACGAAGCCCUUGGAUGAAGCAAGAUUUCGCGAGUUAAGGCAUGAGCUAAAUAUCAUUGAUUUGAGCAAUGUGACUUGAACCUGUACACCCCCACCACACUCAACGUGUUGUCUAGUUUAGGUGUAGGCAUGGACAUAGGGGGAGUGUUGUUCAAUCAAUGAACUCUCCCUCCCCCCAUUAUGCAUAAAUCGAUCACCUCUUUCACAUUAGCCAUUUUUAAUGGUACUUGUGCUUCAAAGACGAGUUUUGGUCAUGGGCCCAAGGAUAAUUCUUCGUGGUGCCAUACCAUCCAACUCAAACAUAGAUGGCUUCGGCCACCGCCCUCUCUCCUCAAGAGGCUUUGUCGCUUGGUGGUUUCUUGUUGUCUUUUUGCCUCUGGUUUGUGCGUGUUCUUGUGGUUUCUUGUGUGUGAAAAGUUUCCGUGCAAAGGCUUUUUCUUCUCUUUUUGAAACUUGCGGUGACUUGAGCUCACGGUACUACUGCGGCCAGCUACGGUACUACCACAGCAAGCCACGGUACUACCGCUUGCGGAAGCACGGUACUACCGUGACCACGCGACAGUAAUUUUUUACUGCCGCCUGGUUGAGCGGUACUACCGCCUCGGCGCGGUACUUCCGCCCGAGCGGUACUACCGCGAUGACACGCGGUACUACCGCGCCGGUUCAAGCGCAUGGGGAUAAGGAUGGGCAGGGGGAGUUUUAACUCCCCAUACCCAUUCGCUGUCCUCUCUCUCCACGUCGUCUCCUUCUCUCCCUCACUCAAGAACGCAGCCGGCGUUCGUCGCCGGAUCUCCUCCACCGGCUGCCCUCUUGUGAUUUCGACCGGUGGGAUCGUUCCCCACCACGUGCUCUUGCUAUGGACCAAGGUUUUUCCCCAACUUCCUCUCCGUGUUGAUUGUGUUUAGUGUUUCUAGGUUUUGGGGGAGGCUUGUGUGUUCUUGAGAUUCUUAGGCUUAAUCUCUGCAAGAGUAGGAUGAUGGAGCGUGGUAUUGCAUAGGAUUUAUACUUGUAUUGUUGUCUUGCGCUAGAUCGGAUCACCGUAGCACCGCCAUUGUUUCGCGGUUCUUUUCAGAUUCAAACCGCCCGUUGGAUCUGACGCAACGCGGUAUUACCGCCCGUCUGGCACGGUACUACCGCUUGCACGAUACUACCGCCCCUCGGGAGCGGUACUACCGUGCUCUAUGCGGUACUAAAAGUUUACUUCCGCCCCAACCACGGUACUACCGUGCCCUAGCACGGUACUACCGCGUUUGGAGCAGUACUAAUAUUUUAGUACCGCAAGCAGUAGCAGUUUUACCUUGGCUCACAUCUAUCGCAUGCCAACUUUCUCGUAUGCCUUCUAUGUGUUUCUUGUGCUUUUUCGUGGCCUUUUGCAUUGAUCUUCUCGCGUCUUUGGUGUUUUGCGUGUGUGUCUCAGGUGGUGGCUCUCGCCGGUCCAACCCCAGUCGUGACACUGUCUCCAAACGUCUGCGCAACCCAGGUGAAGUACCAGAAGGCUCGUCUGCCUCCAAGCGCAAUGUCAAGCACUCAGCUAGCAAGCACAAGGAGCCCGCUAAGGGCAUGGAUGAGAUAGCCCAAGCUGAUUAUGUCCGUCUAAGGCAGCUUCACCCUUAUGUGCAUCCGUGUGCCACCUUCAGAGGCUGUGAGCUGUUCUGGAACAAGCAACAGGUCAACAUCUAUCUGGAUGUCAUCAAGAACAAGCAGAAUACCUAUGUGGAGGUGAAGUGGAUUGAUAUGCAUCACAUGAGGAAGGACAAGUUUCGUGACUACUUUGGCGAGGCUCUGGACUUGGUGGAGCAGUUUGGCAUUGAGCAUGUGAUUACCUUCCACCUCGACUAUGACCCUGAGCUUAUCUGUCAGUUCUUUGCCUCAGUCUACUUUCACUCUGAUGAGGAACGGAGGAUGACCUGGAUGACCAACGGCCGUAAGCUGUCUGCUACCUGGAAGGAGUUCAUGGAUCUCCUCCAGGUUCCUGAUGAUGGACUCGACUCUCCAGUGGGUGUUCGCCCCCAUGCCAAUGCUGAUUCUGCCAGCAAGGACAGACUUGCCCCUUUCAUGGUUGAGAAGGCACUCGCCAAUGGCAAGACAACUUUGGUGCUCAACCCUUUCCUGGAUAUCAUGUAUCGCAUCUUCCGCAACUCCUUGUUCCCUCGCAUCGGUGACAAAGACAAGGUUCAUGCCUAUAUGGUGGACAUGAUGCUCAUCUGCGAGGAGGCUCGUUCGUCUCAGUCUCAGCCACUUGAUGUCUCACACAUCAUGUGGUGUGAGCUCCGGUUUGCAGUGUUCAACCGCAAGGUGCCUAUCUAUGGGCCCUAUCUGUUUCUGCUGAUUUCGAAGACUUGGGAGAAGAUGUUUCCUGAUGAUGAGUUUCUGGCUCCUGACUGGGUUCGCCAUGAGCCCAUCUGCCUGCGUAUCAAACCCAACUGGGCCAACACCACUACUCGCGCCGAGGCGACUGCUGCUAGGACUGCUGUUGAUGAGGAGGAUGCUGGCGCCGAGGAUGUUGCUGAGGGCCAUGCUGCUAGACCUUCCCAGAGUGCCUCUAUGCCAUCAUGGGCCAAGAAGCUGAAGGACAAGAUGAAGACUCUUUUCUGCAUGCAAGCCAAGGGGCAGUACAUGACUCACGUGGCAUCCAAGGAGAGUCGUCGCCGGGACAACAAGAUCUUCCAGCUCUAUGGUGAGGCAGUGUCUGGCGGGUCGGAGGAGCACAUCACUCCAGAAGCCGAGUGGAUGGAGAAGCAGGGUUACAUGUGGACUGAGUCUAAGGAGGGUGUCAAGGAGACCAUCCCUGCUGCCGAGGAGACCGACGGAGAGGGUUGGGACGAGUUCUCUGCUUGAGCCACCUCUUGUGUGUAGGUGUCCUCUCUGCCUUUUUGGCGUCUCGAUGCCAAAGGGGGAGAGAGUGUAGGGAUUUGUGAGUGUGUCGUGUGUUUGCUGCUUUCUCAUUUGUGUCGUGUGUUUGCUGCUUUCUCGGUUGAACCUCGGUAGCUUUACUUCGUAUGGUGUAAGACAUAUGCACUCUAUCUAUCCUAGCGAGCUUGUGUUAUAUUGUGCUAUAUUUAUGCUUUGCUAUGCUUAUUAUCAUGUCUUAGUCUCUAAAAUAUAGGGGGAGUGUUGAUCCUAGUCUGUGUGCUAUGCAGUCCAAAGCAUUCAUCUAAAGUUCACACAUCUAGGGGGAGCCCGUCUAUAUUUUAGAGAGGUGGGGUUUUCCCCUGCUCUAAAUUAUCUUAUCCAUAUGGAAAUCCCGUGUUGUCAUCAAUCCACCAAAAAGGGGGAGAUUGUAAGGGCAUAUUUUUCCCUCAGGUGUUUUGGUGAUUGAUGACAAUGCAUUUGCGGACUAAUCGUGUGCCUUGAGUUUCUCAGGUUAUUCAUAUCUAGGCACGAGACGAUUCGGUGCCCCUCGGAGACUAUUGAAGUCGGCGUUGUUCUACGUUUCUCUUUGGUGGAUUUGAGUCGUAGGAGAGCCGUACUAUUAAGAGGGGGUCCGUGUCGGAAAGGUUUGGGUGGAAUCAACACGUACACUUGUUCCUCCUUUCCCUGCAGUUUGGAGCUUCCGUUUGUUAUCUUGGUUGUGCGGAAAUCUGACGACUACUGAUGUGCUUGCAGUAGUACCGCAAGUACACGCGGUAGUACCGCUGUGUGUCACGGUAGUACCGCUCAUCUGGAGCGGUAGUAUCGCGGCUCCCUGGCCUUGUGCCGCUCCGGUGCGGUAGUAGGGGCGGAUGUAAUUUUUUACAUCCGCGCCCUCCACGGUAGUACCGCUCGUCCAGCGCAGUAGUACCGCGGAGGCCCACGGUAGUACCGCUCCUUAGGAGUCGUAGUACCGUGACCCUCCUACCUAGUACCGCAGUGUCGCGGUAGUAGGCGCGGAUGUAAUUUUUGACAUCCUCGCCCGCACGGUAGUACCGCACCUCACGGGGCGGUAGUACCGCGUCGGAUUUUUGUACCUCCUCUGGUUCAGCGGAAGUAGGCAUGGAUGUAAUUUAUUUCAUCCGCGCCCUUUCUAGGCCGUGACUUUCCUGCCUUGCGGUAGUACCGCAGGUGGGUGCGGUAGUACCGUGCAAGCGGUAGUACUGCCCCCUUAUCAGGCUAGUUCCGGCCUGUGUUGCUGUCGCGGUAGUACUGUGGUUAGCCACGGUAGUACCGCAUAGCCUCGCGGUAGUACCACGCCCCUGGAGCGGUAGUACCGUGUGUCACGGGCUGAACAUGUGGAUAACGGUUGGAUUUUGUCCACGACUAUAUAAGGGGUGUCUUCUACCUCUAGUUGACUACCUCUUCCAUCUCUAAGCUCCAUUGUUGCUCCAAGCUCCAUUUUCACUCGAUCUCUCUCCCUAGCCAAUCAAACUUGUUGAUUUGCUCGGGAUUGGGUGACAAGUGCCCGAUCUACACUUCCACCACAGGAUAUUUGAUUCCCCCCACUUAUCCCUUGCGGAUCUUGUUACUCUUGGGUGUUGAGCACCCUAGACGGUUGAGGUCACCUCGAAGCCAUACUCCAUUGUGGUGAAGCUUCGCGGGAUUAUUGGGAGCCUCCAAGUGUUGUGGAGAUAGCCCCAAUCUUGUUUGUAAAGGUCCGGUUGCCGCCUUCAAGGGCUCCAAUAGUGGAAUCACGGCAUCUCGCAUUGUGUGAGGGCGUGAGGAGAUUACGGUGGCCCUAGUGGCUUCUUGGGGAGCAUUGUGCCUCCACACCGCUCUAACGGAGACGUACUUCCCCUUCAAAGGAAGGAACUUCGGUAACACAUCCUCGUCUCCACCGGCUCCACUCUUGGUUAUCUUAUCCCUUUACUUUUGCAAGCUUACUUGUGCUAUAUCCAUUGCUUGCUUGUGUGCUCAUUGUCUUUGCAUCAUAUAGGUUGUCCACGUAGUUGCACAUCUAGACAACCUAUUUCAUUGCAAGGUUUAAAUUGUUAAAGAAAAGUCUAAAAAUUGUUAGUUGCCUAUUCACCCCCCUCUAGUCAACCAUAUCGAUCCUUUCACCCAUUAUUUAAAUUGAAUUAUUGAGUAUCCCUGGGACGGUUCUACCUCCUGGAUAUUCAUUGUGAUUAUUUACUUUAUAAGCCCUUUAUGUGGUGUCGCUGAGACGCCCUACUGUGGCAUUGCUUGUUAUUUAUUUACUUUAUAAGCCCUUUAUGUGGUGUCGCUGAGACGCCCGACUGUGGCAUUGCUUGUUAUUUAUUUACUGUAUAAGCCCUUUAUGUGGUGUCGCUGGGACGCCCGACUGUGGCAUUGCUUGUUAUUUAUUUACUUUACAAGCCCUUUAUGUGAUGUCGCACAGACGCCCGACUGUGGCAUUUUAUUUCCACUCCAUUAUUGCAUAUCAUGUUGUACAUAAAUAACCUGCUUGCAUGCAUAAAAGAUCUUUAUUUAUGACUGACGAUGUGAUCAUAGAAUAUUUCAGUGCAUGAUUUUCAGUAUAUUAUCCCAGUGUGCAUAAUGUUUGCGAGUACAUUCAAAGUACUCACUGGCUUAUCCCUGGCUAUUGUCUUGGCUAGAUUUCUUGCACGGAGAGGAGCGACGUGAUGACAGCCCCGGAACCUAAGCAACGGUGAUAGCAGCCUCACGAAGAUAGGAGUAAACCUGGUGCAAGGCGUUGGCUCUAACUGAACCCGAGCGAGGCGUUGGGCUCUAACUGAACCCGAGUGAUUGCACUACAGGCUACGCGUUACUGAAUCCGAGCGAUCGAUCGAUGGCUGUUAACUGAACCUGAUCGAGCGAUUCCUUCGCUACUGCUUGUAAGGGCAUAUUUAUCCCCAAGAUGUUUUGGUGAUUGAUGACAAUGCUUUUGCGGACUAAUCGUGUGCGUUAAGUCCUUUCAGAGAUUCAUCCAUUGGCACGAGACGAUUUCCUCCCCUCGAUGUGUCUUUCAAGACGGUGUAGCUCCUUCGUCUCUCUGUUGGUGGACUAGUUUCGUAGGAGUCACCGUACUAUCAAGAGGGGAUCCGCUUUGGUAAGGCUUGAAGGAAAUAUGCCCUAGAGGCAAUAAUAAAGUUAUUAUUUAUUUCCUUAUUUCAUGAUAAAUGUAUAUUAUUCAUGCUAGAAUUGUAUUAACCGGAAACAUGAUACAUGUGUGAAUACAUAGACAAACAUAUAGUCACUAGUAUGCCUCUACUUGACUAGCUCAUUAAUCAAAGAUGGUUAUGUUUCCUAACCAUAGACAUGUGUUGUCAUUUGAUUAAUGGGAUCACAUCAUUAGGAGAAUGAUGUGAUUGACAUGACCCAUUCUGUUAGCCUAGCAGUUGAUCGUUUAGUAUAUUGCUAUUGCUUUCUUCAUGACUUAUACAUGUUCCUGUAACUAUGAGAUUAUGCAACUCUCGUUUACCGAAGGAACACUUUGGGUACUACCAAACGUCACAACAUAACUGGGUGAUUAUAAAGGAGUACUACAGGUGUCUCCGAAGGUACAUGUUGAGUUGGCAUAUUUUGAGAUUAGGUUUUGUCACUCCGAUUGUCAGAGAGGUAUCUCUGGGCCCUCUCGGUAAUGCACAUCACUAUAAGCCUUGCAAGCAAUGUGACCAAUGAGUUGGUUACGGGAUGAUGCAUUACGUAACGAGUAAAGAGACUUGCCGGUAACGAGAUUGAACUAGGUAUUGGAUACCGACAAUCAAAUCUCGGGCAAGUAACAUACCGAUGACAAAGGGAACAACGUAUGUUGUUAUGCGGUUUGACCGAUAAAGAUCUUCGUAGAAUAUGUAGGAACCAAUAUGGGCAUCCAGGUUCCGCUAUUGAUUAUUGACUGAGAAUAGUUCUAGGUCAUGUCUACAUAGUUCUCGAACCCGUAGGGUCCGCACGCUUAAGGUUUCGAUGACAGUUAUAUUAUGAGUUUAUGAGUUUUGAUGUACCGAAGGAGUUCGGAGUCCCGGAUGAGACCGGGGACAUGACGAGGAGUCUCGAAAUGGUCGAGACGUAAAGAUCAAUAUAUUGGACGACUAUAUUCGGAGUUCGGAAAGGUUCCGAGUGAUUCGGGUAUUUUUUGGAGUACCGGAGAGUUACGGGAAUUCGCCGGGGAGUAUAUGGGCCUUAUUGGGCCAUACGGGAAUAGAGGAGAGAGGCCGAAAGGAAGGAGGCGCGCAGCCCCCCUCUGGUCCGAAUUGGACAAGGGGUGCGGCCCCCCUUUCCUUCCUCCUCUCCCCCUCUUUCCCCCUUUCUCCUACUCCAACAAGGAAGGAGGGAGUCCUACUCCCGGUGGGAGUAGGACUCCCCUUGGCGCGCCCCUCCUAGGCCGGCCGCCCCCUCCCCCCUUGCUCCUUUAUAUACGGGGGCAGGGGGGCACCUCUAGGGACAACACAAGUUGAUCUAUGGAUCGUUCCUUAGCCGUGUGCAGUGCCCCCCUCCACCAUAUUCCACCUCGGUCAUAUCGUCGCGGAGUUUUAGCGAAGCCCUGCGCCGGUAGAGUAUCAUCAUCGUCACCACGCCGUCGUGCUGACGAAACUCAUCCCCGACACUUUACUGGAUCGGAGUCCGGGGAUCGUUAUCGAGCUGAACGUGUGCUGAACUCGGAGGUGCCGUACGUUCGGUACUUGGAUCGGUCGGAUCGUGAAGACGUACGACUACAUCAACCGCGUUGUCAUAACGCUUCCGCUUACGGUCUAAGAGGGUACGUGGACAACACUCUCCCCUCUCGUUGCUAUGCCAUCACCAUGAUCUUGCGUGUGCGUAGGAAAUUUUUGAAAUUACUACGUUCCCCAACAGUGGUAUCAGAGCCAGGUUUUAUGCGUAGAUGUUAUAUGCACGAGUAGAACACAAGUGAGUUGUGGGCGAUACAAGUCAUACUGCUUACCAACAUGUCAUACUUUGGUUCAGCGGUAUUGCUGGAUGAAGCGGCCCGGACCGACAUUACGCGAGACUGGUUUUACCGCCGUGCUUUGCACAAAGGUGACUAGUGGGUGUCAGUUUCUCCAACUUUAGUUGAACCGAGUGUGGCUACGCCCGGUCCUUGCGAAGGUUAAAACAACACCAACUUGACGAACUAUCGUUGUGGUUUUGAUGCGUAGGUAAGAACGGUUCUUGCUCAGCCCGUAGCAGCCAUGUAAAACUUGCAACAACAAAGUAGAGGAUGUCUAACUUGUUUUUGUAGGGCAUGUUGUGAUGUGAUAUGGUCAAGACGUGAUGAGAUAUAAGUUGUUGUAUGAGAUGAUCAUGUUUUGUUGAAGUUAUCGGCAACUGGCAGAAGCCCUAUGGUUGUCUCUUUGUUGCAUAAGAUGCAAGUGCCAAAUAAUUGCUUUACUUUAUCGCUAUGCGAUAGCAAUAGUUGCAAGAGCAAUAGUUGGCGAGACGACCACGUAACGACACAUUGAUAUAGAUCAAGAUGAUGAAGAUCAUUGUGUCGUGCCGGUAACGAUAGAGAUCAUGACAGUACUUUGGAGAUGGAGAUCAAAGGCGCAAGAUGAUCAUGGCCAUAUCAUGUCACAUAUUUUGAUUGCAUAUGAUGUUUAUCUGUUAUACAUCUUAUUCUGUUUUGUUUGACGGUAGCAUUUUAAGAUGAUAUCUCACUAAUUAUCAAGAAGUGUUUUCCCUGAGUAUGCACCGUUGCGAAAGUUCUUUGUGCUGAGACACCACGUGAUGAUCGGGUGUGAUAGGCUCUACGUUCAAAUACAACAGGUGCAAAACAGUUGCACACGCGGAAUACUCAAGUUAAACUUGACGAGCCUAGCAUAUACAGAUAUGGCCUCGGAACACGGAGACCGAAAGGUCGAGCAUGAAUCAUAUAGUAGAUAUGAUCAACAUAUUGAUGUUCACCGUUGAAACUACUCCAUCUCACGUGACGAUCGGACAUGGUGUAGUUGAUAUGGAUCAUGUAAUCACUUAGAGGAUUAGAGGGAUGUCUAUCUAAGUGGGAGUUCUUAAGUAAUAUGAUUAAUUGAACUUAAAUUUAUCAUGAACUUAGUCCUGGUAGUAUUUUGCAAAUUAUGUUGUAGAUCAAUAGCUUGCGUUGUUGCUUUCAUAUGUUUAUUUUGAUAUGUUCCUAGAGAAAAUUGUGUUGAAAGAUGUUAGUAGCAAUGAUGCGGAUUGGAUCCGUGAUUUGAGGUUUAUCCUCAUUGCUGCACAGAAGAAUUAUGUCCUUAAUGCACCGCUAGGUGACAGACCUAUUGCAGGAGCAGACGCAGACGUUAUGAACGUUUGGCUAGCUCAAUAUGAUGACUACUUGAUAGUUUAGUGCACCAUGCUUAACGGCUUAGAACCGGGACUUCAAAGAUGUUUUGAACGUCAUGGACCAUAUGAGAUGUUCCAGGAAUUGAAGUUCAUAUUUCAAGCAAAUACCCGAGUUGAGAGAUAUGAAGUCUCCAACAAGUUCUAUAGCUUAAAAGAUGGAGGAGAAUCACUCAACUAGUAAGCAUGUGCUCAGAUUGUCUGGGUACUUCAAUCACUUGAAUCAAGUGGGAGUUAAUCUUCCAGAUAAGAUAGUGAUUGACAGAAUUCUCUAGUCACCAUCACUAAGUUACUAGAAAUUCGUGAUGAACUAUAGUAUGCAAGGGAUGACGAAAACAAUUCCCGAGCUCUUCGUGAUGUUGAAAUCGAUGAAGGUAGAAAUCAAGAAAGAGCAUCAAGUGUUGAUGAUUGACAAGACCACUAGUUUCAAUAAAAGGGCAAAGGGAAAGAAAGGGAACUUCAAGUAGAAUGACAAGCAAGUUGUCACUCCCACGAAGAAGCCCAAAGCUGAACCAAAGCCUGAAACUGAGUGCUCACACUGCAAAGGAAAUGGUCACUGGAAGCGGAAAUGCCCUGAAUAUUUGGUGGAUAAGAAGGAUGGCAAAGUGAACAAGGGUAUAUUUGAUAUACAGGUUAUUGAUGUGUGCCUUACUAGUGUUUAUAGUAGCUCCUGAGUAUUUGAUACUUGUUCGGUUGCUAAGAUUAGUAACUCGAAACAGGAGUUACAGAAUAAACAGAGACUAGUUGAAGGGGAAGUGACGAUGAGUGUUGUAAGUAGUUCCAAGAUUGAUAUGAUCAUCAUCGCACACUCCCUAUACUUUCGGGAUUAGUGUUAAACCUAAAUAAAUGUUAUUUGGCAUUUGCGUUGAGCAUGAACAUGAUUUGAUCGUGUUUAUUGCGAUACGGUUAUUCAUUUAAAGUUAGAGAAUAAUUAUUAUUCUAUUUACAUGAAUAAGACCUUCGAUGGUUAUACACCCAAUGAAAAUAGUUUGUUGGAUCUCGAUCGUAGUGAUACACAUAUUCAUAAUAUUGAUGCCAAAAGAUGCAAAGUUAAUAAUGAUAGUGCAACUUAUUUGUGGCACUGCCAUUUGGAUCAUAUCGGUGUAAAGCGCAUGAAGAAACUCCACAAAGAUGGAUUUUCGGAAUCACUUGGUUAUGAAUCAUUUGACGCUUGCGAACCGUGCCUUUUGGGCAAGAUGACUAAAACUCCGUUCUCCGGAACAAUGGAACAAGCUACUGACUUAUUGGAAAUAAUACAUACCGAUGUAUGCGAUCCAAUGAGUCUUGAUGCUCGUGGCAAGUAUCGUUAUUUUCUGACCUUCACAAAAUGAUUUGAGCAGAUAUGGGUAUAUCUACUUGAUGAAACAUAAGUCUGAAAUAAUUGAAAAGUUCAAAGAAUUUCAGAGUGAAGUGGAAAAAUCAUCGUAACAAGAAAAUAAAGUUUCUACGAUCUGAUCGCAGAGACGAAUAUUUGAGUUACGAGUUUGAUCUUCAAUUAAAACAAUGUGGAAUAGUUUCACAGCUCACGCCACCUGGAACACCACAACGUUAUGGUGUGUCCGAACGUCGUAACCGCACUUUAUUGGAUAUGGUGCGAUCUAUGAUGUCUCUUAUCGGUUUUACCACUAUCAUUUUGGGGUUGUGCAUUAGAGACAACUGCAUUCACAUUUAAAAAGGGCACCAUCUAAAUCCAUUGAGACGACACCGUAUGAACUAUGGUUUAGCAGUAAACCUAAGCUGUCGUUUCUUAAAGUUUGGAGUUGCGAUGCUUACAUAAAAAAGGUUUUCAACCUGAUAAGCUCGAACCCAAAUCGGAGAAGUGCGUCUUCAUAGAAUACCCAAAGGAAACUGUUGGGUACACCUUCUAUCACAAAUCCAAAGGCAAAACAUCUGUUGCUAAGAAUGGAUCCUUUCUAGAGAAGGAGUUUCUCUUGAAAGAAGUGAGUGGGAGGAAAGUAGAACUUGAUGAGGUAACUGUACCUGCUCCCUCAUUUGAAAGUAGUUCAUCACAGAAAUCUGUUCCUGUGACUACUACACCAAUUAGUGAGGAAGUUAAUGAUGAUGAUCAUGAAACUUCAGAUUAAGUUACUACAGAAUCUUGUAGGUCUUACAGAGUAAGAUCCGCACCAGAGUGGUACGGUAAUCCUGUUCUGGAAGUUAUGUUACUAGACCAUGACGAACCUACGAACUAUGAAGAAGCGAUGGUGAGCCCAGAUUCCGCAAAAUGGCUUGAGGCCAUGAGAUCUGAGAUAAGAUCCAUGUAUGAAAACAAAGUAUGGACUUUGAUUGACUUGCCCAAUGAUCGGCGAGACAUUGAGAUUAAAUGGAUCUUCAAGAGGAAGACGGACACUGAUAGUGUUACUAUCUACAAAGCUAGAAUUGUCGCAAAAGGUUUUCGACAAGUUCAAGGUGUUGACUACGAUGAGAGUUUUUCACUCGUAUCUAUGCUUAAGUCUGUCUGAAUCAUGUUAGCAAUUGCCGCAUUUUAUGAAAUCUGGCAAAUGGAUAAACAAAACUGCAUUCCUUAAUGGUUUUCUUAAAGAAGAGUUGUAUAUGAUGCAACCAGAAGGUUUUGUCAAUCCUAAAGGUGCUAACAAAUUGUGCAAGCUCUAGCGAUCCAUCUAUGGACUGGUGCAAGCAUCUCGGAGUUGGAAUAUAUGCUUUGAUGAGUUGAUCAAAGCAUAUGGUUUUAUACAGACUUUUUGAAGAAGCCUGUAUUUACAAGAAAGUGAGUGGGAGCUCUGUAGCAUUUCUAAUAUUAUAUGUGGAUGGCAUAUUGUUAAUUGGAAAUGAUAUGGAAAUUCUGGAUAGCAUGAAAGGAUACUUGAAUAAGAGUUUUUCAAAGCAAGACCUCGGUGAAGCUGCUUACACAUUGAGCAUCAAGAUCUAUAUAGAUAGAUCAAGACGCUUGAUAAGAUUUUUCAAUGAGUACAUACCUUGAUAAAUUUUUGAAAUAGUUCAAAAUGGAAUAGCCAAAGAAGGAGUUCUUGCCUGUGUUACAAGGUGUGAAGUUGAGUAAGACUCAAGACCCGACCAUUGCAGAAAAUAGAAAGAGAAUGAAAAGUCAUUCCCUAUGCCUCAGUCAUAGGUUCUAUAAAGUAUGCUAUGCUGUAAACCAGACCUAUUGUAUACCUUGCUCUGUGUUUGGCAAAGGAAUACAAUUUUGAUCUAAUAAGUAGAUCACUGGACAUGGGUCAAGAAUAUCCUUAGUGAGGACUAAGGAGAUGUUUCUCGAUUAUGGAGGUGAUAAAAGAGCCCGUCAUUAAAGUUACAACGAUGCAAGCUUUUACACCAAUCCAGAUGACUCUAAGUCUCAAUCUGGAUACAUAUUGAAAGUGGGAACAAUUAGCUAGAGUAGCUCCAUGCAGAGCAUUGUGGACAUAGAAUAUUUGCGAAAUACAUACGGCUCUGAAUAUGACAGACCCGUUGACUAAGCUUCUCUCACGAGCAAAACAUGAUCAUACCUUAGUACUCUUUUGGGUGUUAAUCACAUAGAGAUGUGAACUAGAUUAUUGACUCUAGUAAACCCUUUGGGUGUUGAUCACAUGAUGAUGUGAACUAUGGGUAUUAAUCACAUGCAGAUGUGAAUAUUGGUGUUAAAUCACAUAGCGAUGUGAACUAGAUUAUUGACUCUAGUGCAAGUGGGAGACUGAAGGAAAUAUGCCCUAGAGGCAAUAAUAAAGUUAUUAUUUAUUUCCUUAUUUCAUGAUAAAUGUUUAUUAUUCAUGCUAGAAUUGUAUUAACCGGAAACAUGAUACAUGUGUGAAUACAUAGACAAACAUAUAGUCACUAGUAUGCCUCUACUUGACUAGCUCAUUAAUCAAAGAUGGUUAUGUUUCCUAACCAUAGACAUGUGUUGUCAUUUGAUUAAUGGGAUCAUAUCAUUAGGAGAAUGAUGUGAUUGACAUGACCCAUUCCGUUAGCCUAGCAGUUGAUCGUUUAGUAUAUUGCUAUUGCUUUCUUCAUGACUUAUACAUGUUCCUGUAACUAUGAGAUUAUGCAACUCCCGUUUACCGGAGGAACACUUUGGGUACUACCAAACGUCACAACGUAACUGGGUGAUUAUAAAGGAGUACUACAGGUCUCUCCGAAGGUACAUGUUGAGUUGGCAUAUUUCGAGAUUAGGUUUUGUCACUCCGAUUGUCGGAGAGGUAUCUCUGGGCCCUCUCGGUAAUGCACAUCACUAUAAGCCUUGCAAGCAAUGUGACCAAUGAGUUGGUUACGGGAUGAUGCAUUACGUAACGAGUAAAGAGACUUGCCGGUAACGAGAUUGAACUAGGUAUUGGAUACCGACAAUCAAAUCUCGGGCAAGUGACAUACCGAUGACAAAGGGAACAACAUAUGUUGUUAUGCGGUUUGACCGACAAAAAUCUUCGUAGAAUAUGUAGGAACCAAUAUGGGCAUCCAGGUUCCGCUAUUGGUUAUUGACCGAGAAUAGUUCUAGGUCAUGUCUACAUAGUUCUCGAACCCGUAGGGUCCGCAUGCUUAAGGUUUCGAUGACAGUUAUAUUAUGAGUUUAUGAGUUUUGAUGUACCGAAGGAGUUCGGAGUCCCGGAUGAGAUCGGGGACAUGACGAGGAGUCUCGAAAUGGUCGAGACGUAAAGAUCGAUAUAUUGGACGACUAUAUUCAGAGUUCGGAAAGGUUCCGAGUGAUUCGGGUAUUUUUUGGAGUACCGGAGAGUUACGGGAAUUCGCCAGGGAGUAUAUGGGCCUUAUUGGGCCAUACGGGAAUAGAGAAGAGAGGCCGAAAGGAAGGAGGCGCGCAGCCCCCCUCUGGUCCGAAUUGGACAAGGGGUGCGGCCCCCCUUUCCUUCCUCCUCUCCCUCUCUUUUCCCCUUUCUCCUACUCCAACAAGGAAGGAGGGAGUCCUACUCCCGAUGGGAGUAGGACUCCCCUUGGCGCGCCCCUCCUAGGCCGGCCGCCCCCUCCCCCCUUGCUCCUUUAUAUACGGGGGCAGGGGGGCACCUCUAGGGACAACACAAGUUGAUCUACGGAUCAUUCCUUAGCCGUGUGCGAUGCCCCCCUCCACCAUAUUCCACCUCGGUCAUAUCGUCGCGGAGUUUUAGCGAAGCCCUGCGCCGGUAGAGCAUCAUCAUCGUCACCACGCUGUCGUGUUGACGGAACUCAUCCCCGAUACUUUGCUGGAUCGGAGUCCGGGGAUCAUCAUCGAGCUGAACGUGUGCUGAACUCGGAGGUGCCGUACGUUCGGUACUUGGAUCGGUCGGAUCGUGAAGACGUACGACUACAUCAACCGCGUUGUCAUAACGCUUCCGCUUACGGUCUACGAGGGUACGUGGACAACACUCUCCCCUCUCGUUGCUAUGCCAUCACCAUGAUCUUGCAUGUGCGUAGGAAUAUUUUGAAAUUACUACGUUCCCCAACAAGGCUUGGGUGGAAUCAACAUGUACACAUCCGUUUCACACCCAAUGUCUUCCUUCCCGCUUCGAUGGAGUAGUUCUUCCUUCCGUGUUCCUGCCCUGUCCUACCCCAGCGGUAGUACCGCGGUCCUCAGCGGUAGUACCUCCGAAGCUCUCUAGCGGUAGUACCGCUCCUGGAGCGGUAGUACCGCUCCCCCGAGCGGUAGUACCGCUUGAGGACUUCGUCCGUAGUACCGCAAUUGGUCCACGCUAGUACCGCUUCGAUUCUCGACCGAUGUUUUUCGUGUCGGGUUUUGCGUACUAGGAGCGGUAGUAGUGGCGGUAGUACCUCUCCAAGUGGUAGUACCGCUCUUACUCACGCGGUAGUACCACUCUGGGGCCAGGGCCCUGUCUUCCUCGUCAGCGCGGUAGUACCACUGGGUAGGAGCGGUAGUACCGCCCUCGGCGGUAGUACCGCCCUGCCCAAGUGGUAGUACCGCUCUGUGCGGGGCUGCUCAGUGGGGUAACGGUUGGAAUAGUUCUCCCACUAUAUAAAGGUGUCUUCUUCCUCCAAGUUGACCUACGUCUUUCCCCCAAAGCUCCAUUGUUGGUCCAAGCUCCAUUUUCGCCCGGUCUCUCUCCCUAGCCAAUCAAACUUGUUGAUUUGCUCGGGAUUGGUUGAGAAGGCCCAGAUCUACACUUCCACCAAGAGAAAUUUGAUCCCCCCCACUUAUCCCUAGCGGAUCUUGUUACUCUUGGGUGUUGAGCACCCUAGACGGUUGAGGUCACCUCGAAGCCAUACUCCAUUGUGGUGAAGCUUCGUGGUGUUGUUGGGAGCCUCCAAGUGUUGUGGAGAUAGCCCCAAUCUUGUUUGUAAAGGUUCGGUCGCCGCCUUCAAGGGCACCAAUAGUGGAAUCACGGCAUCUCGCAUUGUGUGAGGGCGUGAGGAGAUUACGGUGGCCCUAGUGGCUUCUUGGGGAGCAUUGUGCCUCCACACUGCUCUAACGGAGACGUACUUCCCUUCAAAAGGAAGGAACUCCGGUAACACAUCCUCGCCUCCACCGGCUCCACUCUUGGUUAUUUCGUGCCUUUACUUUUGCAAGCUUACUUGUGUUGCAUCUAUUGCUUGUUUGUGUGCUAGGUGUCUUUGCAUCAUAUAGGUUGUUCACGUAGUUGCACAUCUAGACAACCUAUUUCGUUGAAAGUUUUAAAUUGUGAAAGAAAAGCCUAAAAAAUGUUAGUUGCCUAUUCACCCCCCCUCUAGUCAACCAUAUCGAUCCUUUCAAUUGGUAUCAGAGCCUCGUCUCUUUAUUAAGGACUUUGCCGUCCGAAGAGUAUGGUUGACACCAACGACGGUGCGGAGGAACACUCCGGUGUGAAUCCCAUCUCGUCUUCGACCGAAGGGGGAACCUCGGUCUCACGUGAGGAAUUCAAUGUGGCUUUAGACACAUUGAAAACCUCCAUGACGGCCGAGGUUAAAAGCAUGUUUACUGAAUUUCUAGAAGGACUUAAACUAUCUACCUCGCCGAUGAAAGUGGAUGAUCCCACUAACAAGGUGAUGGAUGCUACCUCCGACAAGGGGGAAGCUAACAAUGAAAAGAGUCCUUCUACUAGUGGUAGAAAUGGCACCGGCAUCUUUGCCCAUGUGGAACCUCCUAUUUAUAGAGGACCGAUCCCCUCCACUCAUUUGAAUCACGCCGGUCCUCCUCCUAAAUAUGAGAAGCAUGAAGAUUUUGACUCUUGGGUUUAUCGCUUCAAGCGUCAUUUAAAACAUGUGAACACUAACCUUUGGAGAAUCAUUGAAGAAGGUUUUUAUCCUCACGACCCAAGCAACUUCACCCCUCGAGAAGACGUGGACAAUCAACUCAAUGAGAGUGCUCUCUUCAUCAUCUAAGAUGCCAUCCUUCCCGAAGAUCUCCCUCAUCUUCGACCUCAUGUCAUGGCUAAAGAAGCAUGGAAAUGUGUCGAGGGUCUCUAUCGAGGAAGUGCUAGCAUUCAACGCUCCAACUAUGAAGUGGUGCAAGAUGAAGCCGAUGAGUUUGCAAUGAAAGAAGAUGAAGAACCUCGUGAGCUCUUUCGAAGAGUGACCAAACUUGCGGUCGCACUCCGAGAUCAUGGAAGCAAGGACACGGAUGACAAUUGGAUCAAGCGCAAGUUCCUCAAGGCCAUGAUGCCCUACAACAAGGCCAUGUCCUCCAUCAUUCUUCAAAGACCGGACUUCCACUCCAUGACCUCAAGUGAAGUGUUGGAUGAGUUCGUUGCAAUGAGCAUCUUGGACAAGACCGCCGAUAAUGAGGUGCUCCGUUCUCAAAGGGUAAAGAAGCCCAACCUUGCUUUGAAGGCCAAGGUUAUCUUGGAAGAAGAGGAAGAAGUGGAAGAUGAGGAGAGCAACCCCGAAGACACCAAAUUUGAUUACCAUGAGCACAUGGCCCUUGCUUCAAGACAAUUUUGGAGCAAGAAGAAUUCAAGACCCAACUUCAACAAGAACAACUCAAGUGGCGUCAAGGGCAAGCAACGAGUUAGAACUUGCUUCAACUGUGGCAAUGUGAGCCAUUUCGUUGCGGAUUGUCCUUAUGAGAAGCGGGAAGACAAUGGUGGCAAGUUCAUCCGAAAAGACAAAGCCAAGUCCUUCCCCAACAAGAACAACUUUUCCAAGAAGACUCCCACUCAUGGGUUGGUGGUUCAAGAAGAAUACCAAGAGGAUGGCGAUGAUGAUGAAAAUGAGGAAGCAAUGGCAAUGGCAUCCGUUGCCAUUGCUACUACUCCCCGGGUGUCUCUCUUUGAUUCACCCAACGAGAACAUCACCGCCAAAUGCCUCAUGGCUAAAGCUUCAAACAAGGUGUUUGCUUCCGGUGGGGGAUCAUGGUUGCUCGAUAGUGGAGCAACAAAUCAUAUGACCGGGAGCAAGGACAUGGUGGUGGACGUGCAAAAGAUUCCAUCUAUGCCCACCAAUGUCGAGUGGGGUGAUGCAUCACAUUCUAAGGUAUUGGGUCUCGGCAAGGUUGUCAUUUCUCAUGAUCUAAUGAUCGAGAAAGUCAUGCUUGUUGAGUCCCUUGCAUACAAUUUGCUUUCUGUUCGUCAACUUGCAAUCAUGGGUUUUGCUACUUUCUUUGACAUUGAUACCGUGGCCCUCUUGUGGAGCAAGACUCUUAAAGUAGCCUUUGUUGGGCAUGUCGAGAACGGUCUCUAUGUGAUUAACUUUUCGGAGCGACCCACUAAGACCGUGAUAGGCCUAAUGGCUAAAGUUGACGUGGGAUGGCUUUGCCAUCGCCGUUUAGCUCACGUCAAUAUGAGAUCUUUGCAAAGUCUUCUCAAGGGGGACCAUGUUCGUGGACUAACAAAUGUUAGUUUUGCCAAAGAUCGUGCUUGAAGUGCCUGUAUUGAAGGAAAGCUACAUGAGAAGGCUCACCCUCCCUCAACACAUCUACUCGAAGAGACCCUUGGAGCUCCUUCACAUGGAUCUCUUUGGGCCUCCAUCUUUUGAUAGUCUUGGAGGAAGAAAGUAUUGCUUGGUGAUUGUGGAUGAUUAUUCAAGAUACACUUGGGUAUACUUCUUCAAGAGGAAGAGUGAGACUCAACAAACCAUCAUCAACUUUGCAAAUGAAGCUCAACAUCAACAUAAUGCAAAGAUCUUGACAAUCAGAAGUGACAACGGCACCGAGUUCAAGAACUACACCUUGGAUGAGUUUCUUAGUGAUGAGGGGAUCAAGCACCAAUAUGCUGCUCCAUACACCCCUCAACAAAAUGGUGUGGCGGAGAGGAAGAACCGGACAUUGAUGGAUGCGGCUAGGACCAUGAUGGCGGAGUUCAAGUCUCCAUACAACUUUUGGGCCGAAGCCAUCAACACUGCAUGUCAUGCAUCCAAUCGGCUCUAUCUCCGCAAAGGCUUGAACAAGACUCCAUAUGAGAUACUCACCGGCAACAAGCCCAACCUCAAGUACUUCCGGGUGUUCGGUUGUAAGUGUUUCAUUCUCAAGAAAGGUGUUCGUUUGUCUAAAUUUGAGGCUAGAGCUCAUGAGGGCAUAUUUGUUGGUUAUGCUACAAACUCUCAUGCUUACCGUGUUCUCAACAAGUCCACCGGACUCAUUGAGGAGACAUGUAACGUGGAGUUUGACGAAAAUAACGGCUCCCAAGUGGAGCAAAGUGGUACUUGUGAUGUAGGUGAUGAAAUUCCUCCCCAAGCCAUAAGAAGAAUGGGUAUUGGUCAUAUUCUACCCAUUGAGGAACCCCUUGUGGCCGAAGGAGAAGGACAAUGCUCCACUCAAGUGGAGCCAUCACCUCCCCAAGACCCACACGCUUCUGAAGAACAAAGUGAAGGCCCUCAACCUCGUGAACAAGACCAAGGGCAAGAUCAAUCUCAAGAUGGUGGUGAACCUCUAAAUGAUGCCCAAUGUCAAGUUCUCCCCCUCGAGCAAGUUCAAGAUCAUGAGCAAGCUCAAGAUCAAGAACAAGCUCAAGACGGCGCUCAAGAGAAUCAAGUCAACCCUCCUCCUUCCACUUCCGAGGAGGAAUUAGAGCGUCGUGCCGCGAAGAUUGCUUCCAAGCUCACCACCCAAGGCCAUCUCUUGGAAAAUGUGGUUGGAAGCCUAAGAAAGGGGGUAAGCACUAGUAGACAAUUAGCAAACUAUUGUGAACAUCACGCGUUUGUCUCUUGUGUUGAACCCCAGAAGGUCUAUGAGGCGCUCGAAGACUCGGAUUGGCUCAAUGCCAUGCAUGAAGAACUCAACAACUUCGAGCACAACAAGGUGUGGAGAUUGGUGCCAAGGCCAUCGGGGAACCACAACGUCAUUGGAACCAAGUGGAUCUUCAAGAACAAGCAAGAUGCUCAUGGGAACAUCAUUCACAACAAGGCAAGAUUGGUAGCACAAGGCUACUCCCAAGUCGAGGGUAUCGACUACGAUGAAACCUUUGCUCCCGUUGCUCGUCUUGAAUCCAUACGUUCGUUGAUUGCUUAUGCUUCCCAUCACAACUUUAAGUUUUAACAAAUGGAUGUGAAAAGUGCUUUCCUUAGUGGUCCUAUUAAUGAGUUGGUCUAUGUCAAGCAACCCCCGGGGUUUGAGGAUCUUUACUUCCCAGAUCAUGUGUAUCAACUCGAUAAGGCACUCUAUGGCCUUAAACAAGCCCCACGUGCGUGGUAUGACCACCUUACCGAGUUGUUACAAGAUCGUGGAUUUGAAGUGGGGCUAAUCGAUCCCACUCUUUUUACUAAGAAGGUCAAAGGGGAGUUGUUUGUAUGCCAACUAUAUGUUGAUGACAUUAUCUUUGGUUCCCCUAACAAAGCUUUCAAUGAGGAAUUUGCCGCUCUCAUGACCUCCAAGUUCUAGAUGUCUUCAAUGGGAGAGUUGAAGUUCUUCCUUGGUUUUGACAUUAAACAAAGAAGAGAAGGAACCUUCAUCAACCAAGCCAAAUACACUCAAGACAUGCUAAAAAGAUUCAAGCUAAGUGAUGUCAAGCCGGCUACUACUCCAAUGCCCACCAAGUGCCAACUUGACAUUGAUCCCAAUGGUAAAGCGGUGGAUCAAAAGGUAUAUCGCUCCAUGAUUGGCUCCCUUCUUUACCUUUGUGCAUCUAGACCGGAUAUCAUGUUGAGUGUGGGGAUGUGUGCACGGUUUCAAGCCGCACCGAAGGAAAUUCACUUUGUGGCGGUCAAGCGAAUCUUUCGAUAUUUGGCUCAUACCCCAAACUUUGGCUUAUGGUACCCAAGAGGGGCGGAUUUCAAGCUUGAAGGAUUUACGAAUUCCGAUUGGGCGGGAGACAAAGUGGAUAGGAAGUCCACUUCCAGAGGGUGCCAAUUUCUUGGGUGCUCUUUGGUGAGUUGGUCUUCCAAAAAGCAAAGUUGUGUAUCUGUCUCAUCCACCGAAGCGGAAUAUGUGGAGGCCGGUAGUUGUUGUGCACAACUCUUAUGGAUGAGGCAAACUUUAAAGGAAUACGGUGUCAUUUGUGACAAAGUGCCUCUUUGGUGUGACAACGAGAGUGCCAUCAAGAUUUCUCUCAACCCGGUGCAACACUUCAAGACGAAGCAUAUUGAGAUUCGAUAUCAUUUCAUCCGAGAUCACAUUAGGCGAGGGGAGAUCGAGCUCAAGUAUGUUAACACUCAUGAUAACCUUGUAGAUAUUUUCACGAAGCCCUUGGAUGAAGCAAGAUUUCGCGAGUUAAGGCAUGAGCUAAAUAUCAUUGAUUCGAGCAAUGUGACUUGAACCCUUGCACAUCCCACCUCACUCAACUUGAUGUCUAGUUUAGAUGUAGGCAUGGACAUAGGGGGAGUGUUGUUCUCUCAAUGAACUCUCCCUCCCCCCAUUAUGCAUAAAUCGAUCAACUCUUUCACAUUAGCCAUUUUUUAUGGUACUUGUGCUUCAAAGACGAGUUUUGGUCAUGGGCCCAAGGAUAAUUCUUCGCGGUGCCAUACCAAUUGACUCAAACAUAGGUGGCUCCGGCCACCAUCCUCUCUUGAGAGAGGACAGAGCUCGCUCUGUUUCGUGUGGUUGUUUUUGUUUGAGUGGUUUCUGGUCCGUUGCUUGUGUGUGUGCUGCCUUGUUGGUCUUCUUUUUCUCUUGGGUUUCUUUUCCGUCUUUUUGGAGCUUUAGCAUUUGGUCUAGAAGUCGUGCGGUUGCUGAAGCGAUACUACCGCUGGUGGCGAGCGGUACUACUGCUCCUAGUGGUACUAUCGCCCUCCAGUGCGGUACUACCGCGGUGAGGUGCGGGCAGGGGGUUAUAUCGGGGGCAAGUGGAGUUUCUUCUCCCCCAUACCCAUUCGCUCGCCCCCUCGUCUGUUCCUCUCUCUCUUCAGCAACCGGCGCCGCGGGAGGGCUCCGGCGGAUCUCCCUCUCUGGGGCGCUCCUCUCCAUUUCCUUCGGUGGAGUCAAUCCCCACCUUGUCCUCUUGCCAUGGAUGACGGUAUUGCCCCCGUUCCCUGUUUCCUUUUGUCUAGAUUUCCAAUAUAGCGUCUUAGGGGCAAUAGCAGUUGCAUCUCUAGAUUUUUGGCCAGAUCUAGGCUUGAGUAGGAUGGAGAAUGCUUCUAGACAGUGUGGAUUAGUGUUUGGUUGGAGUAUUUUUGAAUUUGGUAGGACGGUAGUACUGGAUCUGACCAUGGCAGUUGGAACCGACUAUUUCCCCGCCUCGAGCGGUACUACCGCUCUCCCCAGAGCGGUACUACCGCUUGGAGCGGUACUACCGCUUGGAGUGGUACUACCGCUCAGAGGUCGCGGUACUACCGCCCUCUACCAAUUUCCACCAUAUUCCUACCUUUCAGUGAUCCUUUUUGCUCGUGUUUUGUGGCUUAUGCUCGUUCUUUCUGGUUGUUUGUGUGUUCUUGUGUGUGGUUCUAGGUGAUGAGGUCCCUAAGCAUCAGGCUCGUCGUGUCAACCUCGGUCGUGCCACGUCCAAGUGCUACCGCACCACCGAGCCUGUCGGAGGUUCUUCAAGUGCUCCACCUCCACCUCAACUCCAGAAGAAGCCUGGGGUCAAGCCAAAGCUAGGCAAAACCGUGCCAGAAAUGCCGCCCAAGGAGUUCUGGGCAAGGCGCCGCCGCAACCCAUAUGAGUUAGACCAAGAUCCCACUUUGGUCAACCGUCCGUUCUGGAACAGGUUCCAGUUUGCCAUCUUCUUUGAUCUUCUCAAAGCCAAGAAGAAUCUCUAUGUCAACGUACACUCCAUCGACACCGACCAUAUGGAGAAUGAUCCUGAAUACUUUGGUGAAGCUCUUCAGAUGUGCACUUGACUGAACAUUCUUGGGAUCAUGCAAUUCAACAAGGACUAUGAUGCUGAUAUUGUGGCCCAAUUCUAUGCCACGGUUCACCUUGGGACUGAUGAGGACAUGACACUGACUUGGAUGACCAAUGGCAAGUUGCUUUCAGUCAAGUGGAAAGCUUUCAUGGAGUUGAUUGGGGUGCAAGAUCUAGGUCUUGAGUCUUCUGUCGGCUUUCGCCCCACAGCCGCCCCAAUGCCACUCACAAGCAAGCUCUAUGGCCCUAUUGCACUUUGAAGAUCAACCAUGAGACGAAGAAGGAAACCUAUGAGCUGCCUGCCUAUCUGGAUAUCCUUCACCGUAUCUUCAGAGAGACUCUUUUCCCUCGUAUCGGGAAUCUGGACCAGGUUCACUCCUAUCUCGUGGACAUGCUUCUCUUCUGCCAGCGUGAGAAGGGACACCGGAGAGUCCUUGGAUAUCUCUCAUGUUAUGUGGUCUGAGCUGCUAUCUGCUAUCUCCGAGCGCAAGUGCCCGAUUUAUGGUCCAUUCAUCAUGCUGCUCAUUGAGAAGGCCUGGGAUCGUGUCUGUCCCCAGGUGUUACUGGAGACUGGAGAGUUGGUCUCUCAUGAUGUCAAGCGUCUAAGGAAGAAGGAUAACUGGGGCACUCAGGCCCCUUGGACUGGAGUUCCUUCAUUUGCUACUGCCAUGGAGACCGAGGAGGAGACUGGGGCUGAGGAUGAUGAUGAUGACUACGUGCCUUCUGAGGCAGAGCCCUCUUGGGCAAAGAAGCUCAAGCUCAAGAUGAAGAAGUUGUUCUGCAUGGAGUAUCACGGUCUCAUGUGACUGAGAAGAAGGCCCGAGGUCACCACAAGGAGCUCAUGCGUCAGUUGGGUGCUACAGUUAUCAGUGGGUCUGAGGACCAGCUUACCGAGGAGGAGGAGUGGAUUCAGCAGCACUGCCCAUGGACCGAUUCUGAUGCCCAGCACUUCCAGACUGAUGAUGGUGGCGCCGAUGAUCCCGUUGAGCUCUGAUGUGUGUGUCCCUUGUUUGCUCUCACCUGGAGCCGUAGCAUCACUCCCUCUCCUUUUUGGUGUCUCGAUGCCAAAGGGGGAGAGAGUUUAGGGAUUUGCGCUUUGUGUCUUCCGUCUCUUGUGUUCAUGUUUUCCUCGCUUUUGCUUUGUUUGGUUUGUCCGUGAGACCUAAGUUCGAGUCAUAUGGUGUGAGACAUAUGCUACCUUAUCUUUCCAGUUUCAUUAUCUAUGUCACUAUCUAGCUUAUGAGUUGCUUGCUUAUCCUGUUAAGUCAUCUAUGCUGCUCUCAUAUAUCUUGCUUAGAUUGUUGGUCUCUAAAAUGUAGGGGGAGCAUUGAUCCUAGUAUGUGUGCCGUGCAGUCCAAAGAACUUAUCUAGAUAGCACACAUCUAGGGGGAGCCCAUCUACAUUUAGGAUGGUGGGGUUUGUGCGCUUACUCUAUAUCAUGUUUGUGCAAAUCCCGUAUUGUCAUCAGUCCACCAAAAAGGGGGAGAUUGUAAGGGCAUAUUUAUCCCCAAGAUGUUUUGGUGAUUGAUGACAAUGCUUUUGCAGACUAAUCGUGUGCGUUAAGUUCUUUCAGAGAUUCAUCCAUUGGCACGAGACGAUUUCCUCCCCUUGGAGUGUCUUUCAAGACAGUGUAGCUCCUUCGUCUCUCUGUUGGUGGACUAGUUUCGUAGGAGUCACCGUACUAUCAAGAGGGGAUCCUCUUUGGUAAGGCUUGGGUGGAAUCAACACGUACACAUCCGUUUCACACCCAAUGUCUUCCUUCCCUCUUCAAUGGAGCAGUUCUUCCUUCCGUGUUCCUGCCCUGUCCUACCCCAGCGGUAGUACCGCAGUCCUCAGCGGUAGUACCGCAGAAGCUCUCUAGCGGUAGUACCACUCCUGGAGCGAUAGUACCGCUCCCCCGAGCAGUAGUACCGCUUGAGGACUUCGGCCGUAGUACCGCAGCUGGUCCGCACUAGUACCGCUUCGAUUCUCGACCGAUGUUUUUCGUGUUGGGUUUUGCGGUACUAGGAGCGGUAGUAGUGGCGGUAGUACCACUCCAAGCGGUAGUACCGCUCUUACUCCCGCGGUAGUAUCGCUCUGGCGCCAGGGCCCUGUCUUCCUCGUCAGCACGGUAGUACCGCUGGGUAGGAGUGGUAGUACCGCCCUCAGCAGUAGUACCGCCCUGCCCAAGCGGUAGUACCGCUCUGUGCGGGGCUGCUCAGUGGGGUAACGGUUGGAAUAGUUCCUCCACUAUAUAAAGGUGUCUUCUUCCUCCAAGUUGACCUACCUCUUUCCCCCAAAGCUCCAUUGUUGCUCCAAGCUCCAUUUUCACCCGAUCUCUCACCCUAGCCAAUCAAACUUGUUGAUUUGCUCGGGAUUGGUUGAGAAGGCCCAGAUCUACACUUCCACCAAGAGAAAUUUGAUUCCCCCCAGUUAUACCUAGCGGAUCUUGUUACUCUUGGGUGUUGAGCACCCUAGACGGUUGAGGUCACCUCGAAGCCAUACUCCAUUGUGGUGAAGCUUCGUGGUGUUGUUGGGAGCCUCCAAGUGUUGUGGAGAUAGCCCCAAUCUUGUUUGUAAAGAUUCGGUCGCCGCCUUCAAGGGCACCAAUAGUGGAAUCACGACAUCUCGCAUUGUGUGAGGGCGUGAGGAGAUUACGGUGGCCCUAGUGGCUUCUUGGGGAGCAUUGUGCCUCCACACCGCUCUAACGGAGACGUACUUCCCUUUAAAAGGAAGGAACUCCGGUAACACAUCCUCGUCUCCACCGGCUCCACUCUUGGUUAUUUCGUGCCUUUACUUUUGCAAGCUUACUUGUGUUGCAUCUAUUGCUUGCUUGUGUGCUAGGUGUCUUUGCAUCAUAUAGGUUGUUCACGUAGUUGCACAUCUAGACAACCUAUUUCGUUGCAAGUUUUAAAUUGUUAAAGAAAAGCCUAAAAAUUCUUAGUUGCCUAUUCACCCCCCUCUAGUCAACCAUAUCGAUCCUUUCACUGUUGCUAACUGAAGCCGAUUGAUUGGAUGAACAGUGAGUGUUGUGGAGGGGGGGGGGGUUGGAUGAACUGUGAGCGGUGGGGGUGGAUGCAGGACCCCGAGGCGUUGCCUCUGGAUGAACAGGACAACCCCGUGGAGGGCUGGAUGAACAGUAGAUAAUGAAGGGGUGCCCAUCGAGGGGUGGUUGAACAGUAGCCGGUGGAGUAGUGCACGGUUGAGGCUGGAUGAACAGGAGCCUGUGGAGGCUAGAGGAGGUCGAUGGUAGCCCGUGGAGGCUGGAGGAGGUUGACGGUGGAGAUGAACAGUAUCCCGUGGAGUCCUGUUUUGUGGUACGCCACACCCCUCCCGAUGAACAGGACCCCCAUUUCGACCGUCGUGCUCAAACACAAGUCCGUUUAGUCCAUUUUGCGGUACGCCACACCCCUCCCGAUCAACAGGACCCCCGUUUCGACCUUAGGGGGUCCAUUUCCUCCGUUUUGCGAUACGCCAGACCCCUCCCGAUGAACAGGAUCCCGUUUCGAACGUGGCCGAUCGAACACAUGGCCGUUUCCUCCGUUCUGCGGUAUGCCAGGCCUCGUUUCCAUCGCCUGUUCCGUCCAAGCCCUCCCGAUGAACACGACGACGCAUUCUGUUCCGACCUAGCCGGUUGGCUCCCCAUGAACACGACGACGACGCUGUUUCUCCGUUCCGACCCAGCCAUAUACACGAGCCCUGGCCGUACGUAUGCGCGAGUAGGCGUUUGAGACCCCGCCCGUAUGUACGUAUGUGGCCGUAUUUUCUUUCUUGCACCCUGGCCGUUGUACGUAUGUGUACAUGCUACAUGCGCACCUCUACUACGACAUGUGCGCGCCUCUACUAUGACACGUGCGCGCCUCUACAUCCACUAGUAUGUACAAACAUGUUGGCGACCAGAAUGACAACGCUAUGUAUGCUUCGACCAAGUGGGUCCCGACUGUCAGGCACUUCCUUGCCUGCAAAGAUGUAGCUGGUGGGUCCCAGCAGUCAGGGGGGUGAAUCAUUUUUUUGCCCGGACGCACUUCCUUGCGUGCGAAGAUGUAGCUGGUGGGUCCCAGCAGUCAGGGGGAACGUUUUUUUCGUGAAAUACGGUGGCCCGUCCGGUGGGUCCCCGCUGUCAGGCGGAGGAAUAAUUAUUUUGCUCAUAAUAAGGAGGCACUUCCUUGCUGCGGCCGUGGACCCAGCUGUCAACCUCUCCACGUACAGUCCAUGUCCGAUGGAAGCCGUUCCUUGACCAUGUUGACCACGCCGCGCCGAGAGAACCAGGGCGGUGGACGAUGGCGAGGCCUAGGAUGGGGACGACACGGAGCCAGGGAAGACGCGGUAGUGGAAGCCCACGCGUAGAGGAGUACGAGGGUUCACUGGUUCGCUGUGGUGUAAGGCUGUCGUCGCCGCAGAAUAACAGGGGAUGUGGGUGGGUAGAGGGAUGGCCUGGCCAGCGGUGGGAGUAGUAGGGGCGGUGAGGCCUCCGCCGCAUCGCAGCCGGCCACGGGAGGCAGGAGCAUGAGGCACGACCGGCACUGGUUUGGGCGGCUGGAGCAAGAAGACCAGAGGUUGAAGAAGCACUACGACCGUUGGAUGGACAUCGUACGGUCACUGGAGCUAGAAUCGUGCAUAUUGACUAAGUUGACAAAGCCCUCCGUCCCCGUCAACUUAGUAGGCCCACAAGUCAGCCUGCCACUAUACUGGGUCCCAGCUAACAGGGGGAGUAUUCAUUUUUUUUGUGCGUAAUAAGGAGGCACUUCCUUGCGUGCGAAGAUAUAGCUGGUGCUUCCGAGCUGUCAGCGGCGGUAAUAUUUUUUUCGCGAAAUACAGAGGCCCUUUCAGUGGGUCCCUGAUGUCAGGUGGAGGAAUCAUUAUUUUGCGCGUAAUAAGGAGGCAUUUCCUUGCGUGCGGCUGUGGACCCAGCUGUCGGCCUCUCCAUGUACAGUCUACUUUAGAUGCAUGUUGGUCGUUGACAAUGUUGACCAGGCCAUGCUAAGAGCACCAGGGCGGUGGACGACGGCGAGGCCUAGAAAGGGAACAACACAGAGGCAGGGAAGACUCGGCAGUUGUUUCCCACGCGGAGGGGAAUAUGACUGUACGAGGGUUUACUGGUUCGUCUGCCGUCGCCGGAGAAUAACAGCAGGUGUGGGUAAGUAGAGGGAUGGCUAGGCCAACGAUGGGAGUACGGUGGGGCGGUGAGUCCUGCGCGGCAGCAUGAUACGUCUCCAACGUAUCUAUAAUUUUUGAUUGUUCCAUGCUAUUAUAUUACCCCUUUUGGAUGUUUAUGGGCUUUAUGUUACACAUUUGUAUCAUUUUUGGGACUAACCUACUAACCGGAGGCCCAGCCCGUAUUGUUUUUUUGCCUAUUUCAGUAUUUCGAAGAAAAGGAAUAUCAAACGGAGUCCAAACAGAAUGAAACCUUCGGGAGAGUGAUUUUUGGAACGAACGUGAUCCAGAGGACUUGGAGUGCAAGUCAAGAAGCAGCCGAGGCGGCCACGAGAGGGUAGGGCGCGCCCCCCUGUCUCGUGGGCCCCUCGUGCGGCCACUGACGUACUUCUUCUUCCUAUAUAAGCCUACGUACCCCGAAAACAUCCAGGGAGCCAACGAAAUACAAUUUCCACCGCCGUAACCUUCUGUAUCCGCGAGAUCCCAUCUUGGAGCCUUCGCCGGUGCUCCGUCGGAGGGGGAAUCGACCAUGGAGGGCUUCUACAUCAACACCAUAGCCCCUCCGAUGAGUUGUGAGUAGUUUACCACAGACCUUCGGGUCCAUAGUUUUUAGCUAGACGGCUUCUUCUCUCUUUUUGAUUCUCAAUACAAUGUUCUCCCCCUCUCUCGUGGAGAUCUAUUCGAUGUAAACUCUUUUUGCGGUGUGUUUGUCGAGAUCCUAUGAAUUGUGAGUUUAUGAUCAAGUUUAUCUAUGAGAAAUAUUUGAAUCUCCUCUGAAUUCUUUUAUGUAUGAUUGAGUUAUCUUUGCAAGUCUCUUCGAAUUAUCAGUUUGGUUUGGCUUACUAGAUUGAUCUUUCUUGCCAUGGGAGAAGUGCUUAGCUUUGUGUUCAAUAUUGCGGUGUCCUUACCCACUGACAGAAAGGGUUACAAGGCACGUAUUGUAUUGUUGCCAUCGGGGAUAACAAGAUGGGGUUUAUAUCAUAAUGCUUGAGUUUAUCCCUCUACAUCAUGUCAUCUUGCUUAAUGCGUUAUUCUGUUCUUAUGAACUUAAUACUCUAGAUGCAGGCAGGAGUCGGUCGAUGUGUGGAGUAAUAGUAGUAGAUGCAGGCAGCAGUCGGUCUACUUGUCACGAACGUGAUGCCUAUAUACAUGAUCAUGCCUAGAUAAUCUCAUAAUUAUUCGCUUUUCUAUCAAUUGCUCGACAGUAAUUUGUUCACCCACCGUAAUACUUAUGCUAUCUUGAGAGAAGCCUCUAGUGAAACCUAUGGCCCCCGGGUCUAUCUUUUAUCAUAUUUGCUUUCAAUCUACUUUUAUUUGCAUCUUUACUUUUUGCAUCUAUAUUAUAAAAUACCAAAAAUAUAUUUAUCUUAUCAUACUAUCUCUAUUAGAUCUCACUUUCGCAAGUGGCCGUGAAGGGAUUGACAACCCCUUUAUUGCGUUGGUUGCGAGUUCUUUGUUUGUUUGUGCAGGUGCGUGGGACUUUUGAGGAUCCUCCUACUGGAUUGAUACCUUGGUUCUCAACAAUUGAGGGAAAUACUUAUGCUACUAUUGCUGCAUCACCCUUUCCUCUUCAAGGAAAACCAACGCAAGCUCAAGAUGUAGCAAGAAGGAUUUCUGGCGCCGUUGCCGGGGAGGCUUCCACCAAGUCAAGUCAAGAUUCGACCUCCCGCCAACGUGCGAUUUCUGGCGCCGUUGCCGGGGAGGUCUUCGCUCAAGUUAAGACAUACCAAGUACCCAUCACAAACUCAUCUCCCUCACAUUUACAUUAUUUGCCAUUUGCCUCUCGUUUUCCUCUCCCCCACUUCACCCUUGUCGUUUUAUUCGCCCUCUCUUUCCCAAUCUCUUCUCUCUUUUGCUUACCCUUUCGUUUGCUCGUUUGGUUGGAUUAGAUGAUUAUAUAUUGCUAAACAGAACCUAAGAUCUAUGGAUCAUCAUCCGCUUGCUAAUCUUUUUAAGAGAUCCAAUUAUGAUGAACCAAUUGCUAGUGAGUUUUGUGCACUAGAUUAUCUUUAUAAAGCUUUGCUUGAAAUUUGUGAAUCUGAAAAUUAUGAUGAAGAAAUUUAUGAAGAGAUUCACGAUAAGUCUAUGAAUAAAAAGCAUGAUUGCAAUGAUUUUACUAUAAAUUCUCUUGAUGUCAAUUGUGCUAAUAAUAUGCAAAACCCUAAGCUUGGGGAUGCUAGUUUUUCUAUGUCUACUACUUGUUGCAAUAAUCAUGAUUGGGGUGAUUCUUUUUAUGAUCUUGAGAAUUUAUUUAAGCCCCAUGAUGAAUAUGAGAUUGAUAAUAGUGUUUGCAAUAUUAUUAAAAGUGGGUUUAGAAGAGUGUCAACUUUAGAUCCCACAUAUUUGGAUAAUGUUCAAUCUUAUGAAGUUUUUGAGAAAAGUGGGUUUGGAGAGGUCAUGACUUUAGUUAAUGAUAAUCCCACUAUUUUGGAAGAGUGUCAACUUUGCAUGCAUGUGGAUCGUGUUGAGAAUAUGUUAUGUGAUAGCUAUUUUGUUGAAUUUUCCUAUGAUCCUACAUGUAAUUAUUAUGAGAGAGAGAAAUAUGGUUGUAGAAAUUUUUAUCUUAUUAAAUUACCUCUCGUCAUGCUGAGAUUGCUAUCGUCUCUUUCUUCUUCCUUUCAUAUGCUAGCUUUUGCUUGCCUUGAAAAAUUGUUUGCUUAUAAUAUGCCUAUAAAUAGGAAGUAUGUUAGACUUAGAUGUGUUUUGUCACAUGUUUCAUGAUGCUUUCUUUGCACUUCAAUUCUUGUCUUUCAUGUGAGCAUCAUUCAAAUUAUCAAUGCCUAGCUAAAAGGCUUUAAAGAAAAGCGCUUGUUGGGAGACAACCCAAUAUUUUUUCUUGCUGUUAUUUAAUAAAUUUUUUCAUCUACCUUCUGUUUAGAUGUGUUUUUAUCUUUUAAUUAGUGUUUGUGCCAAGUAGAACCUAUAGGAUAACCUAUGAUGAUAGUUGAUUUGAUUCUGCUGAAAAACAAAAACUUUGUGCGCACGAAUUUAGUUUUGUUAAAUCACAGAAACGUUCUUUUGCGUUGAUUAUUUUCGAUGCUGAUCAAUAGAUAAAUUUUCCAGGACAUAUUAUUUUGGUAGGAUUUAUAAAGUUCCAGAAGUUUGCGUUAGUUACAGAUUGCUACAGACUGUUCUGUUUUUGACAUAAUCUGUUUUUCGUGUGUUAUUUGGUUAUUUUGAUGCAUCUAUGGAUAGUAAAAUAGUUUAUAAACCAUAGAGAAGUUCUAAUACAGUAGGUUUAACACCAAAAUAAAUAAAUAAUGAGUUCAUUACAGUAGCUUAUGUGGUGGUUUUGUUUUCUUUCACUAACGGAGCUUAUAAGAUUUCCUGUUGAGUUUUGUGUUGUGAAGUUUUCAAGUUUUGGGUAAAGCUUUUAUGGACUAUGGAAUAAGGUGUGACAAGAUCCUAAGAUUGGGGAUGCCCAUGGAACCCCAAGAUAUUCAAGGAUAGCCAAAAGCCUAAGCUUGGGGAUGCCCCGGGAAGGCAUCCCCUCUUUCGUCUUUGUUCAUUGGUAACUUUACUUGGAGCUAUAUUUUUAUUCGCCACAUGAUAUGUGUUUCGCUUGGAGUGUCGUGUAUUAUAUUAGUCUUUUCUUUUUAGUUUACCACAAUCAUCCUUGCUGUACACACCUUUUGGGAGAAGCCUACUUUUUUAGAAUUUGCUAGAAUACUCUAUGUGCUUCUCUUAUAUCUUUUGAGAUUGAUAGUUUUUGCUCUAGUGCUUCACUUAUAUCUUUCAGAGCACGACGGUGGCUUAAUUUUGAAGAAAUUGCUAGUCUCUCAUGCUUCACUUAUAUAUUUUUGAGAGUAUUUUAGAACAGCAUGGUAUUUGCUAUGGUUGCAAAGUUGGUCCUAGAAUGAUGAGCAUCCAAUUUGGGUAUAAUAAAAACUAUCAUAGAAAGUGAAUUGGAUGCUAUGAUCAAUUUGAUGCUUGAUAAUUGUUUGAGAUAUGGAGGUAGUGAUAUUAGAGUCAUGCUAGUUGAGGUGAUUAUGAAAAAUACUUGUGUUAAGGUUUGUGAUUCCCGUAGCAUGUACGUAUGGCGAACCGCUUUCUGAUGAAGUUGGAGCACAAUUUUAUUUAUUGAUUGUCUUCCUUAUGAGUGGCGGUCGGGGACGAGCGAUGGUCUUUUCCUACCAAUCUAUCCCCUAGGAGCAUGCGCGUAGUACUUUGUUUUUGAUGACUUCUAGAUUUUUGCAACAAAUAUAUGAGUUCUUUUGACUAAUGUUGAGUCCAUGGAUUAUACGCACCCUCACCUUUCCACCAUUGCUAGCCUCUCUUGUGCUACGCAACUUUCGCUGGUACCAUACACCCACCAUAUACCUUCCUCAAAACAGCCACCAUACCUACCUAUUAUGGCAUUUCCAUAGCCAUUCCGAGAUAUAUUGCCAUGCAACUUUCCACCAUCCCGUUCAUAUGACACGCAUUACUUUUGUCAUAUUGCUUUUUGCAUGAUCAUGUGGUUGACAUCGUAUUUGUGGCAAGGCCACUUUCAUAAUUUUCAUACAUGUCACUCUUGAUUCAUUGCAUAUCCCGGUACACCGCCGGAGGCAUUCAUAUAGAGUCAUAUCUUGUUCUAGCUUUGAGUUGUAAUUCUUGAGUUGUAAAUCCAUAAAAGUGUGAUGAUCUUCAUUAUUAGAGCAUUGUCCUAGUGAGGAAAGGAUGAUGAAGACUUUCCCCCACAAGUCAGGAUGAGACUUCGUACUUUACAAAAAAAGAGAAAGGCCAAAAAAAAGGAAAGGCCAAAAAAAAGAAAAAAAAAGAAAAAAAAGAAAAGAAAAAUAAAUAAAAAUAAAAUGAGAGAAAAAUAGAGAAGGGACAAUGCUACUAUCUCCUUUUCCACACUUGUGCUUCAAAGUAGCACCAUGAUCUUCAUGAUAGAGAGUCUCCUAAGUUGUCACUUUCAUAUACUAGUGCGAAUUUUUCAUUAUAGAACUUGGCUUGUAUAUUCCAAUGAUGGGCUUCGUCAAAAUGCCCUAGGUCUUCGUGAGCAAGCAAGUUGGAUGCACACCCACUUAGUUUCUUUUGUUGAGCUUUCAUAUAUUUAUAGCUCUGGUGCAUCCAUUGCAUGGCAAUCCCUACUCACUCACAUUGAUAUCUAUUAAUGGACAUCUUCAUAGCCUGUUGUAUGCCUAGUUGAUGUGAGACUAUCUUCUCCUUUUUUGUCUUCUCCACAACCACCAUUCUAUUCCACAUAUAGUGCUAUGUCCAUGGCUCACGCUCAUGUAUUGCAUGAAAGUUGAAAAAGUUUGAGAUUAUUUAAGUAUGAAACAAUUUCUUGGCUUGUCAUCGGGGUUGUGCAUGAUUAAAUACUUUGUGUGAUGAAGAUAGAGCAACAGCCAGACUAUAUGAUUUUGUAGGGAUAACUUUCUUUGGCCAUGUUAUUUUGAGAAGACAUGAUUCCUUUGAUUAGUAUGCUUGAAGUAUCACUAUUUCUUAUGUCAAUAUGAACUUUUAUUUUGAAUCAUUUGGAUCUGAACAUUCAUGCCACAAUAAAGAAAAUUACAUUGAGAAUUAUGCUAGGUAGCAUUCCACAUCAAAAAUUCUGUUUUAUCAUUUACCUACUCGAGGACGAGAAGGAAUUAAGCUUGGGGAUGCUUGAUACGUCUCCAACGUAUCUAAAUUUUUUGAUUGUUCCAUGCUAUUAUAUUAUCCCUUUUGUAUGUUUAUGGGCUUUAUUUUACAAAUUUAUAUCAUUUUUGGGACUAACCUACUAACUGAAAGCCCAGCCCGUAUUGCUGUUUUUUUGCCUAUUUCAGUAUUUCGAAGAAAAGGAAUAUCAAACGGAGUCCAAACGGAAUGAAACCUUCGGGAGAGUGAUUUUUGGAAUGAACGUGAUCCAGAGGACUUGGAGUGCAAGUCAAGAAGCAGCCGAGGCGGCCACGAGAGGGUAGGGCGCGCCCCUGUCUCGUGGGCCCCUCGGGCAGCCACCGACGUACUUCUUCGUCCUAUAUAAGCCUACGUACCCCGAAAACAUCCAGGGAGCCAACGAAACACAAUUUCCACCGCCGUAACCUUCUGUAUCCGCGAGAUCCCAUCUUGGAGCCUUCGUCGGUGCUCCGUCGGAGGGGGAAUCGACCAUGGAGGGCUUCUACAUCAACACCAUAGCCCCUCCGAUGAGUUGUGAGUAGUUUACCACAGACCUUUGGGUCCAUAGUUUUUAGCUAGACGGCUUCUUCUCUCUUUUUGAUUCUCAAUACAAUGUUCUCCCCCUCUCUCGUGGAGAUCUAUUCGAUGUAAACUCUUUUUGCGGUGUGUUUGUCGAGAUCCUAUGAAUUGUGAGUUUAUGAUCAAGUUUAUCUAUGAGAAAUAUUUGAAUCUCCUCUGAAUUCUUUUAUGUAUGAUUGAGUUAUCUUUGCAAGUCUCUUCGAAUUAUCAGUUUGGUUUGGCUUACUAGAUUGAUCUUUCUUGCCAUGGGAGAAGUGCUUAGCUUUGGGUUCAAUAUUGCGGUGUCCUUACCCACUGACAGAAAGGGUUACAAGGCACGUAUUGUAUUGUUGCCAUCGGGGAUAACAAGAUGGGGUUUAUAUCAUAUUGCUUGAGUUUAUCCCUCUACAUCAUGUCAUCUUGCUUAAUGCGUUACUCUGUUCUUAUGAACUUAAUACUCUAGAUGCAGGCAGGAGUCGAUCGAUGUGUGGAGUAAUAGUAGUAGAUGCAGGCAGGAGUCGGUCUACUUGUCACGGACGUGAUGCCUAUAUACAUGAUCAUGCCUAGAUAAUCUCAUAAUUAUUCAUUUUUCUAUCAAUUGCUCGACAGUAAUUUGUUCACCCACCGUAAUACUUAUGCUAUCUUGAGAGAAGCCUCUAGUGAAACCUAUGGCCCUCGGGUCUAUCUUUUAUCAUAUUUGCUUUCAAUCUACUUUUAUUUGCAUCUUUACUUUUUGCAUCUAUAUUAUAAAAUACCAAAAAUAUAUUUAUCUUAUCAUACUAUCUCUAUUAGAUCUCACUUUCGCAAGUGGCCGUGAAGGGAUUGACAACCCCUUUAUUAUGUUGGUUGCGAGUUCUUUGUUUGUUUGUGUAGGUGCGUGGGACUUAUGAGGAGCUUCCUACUGGAUUGAUACCUUGGUUCUCAAAAAUUGAGGGAAAUACUUACGCUACUAUUGCUGCAUCACCCUUUCCUCUUCGAGGAAAACCAACACAAGCUCAAGAUGUAGCACAACACAGCCAGCCGCGGGGAGGAGGGGGCAGGCAGUCUCGCAGGCGCUUGUUUGAGUGGCUGGAGCAGGAAGAGCAGAGAUUGAAGAAGCACGACGGCUGUUGGAUGGACAUCCAACAGUCACUGCUUGUGCGUCAACCUUUUUUUAGGAAAGCCUCAAAUAUGUGGAAAACAGCAUACAACCCAUCUGCCAUUAUUUCUAAUAAUUUACAACUCAUUUGCUAAUUCUUAAGGUUUUUCUUGGAACCCAUAUUCAUUUUGUUAGCAUUACAACCCAUAUUGUGGCCAUUGUUAAAAUAUUAUACGAAAUUUUGCAUUUUUCGUUGCGGUCCGAACUGUUUUUAAUCCCGAAAUUUCGACUCACAUUCAAACUGAUUUUAAAAAUAAAUGUAUAUCAAUAUAAAACCCAACAAAUUCUCCACGCAUAAAAAUUAAUGUAAUUUAAAAUCUCGAAAUGAAAAAAAGAUAUUUGAAACUAAUUGCCGGUUUGAUGUGUUUUAAAAGUGUACAACCCAUUUCUCAUUACUGAUGGGCCAUUUUCUCGGCCAGCCUAAUGGAAGCUCUCUUUGUCUUGAAAGAUUUGCAGCCCAACAGGCCUGACAAAGCGACUUACUUGGCAAAUCACAAAAAACUGGGAUGUGGCCAUGGACCCAGCUGUCAGCCUCUCCAUCUACAAUACUCUCCCGAUGGAAUGUCAUUGACCACAUUGACCACGCCGCGCCGAGACCACAAGGCGGUGGACGAGGCGAGGCCUAGGAAGGGGACGACGCGAAGCCGGGGAAGACGCGGCAGUGGAUGCCCACACGGAGAGGAGUACGAGGGUUCACUGGUUCGGCUGCGGUGUGAGGCUGCCAUCGCCGCAGGGCCUGGCUAGCGGUGGGAGUAGUAGGGGCGAUGAGGCCUCAACGACAGCACAACCGGCCACUGGACGCAGGAGUAGGCGGUCUCGCAGGCGCUGGUUUGGGCGGCUGGUGCAAGAAGAGGAGCGAUUGAAGAAGCAGCAGCAUGACUGUUCGAUUCAAAUCCAACGGUUAAUGCUGCUAGAAUCGUUUGUUGACUAAGUUGACAAGCCCUACGUACGCGUCAAGUUAGUAGGCCCACAGGUCAGCCUCCCAACCGGUGCACCCCAGAUGUCAGUGGGAGGAAUCAUUUUUUUCACGCAAUAAGGAGGCAGUUGAUUGCGUGCGGCCAGGCCAGCAGAGGGAGUAGGGUGGGCCGGGGAAGCCUGCGCGGCAUCAUAGCGGGCCACAAGAAGAGGGAGCAGGCAGUCCCGCCGGUGCUAGUUUAGGCGGCUGGAGCUGGAAGAUCAGAGAUUGAAAAAGCACGUCGGCCGUAUGAUGGACUUCCAACAGUCACUGCUGCUAGAAUCGUGUGUUCACUGACAAAGCCUUGCGUAAACAAGUCAGCCUCAAAAUCUGUGGCGUGUACAACCCAUUUGCUAUUAUUUUUAUAACUUUUACUCAUUUUCUAAUUCAUAUGGAGUUUAUUGCAGCCCGUUUUCCGUUUUUAGAAUUGCUGGCCAUUUUGUGGUCAGUACUAGGGUCAAAAAUUAACUAAAUAUGUGGGAAAUUUUGAAAAUUCGCAAAUUUUUGCCGGGGAACGAAAUAUUCUUAAUCCAAAAAUUACUAGCCAUACUAAAACAAAUUUAAAAAUAAAUUAGUACUAUGUCAUGUUAAAUCCAAUGAAAUACGUAUAAGAUAUCAGUGGAGAACAAAAACAAAAAAGAAACUAAUAUCCCAUUUGCUAUAAUUUUUUUUUGGAAUUUUCACCCCCUUUUGAUAUUACUUUUAACAUACACUGACCAUACUCUUUGGCCAGGCCGGAAUGCAUCCCUCCUCAUCUUGAAAGAUUUGCAGCCCAGUAAUUUAGAGAAAACAAAUAGGCCUAGCUUGGGUAUUCUUAAAAAAAAUACUGGGCUACCUAUUUUCACAAAGAACUGGUGCAUGAUCAUUUAGCUUUAUUUAUUUAUUUACUUAUUUAAGUUUAGGGGACCAUGAGCAUGUACCUGGGCCGGAUUCAUGUGAGAGCCUCCCUUCUAGUUAAUUAUGGGCUUCUCUAUUGGGCCUUCAUCAAUGGGCUGCAUGUUAUCAACAAGUGGAAAAUGUGUUCCGUAUGAAAAUAGUAUGCGCUACAUACGGUACGGGGCACUAAAGGAUCGAACCAUGCAACGACUUCCAAAACAUUGUGUUUGUCGUUCUAACAACACAUUUAUUCAACCAACAGACGAAAUAUACUACUGAUUGUACAUUGAAAACAGCAGCAACAGCAACCAGGGCUGGGGGUGCAACAGAAGCAGUAAGCAGUCCAGAAGAGUGAAGACGCAGCUCUCUCUUCCAAACCAAACAUCAGCCAUCAUUACAAAAGGGCUACCAAAAAAGAACAAGUGUAUGCAUCAAACUAAAUAAAGAUCCUACUACACCAAGUGUACGCAUCUAACUAACUGGCUUAGUUAGACAUUACUAUUUAUUAAGCUGUGGAGAUUGGCUGACGGCUUGAACCAGAUGGGUGCUUGACGGGGGAAACUCCAGCCAGCAGGUCGAAGUCUGAUACUUGCGACCCUCUCUCCUACUUUGGGCUGCAGAGCAUGGCAGCACAUAUCAGGGUAUGGUGCAUGUAGAGACGCAUGGUACGCUGUGUACACACAGUUUUGCCUGAUGAACAAAAUCGCGCUGCCAUCAUGAUCCUUGCCGUCGGUUAUCUCCUGGUUAAUCGGAUAAUUCAGUCCGACAAACAGAGAGCGUGUACCAAGGCUACUUACCAGCCUCCAGUCAAAAAUUCCUGAAGGCCCAGAGAAGCUGGUAUCCUGCUCAAAGACCUUGCAGUGACUGUGAUUGUAUUCCGUGAAACAACACGUCCAGUACGUGUGAACGAUCAUCAAUCGUUCGCCAUCGUCUGAUCGAGCCAGGAACCACCUGCAACUGCCAUGCCACUUUUCUUUGAAAGGUUUUGGGAUUAGGAAGGGUAGGGACACCCGGCGGCCUACAACAUCAUAUCAAGUUCGAGUCAAAUAAAAAAGGGCUCUUGAUUUAGUCAAUCUUAAGAAUAGCAUGUUAUGAGCAUGAAUAUUUUUUCAGUAAAUGUUGACAGUAAUAUAAGCAAGCCAUCAUGAUAUCAUAUGAAAGUAACAUACUGCUGUAACAGCCGUUUGUAGCGAUGACUGGAGUAGGCCAGCAAUACAUCCAGCCAUAGAAGGAGUCGACAGCGUAAAUGAAGCCCUUGUGUUCAAUGGCAUUGAUACGUCUCCAACGUAUCUAUAAUUUUUGAUUGUUCCAUGCUAUUAUAUUACCCCUUUUGGAUGUUUAUGGGCUUUAUUUUACACAUUUAUAUCAUUUUUGGGACUAACCUACUAACCGGAGGCCCAGCCCGUAUUGCUGCUUUUUUGCCUAUUUCAGUAUUUCGAAGAAAAGGAAUAUCAAACAGAGUCCAAACGGAAUGAAACCUUCGGGAGCGUGAUUUUUGGAACGAACGUGAUCUAGAGGACUUGGACUGUAAGUCAAGAAGCACUCGAGGCGGCCACGAGAGGGUAGGGUGCGCCCACCCCUACAGGGCGCGCCCCCCUGUCUCGUGGGCCCCUCAGGCUGCCACCGACGUACUUCUUCCUCCUAUAUAAGCCUACGUACCCUGAAAACAUCCAGGGAGCCAACGAAACACAAUUUCCACCGCCGUAACCUUCUGUAUCCGCGAGAUCCCAUCUUGGAGCCUUCGCCGGUGCUCCGCCGGAGGGGGAAUCGACCAUGGAGGGCUUCUACAUCAACACCAUAGCCCCUCUGAUGAGUUGUGAGUAGUUUACUACAGACCUUCGGGUCCAUAGUUAUUAGCUAGAUGGCUUGUUCUCUCUUUUUGGAUCUCAAUACAAUGUCCCCCCCUCUCUUGUGGAGAUCUAUUCGAUGUAAACUCUUUUUGUAGUGUGUUUGUCGAGAUUCAAUGAAUUGUGAGUUUAUGAUCAAGUUUAUCUAUGAGAAAUAUUUGAAUCUCCUUUGAAUUCUUUUAUGUAUGAUUGAGUUAUCUUUGCAAGUCUCCUCGAAUUAUCAGUUUGGUUUGGCCUACUAGAUUGAUCUUUCUUGCCAUGGGAGAAGUGCUUAGCUUUGGGUUCAAUCUUGCGGUGUCCUUACCCAGUGACAGAAAGGGUUGCAAGGCACGUAUUGUAUUGUUGCCAACGAGGAUAAAAAGAUGGGGUUUAUAUCAUACUGCAUGAGUUUAUUCCUCUACAUCAUGUCAUCUUGCUUAAUACGUUACUCUGUUCUUUAUGAACUUAAUACUCUAGAUGCAGGCGGGAGUCGGUCAAUGUGUGGAGUAAUAGUAGUAGAUGCAGGCAGGAGUCGGUCUACUUGUUGCGGACGUGAUGCCUAUAUACAUGAUCAUGCCUAGAUAAUCUCAUAAUUAUUCACUUUUCUUUCAAUUGCUCGACAGUAGUUUGUUCACCCAUCGGAAUACUUAUGCUAUCUUGAGAGAAGCCUCUAGUGAAACCUAUGGCCCCCAGGUCUAUCUCUUAUCAUAUUUGCUUUUAAUCUACUUUUAUUUGCAUCUUUACUUUUUGCAUCUAUAUUAUAAAAUACCAAAAAUAUAUUUAUCAUACAAUCUCUAUUAGAUCUCACUUUCGCAAGUGGCCGUGAAGGGAUUGACAACUCCUUUAUUGCAUUGGUUGCGAGUUGUUUGUUUGUUUGUGUAGGUGUGUGGGACUUUUGAGGAGCCUCCUACUGGAUUGAUACCUUGGUUCUCAAAAACUGAGGGAAAUACUUACGCUACUAUUGCUGCAUUACCCUUUCCUCUUCAAGGAAAACCAACGCAAGCUCAAGAUGUAGCAAGAAGGAUUUCUGGCACCGUUGCUGGGGAGGCUUCCACCAAGUCAAGUCAAGAUUUGACCUCCCGCCAACGUGCGAUUUCUGGCGCCGUUGCCGGGGAGGUCUUCGCUCAAGUCAAGACAUACCAAGUACCCAUCACAAACCCAUCUCCCUCGCAUUUACAUUAUUUUCCAUUUGCCUCUCGUUUUCCUCUCCCUCACUUCACCCUUGCCGUUUUAUUCGCCCUCUCUUUCCCAAUCUCCUCCUCUCUUUUUUGCUUUCCCUUUUUCUGUUUGCUUGUGUGUUGGAUUACUUGUUGCCAUGGCGCAAGAUAAUACCAAAUUGUGUGAUUUCUCGAAUACCAAUAAUAAUGAUUUCCUUAGUACUCCGAUUGCUCCUCUUAAUGAUGUUGAGCCUUGUGAAAUCAAUACUGCUUUGCUGAAUCUUGUUAUGAAAGAUCAAUUCGCCGGCCUUCCUAGUGAAGAUGCUGCUACUCAUCUAAACAACUUUGUUGAUUUGUGUGAUAUGCAAAAGAAGAAAGAUACGGAUAACAAUAUUGUUAAAUUGAAGUUAUUUCCGUUUUCACUUAGAGAUCGUGCUAAAGUUUGGUUUUCGUCUUUGCCUAAAAAUAGUAUUGAUUCUUGGAACAAGUGCAAAGAUGCUUUUAUCUCUAAGUAUUUUCGUCCUGCUAAGAUUAUCACUCUUAGGAACGAUAUUAUGAAUUUUAAACAACUUGAUCAUGAGCAUGUUGCCCAAUCUUGGGAAAGAAUGAAACUGAUGAUUUGCAAUUGCCCUACUCAUGGUUUGAAUUUAUGGAUGAUCAUACAAAAAUUUUAUGCCGGUUUGAACUUUGCUUCUAGAAAUCUCUUAGAUUCGGCCGCGGGAGGCACAUUUAUGGAAAUCACGUUAGGAGAUGCUACAAAACUUCUUGAUAAUAUUAUGGCAAAUUAUUCUCAUUGGCACACCGAAAGAUCUUCUAGUAAAAAAGUGCAUGCUAUAGAAGAAAUCAAUGUUUUGAGUGGAAAGAUGGAUGAACUUAUGAAAUUGUUUGCUACUAAGAAUACUCCUCUUGAUCCCAAUGAUAUGCCUUUGUCUUCUUUGAUUGAGAAUAAUAAUGAAUCUAUGGAUGUGAAUUUUGUUGGUAGGCAUAGUUUCGGAAACAAUGCUUAUAGAGGAAACUUUAAUGCUAGACCAUUCCCUAGUAAUUCCUCUAAUAAUUAUGGAAAUUCCUACAGUAAUUCUUAUGGUAAUUUUAAUAAGAUGCCCUCUGAUUUUGAGAAUAGUGUGAAAGAAUUUGUGAUUUUUCAAAAGAAUUUUAAUGCUUUGCUUGAAGAAAAAUUGCUCAAAGUUGAUGAUUUGGCUAGGAACGUUGAUAGACUUUCGCUUGAUGUUGAUUCUCUUAAAAUUAGAUCUUCUUCUCCUAAGCAUGAUAUCAAUGAGUCCCUCAAAGCAAUGAGAAUUUCCAUUGAUGAGUGCAAGGAAAGAACCGCUAGAUUGCGUGCUAAGAAAGAUAGCUUUAUAAAGGCGUGUUCUUCUAGUUUCCAUGAAAAUAAUGAUGAAGAUCUUAAAGUUAUUGAUGCGUCUCCUAUUGGAUCUUUGUUUUGCAAUAUGAAUCUUGAUAAUUAUGGGACUUAAGAUGAGUCAACUUUACCUAGAAUGCGUCCCAAGAAUUCAGAGUUUUUAGAUUUUGAUGCUAAAUUUGGUAAAAGUGGGAUUGGAGAGGUCAUGACUUUAAAUAGUAUUGAACCCACUAUCUCAGAUUUCAAGGAAUUUGAUUAUGAUAAUUGUUCUUUAGACGGUUGUAUUUCCUUGUUGCAAUCCGUUGUUAAUUCUCUCAUGCUUAUAGUCAAAAUAAAGCUUUUACCAAACAUAUCGUUGAUGCCUUGAUGCAAUCUUAUGAUGAAAAACUUAAUUUGGAAGUUUCUAUACCUAGAAAACUUAAUGAUGAGUGGGAACCAACUAUAAAGAUUAGAAUUAAAGAUCAUGAUUGUUUUGCUUUGUGUGAUUUGGGUGCUAGUGUUUCCACGAUUCCGAAAACUUUAUGUGAUAUUCUAGGUUUCCAUGAUCUUGAUGAUUGCUCUUUAAAUUUGCACCUUGCGGAUUCCACCAUUAAAAAGGCAAUGGGAAGGAUCAAUGAUGUUCUCAUUGUUGCAAAUAGAAAUUUGGUGCCUGUAGAUUUUAUCGUUCUUGAUAUAGAUUGCAAUCUUUCUUGCCCUAUUAUUCUUGGUAGACCUUUCCUUAGAAUGAUUGGUGCGAUUAUUGAUAUGAAGGAAGGGAAUAUUAGAUACCAAUUUCCAUUAAAGAAAGGCAUGGAGCACUUUGCAAGAAAGAAAGUCAAAUUACCUUAUGAAUCUAUCAUGCGAGCUACUUACGAAUUUAGUGCCAAAGAUGGCACUACUUAGAUAUAUCUUCGCUUUUAUGCCUAGCUAGGGGUAUUAAACGAUAGCGCUAGUUGGGAGGCAACCAAAUUUUCAUUGUGUUUUUUGUUUUUGCUCCUGUUUAGUAAUAAAUUUUGCAUCUACCUUCUGUUUGGAUGUGUUUUUAUCUUUUAAUUAGUGUUUGUGCCAAGUAGAACCUAUAGGAUAACCUAUGAUGAUAGUUAAUUUGAUUUUGCUGAAAAACAGAAACUUUGCACGCACGAAUUUAGUUUUGUUAAAUCACAGAAACGUGCUUUUGCGUUGAUUCUUUUUGCUGCUGAUCAAUAGACAAAUUUUCCAGGACUUCUUAUUUUGGUAGGAUUUUAAAAGUUCCAUAAGUUUGCGUUAGUUACAUAUUGCUACAGACUGUUCUGUUUUUGACAGAUUCUGUUUUUGGUGUGUUGUUUGCUUAUUUUGCUAGUAAAAUAGGUUAUAAACCAUAGAGAAGUUGGAAUACAGUAGGUUUAAAAUCAAAAUAAAUAAUUAAUGAGUUCAUUACAGUACCUUAUGUGGUGGUUUUGUUUUCUUUCACUAACGGAGCUUAUAAGAUUACCUGUUGAGUUUUGUGUUGUGAAGUUUUCAAGUUUUGGUUAGAGCUUUUAUGGACUAUGGAAUGAGGAGUGGCAAGAGCCUAAGCUUGGGGAUGCCCAUGGCACCCCAAGAUAUUCAAGGAUAGCCAAAAGCCUAAGCUUGGGGAUGCCCCGGGAAGACAUCCCCUCUUUCGUCUUCGUUCAUUGGUAACUUGAUAUGUGUUUUGCUUGGAGCGUCGUGUAAUAUAUUAGUCUUUGCUUUUUAGUUUACCACAAUCAUCCUUGCUGUACACACCUUUUGGGAGAAGCCUACUUGUUUAGAAUUUGCUAGAAUACUCUAUGUGCUUCACUUAUAUCUUUUGAGAUUGAUAGUUUUUGCUCUAGUGCUUCACUUAUAUCUUUUAAAGCACGACGGUGGCUUAAUUGGGAAGAAACUGCUAGUCUCUCAUGCUUCACAUAUAUAUUUUUGAGAUUCUUUUAGAACAGCAUGGUAUUUGCUAGGGUUACAAAUUUGGUCCUAGAAUGAUGAACAUCCAAGUUAGGUAUAAUAAAAACUAUCAUAGAAAGUGAAUUGGAUGCUAUGAUCAAUUUGAUACUUGAUAAUUGUUUUGAGAUAUGGAGGUAGUGAUAUUAGAGUCAUGCUAGUUGAGGUGAUUAUGAAAAAUACUUGUGUUAAGGUUUGUGAUUCCCGUAGCAUGCACGUAUGGUGAACCGCUUUGUGAUGAAGUUGGAGCAUAAUUUUAUUUAUUGAUUGUCUUCCUUAUGAGUGGCGGUCGGGGACGAGCGAUGGUCUUUUCCUACCAAUCUAUCCCCCUAGGAGCAUGCGCUUAGUACUUUGUUUUUGAUGACCUCUAGAUUUUUGCAAUAAGUAUAUGAGUUCUUUUGACUAAUGUUGAGUCCAUGGAUUAUAAGCACCCUCACCUUUCCACCAUUGCUAGCCUCUCUUGUGCCGCGCAACUUUCGCCGGUACCAUACACCCACCAUAUACCUUCCUCAAAACAGCCACCAUACCUACCUAUUAUGUCAUCUCCAUAGCCAUUCUGAGAUAUAUUGCCAUGCAACUUUCCACCGUUCCGUUCAUAUGACACGCAUUACUUUUGUCAUAUUGCUUUUUUGCAUGAUCAUGUAGUUGACAUCGUAUUUGUGGCCAGGCCACUUUCAUAAUUUCCAUACAUGUCACUCUUGAUUCAUUGCAUAUUCCGGUACACCGCCGGAGGCAUUCAUAUAGAUUCAUAUCUUGUUCUAGCUUUGAGUUGUAAUUCUUGAGUUAUAAAUCCAUAAAAGUGUGAUGAUCUUAAUUAUUAGAGCAUUGUCCUAGUGAGGAAAGGAUGAUGAAAACUAUGAUUCCCCCACAAGUCGGGAUGAGACUUCGGACUUUACAAAAAAAAGAGAAAGGCCAAAAAAAGAAAAUAAAGGCCAAAGAAAAAAAAGAAAAAAGAAAGAAAAAAAAGAAAAGAAAAAAAUAAAAAUAAAAUGAGAGAAAAAGAGAGAAGGGACAAUGCUACUAUCUCCUUUUCCACACUUGUGCUUCAAAGUAGCACCAUGAUCUUCAUGAUAGAGAGUCUCCUAAGUUGUCACUUUCAUAUACUAGUGCGAAUUUUUCAUUAUAGAACUUGGCUUGUAUAUUCCAAUGAUGGGCUUCCUCAAAAUGCCCUAGGUCUUCGUGAGCAAGCAUGUUGGAUGCACACCCACUUAGUUUCUUUUGUUGAGCUUUCAUAUAUUUAUAGCUCUAGUGCAUCCGUUGCAUGGCAAUCCCUACUCACUCACAUUGAUAUCUAUUAAUGACAUCUUCAUAGCCCGUUGUACGCCUAGUUGAUGUGAGACUAUCUUCUCCUUUUUUGUCUUCUCCACAACCACCAUUCUAUUCCACAUAUAGUGCUAUGUCCAUGGCUCACGCUCAUGUAUUGCGUGAAAGUUGAAAAAGUUUGAGAUUAUUAAAGUAUGAAACAAUUUCUUGGCUUGUCAUCGGGGUUGUGCAUGAUUAAAUACUUUGUGUGAUGAAGAUAGAGCAACAACCAGACUAUAUGAUUUUGUAGGGAUAACUUUCUUUGGCCAUGUUAUUUUGAGAAGACCUGAUUACUUUGAUUAGUAUGCUUGAAGUAUCACUAUUUCUUACGUCAAUAUGAACUUUUAUUUUGAAUCAUUUGGAUCUGAACAUUCAUGCCACAAUAAAGAAAAUUACAUUGAUAAUUAUGCUAGGUAGCAUUCCACAUCAAAAAUUCUGUUUUUAUCAUUUACCUACUCGAGGACGAGCAGGAAUUAAGCUUGGGGAUUCUUGGUACGUCUCCAACGUAUCUAUAAGUUUUGAUUGUUCCAUGCUAUUAUAUUACCAUUUUACACAUUUAUAUCAUUUUUGGGACUAACCUACUAAGCGGAGGCUCAACUCGUAUCGUUUUUUGCCUAUUUCAGUAUUUCGAAGAAAAGGAAUAUCAAACAGAGUCCAAACGGAAUGAAACCUUCGGGAGCGUGAAUUUUGGAACGAACGUGAUCUAGAGGACUUGGAGUGCAAGUCAAGAAGCAGCCGAGGCGGCCACGAGAGGGUUGGGCGCGUCCCUUGUCUCGUGGGCCCCUUGGGCGGCCACCGACGUAUUUCUUCCUCCUAUAUAAGCCUACGUACCUCGAAAACAUCCAGGGAGCCAACGAAACACAAUUUCCACCGUCGUAACCUUCUGUAUCCGCGAGACCCCAUAUUGGAGUCUUCGCUGCGCUCCGCUGGAGGGGGAAUCGACCAUGGAGGGCUUCUACAUCAACACCAUAGCCCCUCCGAUGAGUUGUGAGUAGUUUACCACAGACCUUCGGGUCCAUAGUUAUAGCUAGAUGGCUUCUUCUCUCUUUUUGGAUCUCAAUACAAUGUUCUCCCCCUCUCUUGUGGAGAUUAUUUGAUGUAAACUCUUUUUGCAGUGUGUUUGUCGAGAUCCGAUGAAUUGUGAGUUUAUGAUCAAGUUUAUCUAUGAGAAAUAUUUGAACCUCCUCUGAAUUCUUUUAUGUAUGAUUGAGUUAUCUUUGCAAGUCUCUUUGAAUUAUCAGUUUGGUUUGGCCUACUAGAUUGAUCUUUCUUGCCAUGGGAGAAGUGCUUAGCUUUUGGUUCAAUCUUGUGGUGUCCUUACCCAGUGACAGAAAGGGUUGCAAGGCACGUAUUGUAUUGUUGCCAUCAAGGAUGAAAAGAUGGGAUUUAUAUCAUAUUGCAUGAGUUUAACCCUCUACAUCAUGUCAUCUUGAUUAAUGCGUUACUCUCUUCUUUAUGAACUUAAUACUCUAGAUGCAGGCAGGAGUCGGUCGAUGUGUGGAGUAAUAGUAGUAGAUGCAGGCAGGAGUUGGUCUACUUGUUGCGGACGUGAUGCCUAUAUACAUGAUCAUGCCUAUAUAAUCUCAUAAUUAUUCGCUUUUCUAUUAAUUGCUCGACAAUAAUUUGUUCACCCACCGUAAUAUUUAUGCUAUCUUGAGAGAAGCCCCUAGUGAAAUCUAUGUCCCCCGGGUCUAUCUCUUAUCAUAUUUGCUUUCAAUCUACUUUUAUUUGCAUCUUUAUUUUUUGCAUCUAUAUUAUAAAAUACAAAAAAUAUAUUUAUCAUACUAUCUCUAUUAGAUCUCACUUUCGCAAGUGGCCGUGAAGGGAUUGACAACCCCUUUAUUGCGUUGGUUGCGAGUUCUUUGUUUGUUUGUGUAGGUGCGUGGGACUUUUGAGGAGCCUCCUACUGGAUUGAUACCUUGGUUCUCAAAAACUGAGGGAAAUACUUACGCUACUAUUGCUGCAUCACCAUUUCCUAUUCAAGGAAAACCAACGCAAGCUCAAGAUGUAGCAGGCAUCAGAGAACCAUGGAGGAUGUAUGAUCCUACGAUGGACGUGCAGAUUUAUCCACUUACCGCAGUGACCUGUCAGAUAGGCGAGACCGCGGUUGAAGAACGCAAUUAGCCUGAAGUCUUUAUAAUUCGCAGAUCUUGUGGGCACUUGGCAGAUUACAACCUUGAGCAAAUCAAACUUGGUAUCAUGUUGGCUACUGUAAGAUUCUGAGUAUUCUGGGCCGCGGUGCCAAAGCAGUGCAGUGUUAAUCGAAGGAAGGGGGAUCAAUCGCCGGGUGUAGACCUCCACGAGCAUCCAGCUGCCACGACCGUCGACGAGCACUAUCCAAGACGUGUUCAUGCCGACCCAGUACAUACCGUUAAUGUAGUUGAGGCUGAUAGGGAUCGGAUCGCAGUCAAGGGGGUUGAUGCUCGCCACCCUAGGAUCGUUAUGCUGCGUGACAUGCCAUUUCUGAAGAUCAGGCAGCAUCAGCAAGCAAGGAGCUGGCUCAAAAAGCUCCGGCCUGAGGGCUUUGAGUAAACGGUACAGCCCCGAUGAGCACGCGGCGAGCGGCAUGGUACUGAGAUUGUCCCCACGUGAAACAAUGAGCUUGAUUACCUCUCUGGGGAGCGAAUUCCAGCUACUCUUUCGGCGGACGCUGCUCGGUUCUGCCAUUGUUAGUGCUUGGGUUCCGGACGAGGGGGAGGCACCUUACCGGGGAUGGAAGAGCAGACAAAGAUGGAGAAGCGAAUAUGUGCUGCAGGAAGUGGACAGGUGAUGAUGACUACAACACGCCGCUUGACUUACGAGACACAUACCAUCAGCGUAGGGUCAUAUGAAGUCAGACAACUUACUUGAGUGAUCAUAGUACUGGUACUCCCUAUAGUACCUGCUACUAUGCCCUAACUUGCUUGAGUAGAGUAGUAUAGUGGAGUAGGACUCUGCUCUACUACUAGCACCAGAGGAGUAGUAUGUUCUAAUCUAAAAUAGUUACAAACUUCAAUGCCCGAGCGUGGAACGACUACGAACCACCAUCGGUGCUAACUUCAAUCCUGCAAGUCAUGGAUUUGUUUCUUUUUAACUUUCUGUAUGAAUCUGUAGCCAGCCUGCAAGUCAUGUACACUAUACUGACUAUGGAACCCACAGAGUACUUAGAAUACAAGAUUAAGGGUGCAAUUAACUUUUUAUAGAGGGAGAAUCAUACACGCAAUUAAAUCAAAUGGAUUGGACGUGACUCUAUUAUUCUCCAACGGCAACCGGCAAAUUUCCUCCCGUGGGCCGGAGUAGGUUUCUCGGUUUGUAUGCGGGUUUAACGGAGGGGUUUGAUGGAGGCGAGGAGGCGUGUUCAGCUGGGCGUGCAGUGGACGGUGCAGUACUAUUCGAUUUGACAACUACAACUAGUAUAUUAUAAAAAACAAAGAAGAGUAGUAGAGAUAGAGAUAAGAUUAGAGACUAGGGAGGAGCACCAUCUACUGCUUCGUGGGCAACUCCUAUGCUCCAUUCGGUGGCCGCAACAUCCCCUACAGCCACUCCCUCCUGCGCUCCAUUCGGCAGGCGCUGUUGACAUUUGGGGAGUGCACUCUCGCGACUGCUAGCAGCGACGACUUCACCGAUGAUGAAUUCUUCCCCGACCUCGGUAACCUCUUCCUCAACGACAUGGGUGACAACCUCAACGCCAAUGGUGCUGCUCCCGUUGCACCAUAUGUGUUUCUGUCCUUCCUGUUCAAAAUCGUGGUAGAAUUCAUGUUUCUAGUCUGUGUCCUAGACUCGAUCUGUUCAUCUACUAUGCUAGUCCGCAUGAUUAGUUUAAUCUCUGUUAUAGCCGUCAUGAUUUAUUUUGUAGUAAAUCUCAUUGUAACUUGCUCAUAUAUUCAACUGGCGGAACGUCCCCUACCGCCACUCCCGUUUCAUGGACGGCCUGGUCGAUGCCUCCAAGGAGCCCUUCAUCUACUGCUAUGAGUGCCCGGUGCCAUUUUGGGGCUCAUCGGCGGACAUCGUGCAUGACCUAACGCAGGCGUGUGGCGAUCACUACUAGCCCUUGGCAAAGAACAUCAAGUACGAGACGUGCUACCUAUUCACCGUGCCGGAGUCGCUGGAGGAUCAGCGCCGCCUGCUAGUCUCGGAGGAGGACGACAACGUCUUCCUCUUGAUCGUGGCCACCGGCGAGGCCCGCGCAGGCCGCCGCCACAUAUCUGUAGUGUGCGUCAGGGGCGACGAUGCUAAUGCUGACACUGACACGAGGCUGAUGUACGGCUGCGUGCUCACUAUUACUACCCCUCGGAGGUACGUGGGCGGCGACAUUGGCUACGUCAGGCUGACUUGGACUCUGUCGAGUUGGGACCUUCCCGCCAAUGUGGACAUGGAAGACGCAUGGUAUUACUUGACCCCCAACAAUGUGCAUGGGGACUCCAAGGAGGUUCACCUGGACAUCUGCAUUACUAAGUUAAAUGUUGAUCAUUAGUCUUUGCUCAAUGUAAUCCGCUGUCUAAGCAUGUGGAGACUUCCAUGCAUGAUGUUGCUCUAUUGGAGUAUCGCGCAUGAAUAAAAGUGUAUCCAUUUAUAUUUUAGUCUAGAAUCUUCCAUGUAUGAAUUUUUAUUACAGUACUGUGAUACGUCUCCAACGUAUCUAUAAUUUUUGAUUGCUCCAUGCUACUUUAUCUACUGUUUUGGACUAUAUUGGGCUUUAUUUUCCACUUUUAUAUUACUUUUGGGACUUACCUAUUAACCGGAGGCCCAUCCCAGAAUUGCUGUUUUUUGCCUUUUUCAGUAUUUCGAAGAAACAGAAUAUCAAACGGAGUCCAAAUGGAAUGAAACCUUCGGGAUCAUGAUUUUCCAACCGAACGUGACCCAAGAGACUUGGACCCUACUCCAAGAAGCGCCAGAGGCGGUCAUGAGGGUGGAGGGUGCCCCCCUACCUCGUGGGCCCCUCGGAGCUCCACCGACGUACUCCUUCCUCCUAUAUAUAUACCUACGUAUCCCCGAACGAUCACAAGAGGAGCAAAAACCUAAUUCCACCGCUGCAACUUUCUGUAUCCACGAGAUCCCAUCUUGGGGCCUGUUCCGGAGCUCUGCCGGAGGGGGCAUCCACCACGGAGGGCUUCUACAUCAUCACCAUAGCCCCUCCGAUGAAGUGUGAGUAGUUUACUUCAGACCUUCGGGUCCAUAGCUAGUAGCUAGAUGGCUUCUUCUCUCUUUUUGGAUCUCAAUACAAUGUUCUCCCCCUCUCUCAUGGAGAUCUAUUCGAUGUAAUCUUCUUUUUGCGGUGUGUUUGUUGAGACCGAUGAAUUGUGGGUUUAUGAUCCAGUAUUAUCUAUGGAAAAUAUUUGAUUCUUCUCUGAAUUCUUUUAUGUAUGAUUGAGUUAUCUUUGCAAGUCUCUUCGAAUUAUCUUUUUGGUUUGGCCAACUAGAUUGGUAGUUCUUGCAAUGGGAGAAGUGCUUAGCUUUGGGUUCAAUCUUGCGGUGUCCUUACUCAGUGACAGAAAGAGUUGCAAGGCACGUAUUGUAUUGUUGCCAUCGAGGAUAACAAGAUGGGGUUUUUAUCAUAUUGCAUGAAUUUAUCCCUCUACAUCAUGUCAUCUUGCUUACGGCGUUACUCUGUUUUUACUUAAUACUCUAGAUGCAUGCUGGAUAGCGGUCGAUGAGUGGAGUAAUAGUAGUAGAUGCAGAAUCGUUUCGAUCUACUUGUUUUGGACGUGAUGCCUAUAUACAUGAUCAUCGCCUAGAUAUACUCAUAACUAUGCUCAAUUCUGUCAAUUGCUCAACAGUAAUUUGUUCACCCACCGUAGAAUACUUACGCUCUCGAGAGAAGCCACUAGUGAAACCUAUGGCCCCCGGGUCUAUUCUCAUCAUAUCAAUCUAUAUCACUUUAUUUACUUGCUUUGUUUUUACUUUGCCUUUACUUUUCACUUUGCAUCUAUCUAUCAAAAAUACCAAAAAUAUUAUCUCUAUUUCUUGUAAGUGACCGUGAAGGGAUUGACAACCCCUAAGCGUUGGUUGCGAGUUGCUAUCGUUUUGUGUAGGUACGAGGGACUUGUGCAUGGUCUCCUACUAGAUUGAUACCUUGGUUCUCAAAAACUGAGGGAAAUACUUAUGCUACUUUACUGCAUCAUCCUCUCCUCUUCGGGGAAAUCCAACGCAGUGCUCAAGAGGUAGCAUACUGGUGAAAAACUUAUGAUGAACCAUUUCCUGCAAAGCACAAUAAGAGUUAUUUCUUCACAAGUUUUGGAUGCAGGUUGAACAGUUGAAUGCUUUUGUUUGCAAAAGAUACUUUUUUAUCUAUUUCACCCGGAUGUUUCUGAGCUCUAGAGAUGAAAUAAUAUCCGAAGAAACCUAUCGAUACCUAUUACACAUGAGAUGACCCCCACAUCCUUUGUCAAAAUAAACAACUCCCCGAUCAAUGCAUUUCACUCUUCCGUGCAACGCACGGGCACCUUACUACUAUAGAUUAGUACGACCAAAAAUUGAACUAAUAUUAUAUAUAGUAUGAUAAAUGAUGAUGCAUGUCACCUAAAAUUAUAUCAUUGAAAACUAUGUUCAAAUACGAUAUUGUUUUUGUUGACAUGCACUAACAUUUUGUCAGUUAAAUCUUUAGUCAAAUUCAAUGGCGGAUAAACCACGACCUAUGUAGUAGUACUAGUGUAGAAGGCGGCGCUGCACGGGAGUCUCACCUCUCACCCCGGUCGUGGCGCGGCAGUAAAGCCGUCAUAUCACAAAACCCAACCACUCUCAGUAUAAGUGGCCUGGUAAAAUAAAAGGACAAGCAACCAUCACACCCCUCCGUCUUUUUUGCAUUUCAUCUCUCUGCAUUUACUUUCUCCGGUUCAUCUCGCACACUCGAUCCGUAGCUACUAUUCCUAGGGCCAGUUCUUUUGGCGUCUUCCCCAGCUUUUCCCAUAAGACUAGUCACAGUGGAGAGUAAGGCUGCUUCCAAUGCACUGGUGCUUACGUGAGGUGCUAAGCGCAUUUAAAACCUUAGCAACUAGUCUCCCCAGUGCAUUAGUGCUUAGCUUUUGUAUCUAAGCCUCCCUCAUUGAAUUGUUUAACAAUUAAACUCCAUCAUUCAUUGGUUGAUAGUCAUUUUGCAUAGGUUCACGCGCUUAGCACCAUUUCCUCCUAGGGUCACCCUAAUGCUCUCUCUCUUCUUUAAUUGCUUUGCCACAUCAUUUUCUUGCCUAUGUGGCACCCUUAGCACUCAUUUAUUUGGGCUUCUAAAUUAGUACUAGUAGUACAGUACCUCUGUCCUGGUUUAUUCCUCACCAUUGUAAUUUGUGCUAAAUUUUGACCAAAGAUUUAACUGAUAAAAUGUUAGUGCAUGUGACAUGCACUAACAUUUCAUUAGUUAAAUUUAUGAUCAAAAUUUGACACAGAUUACAAUGGGGACCAAUAAACCAGGACGAAGGUAGUAGUUAUGGGAUUACUAAUCUAGAAGCCUAAAAGAACUGGCCCCUGGUACUCCUACUAGUAGUAGUACUCAAGUUGGAAUUCCAAUUGCACGGCACAACUUGUUAGGCAAAAAAUUCGAUUCAGGGUGUAGGAAGGGUUUUGGGAAUUUGCAUGCCUUUCCAACCAGUGAGAUACUCUGUACAAAGAGAUAGAGAGAAGUAAAAAAUACACUUAUAGCCAACCUUAUGGCCAACCUUGUUGUAGUAUGAGUGACUAAGUGAUGACUAUGUAUGACAUGCCAACAUCAGAUAGCCUAACGCACCAUGUUAAAUCUCCAAGGGCGCGACCGCGCGAGCGACGCGACAGUCAUGGUAGGCGCGACCAUGAUACGGGCUGCUAGUAGCCCUUGGAUCUGAGAUCAAACAGUCGCAUGCUAAGUUGCUAAAAAUUUGCAGAAUAACCCUCCAAGAUAGGAUAUUCACCCAUAGGUCUAGAAUCACGCCAUGCAACCGUUCUAUCUUAGAUCCAAGGGCUCUCCGAAGCCUGUAUCAUGGGAGAAUGGAAAUCCACUACCCUGCCGUUCGCACACUGGCAGUUUGCUCCUACUCGUCCCCGCACGUCCUUCAAUACUACGGCGGUUCGCUCCUAGUCGUCCCGUCCUUUCACAUUACGGUAGUUCCACUAAUCCUAACCCUCCUCCCAAAUCCAUGGCGUCCCAAAUCUCCAUGAUCGGCGGUGAGUACAAGGUUAGAACCAUCACCAGCGAUGAGUUCGACGUCAUCUACACUCGUUCUUUCGCGAUGGUGAAAGGAUGCCUUUCUCGCUUCAGACGCAUGUUCGAAAACUCAGAUGAUGAGUGGGUCGCUAGGCUAGAUGUUGAGUACACCAUAGUCCUGGGACGAGAGAAGGAUCUAAAGGACGAAGAGAGGAAGAAGCCCGCCAUGGUCCAGGUUUGCGUGCAUCACUUAUGCUUGGUCUACCACAUAUGCCAUGCCGAUGUUGAAUGCCUGGAUUUUAAGAACUUCCUCGAGAGCAACCUAGUCAAAUUCGUCACUGUAGACUUUACGAACGACAAAGAAGUCCUGGGUCGGAUAGACCUUGUUGUAGGCAACCCCUUCGACCUCCAGAAGAAUCGGUUGCUGCCCUCUCAUCAGCCUUCAAUGCUGACCCUGGCAGGAGCCAUGGUUCAUCCUUCGUAUGGUAAACUGGAGAAACCUCCAUACAUGUUUCAUCGUUAUGCAUGGCAGCGGAAUGUACUAGGUAUAUGCCACAUCCACUAUGCUGCAAUGGAUGGCUACCUUUGUUUCAAUAUCUACAAGGGUUGGAUGAAGAGCAAGAGCCAAGUGUGCGGUUCAAGCAAAGAAGUAUCGGCCAAGAGGAAGAGGGACAAGGAUGAAGUCGGGGACAUGGACGAGGACUCGGGUAAGGUGGCAGUGUCAUUGCUCAUGGUGGUUCUAAUACAGUGCCUACCGGAAUAGUUGCAAAGUUUCAUUUCAGGUGUGCUUAAUUUAAUUUGAGGGGUCUGUUGUGCUGAGCCCCCAGCAAAACUAUGUUAUGUUUCUUCUCAUUACUUUAACUCUCCAGUACAUACAUACUAGUAUUUCUUACAUUUUAUCUUUUAGUUGGUAUAGUACUACCACUCGUUUCUUCACAUUAUAUACGUACAAUAUAUAUGACCAACAUCAUAUAGCUAGCUGUUUAGUUGUCAAAGAAUUUCAGGGUGCUUAGUUUUGUCAAAGAAUUUCAGGAUGCUUAGUUUUAUUUGAGGGGUGGGUUGUGCUGGACACCAUUAUUGUGACUAGCCUUUUUAAUAGUACUAUAUGCAUAAUUUGGGAACGAGCGCUCUCUAUAUGUACCACCUUUUUUUAAAAUUUCAAGUUUUUGCUCCAUGGCGCAAUCCAUCGAUACUAUUACUGUAAAAAAGUAUACAUUUUUUAAAAGGCUAGAGGGUGGGGCAGUCUAGCUUGGUCGGUUUCACGAGAGGCGAGGGCCUUUGUGAUUUAACGGCUCAUUGCUGCUAGAAGGCGGGGCCUUGUGAUUUGACUGCUCGUAUAAAUGCGCCAACGACUUGAGGAGGAGCAAAGAACCGUGCGGUAUACUCAAGUUUUCCACUGGAGUAGUACUACAACGGAGGAGCACGAAACACAGCAGCCCAGUGCCAUAUGGCGAUAAAAAAUGAUCUAAUUUGCUAGUCAUCUCAUUGUUAGCAUUGUUCUAUUCAUUCCCUAAAAAAGCAUUGUUCUAUUCAUGCCUCGCAAAGAACAUGACACGUGCGGCGAAACACCCGAAGCAAAAGAUGAAACACAGGAGCAAAAGAAUAAGGAAGAUUAUCACCCCAAAUGACCUAAUUCAUCGCAGAGUCGUAAUUGCUUCUUCAUCGCCUCCACGACCUCCAUCUCCUUGCGCGUCUCCUCCGCCAUCUUCUUCAUUCUUUCCAUGACGCGGGAUUUCUCGAUGCGAUCCUUCCUCAUCUGUUCCACGGCCGCAUUACGUACCUUGACAGCAGCCGGGUGCUCGAUGCGGAGCUUCGCCAACUCCUCCUUCUGUUCCAUGACGAGGGCUGAUACGUCUCCAACGUAUCUAUAAUUUUUUAUUGUUCCAUGCUAUUAUAUUACCCCUUUUGGAUGUUUAUGGCUUUACUUUACACAUUUAUAUCAUUUUUGGGACUAACCUACUAACCGUAGGCCUAGCCCGUAUUGCUAUUUUUUUUGCCUAUUUCAGUAUUUCAAAGAAAAGGAAUAUCAAACGGAGUCCAAACAGAAUGAAACCUUCGGGAGCGUGAUUUUUGGAACGAACGUGAUCCAGAGAACUUGGAGUGCAAGCCAAGAAGCAGCCGAGGCGGCCACGAGAUAGGAGGGCGCGCUGAUGUCUACUACACAACCUUCUUCUUGUCGACGUUGUUGGGCCUACAAGUGCACAAGUUUGUAGGAUAGUAGCAAAUUUCCCUCAAGUGGAUGACCUAAGGUUUAUCAAUCCGUAGGAGGUGUAGGAUGAAGAUGGUCUCUCUCAAGCAACCCUACAACCAAAUAACAAAGAGUCUCUUGUGUCCCCAACACACCCAAUACAAUGGUAAAUUGUAUAGGUGCACUAGUUCGGCGAAGAGAUAGUGAUACAAGUGCAAUAUGGAUGGUAGAUAAAGGUAUUUGUAAUCUGAAAUAAUAAAAACAGCAAGGUAACAAGUGAUAAACAUGAGCGUAAACGGUAUUGCAAUUAUAGGAAACAAGGCCUAGGGUUCAUACUUUCACUAGUGCAAGUUCUCUCAACAAUAAUAACAUAGAUAGAUCAUAUAACAAGCCCUCAACAUGCAACAAAGAGUCACUUCGAAGCCACUAAUAGCAGAGAACAAACAUAGAGAUUAUGGUAGGGUACGAAACCACCUCAAAGUAUUCUUUCGGAUCAAUCUAUAAAAGAGUUCGUACUAGAAUAACACCUUAAGACACAAAUCAACCAAAAUCCUAAUGUCACCUAGAUACUCCAUUGUCACCUCAAGUAUCCGUGGGCAUGAUUAUACGAUAUGCAUCAGACAAUCGCAGAUUCAUCCAACCAACACAAAGUACUUCAAAGAGUGCCCCAAAGUUUCUACCGGAGAGUCAAGAACGUGUGCCAACCCCUAUGCAUAGGUUCCCAAUGUCACAAAACCCACAAGUUGAUCACCAAAACAUACAUCAAGUGGCACAUGAUAUCCCAUUGUCACCACAGAUAAUCAUGACAAGACAUACAUCAAGUGUUCUCAUAAAAGACUCAAUCCGAUAAGAUAACUUCAAAGGGGAAACUCAAUUCAUCACAAGAGAAUAGAGGGGGAGAAACAUCAUAAGAUCCAACUACAAUAGCAAAGCUCGGGAUACAUCAAGAUCGUGCCUUAGAGGAACACGAGAGAGAACACGAGAGAGAGAGAUCAAACACAUAGCUACUGGUACAUACCCUCAGCCCCGAGGGUGAACUACUCCCUCCUCGUCAUGGAUAGCACCGGGAUGAUGAAGAUGGCCACUGGUGAUGGGAUCCCCCUCCGGCAGGGUGCCGGAACAGGGUCCCGAUUGGUUUUUGGUGGCUACAGAGGCUUGUGGCGGCGGAACUCCCGAUCUAUCUUCUGUUCUGGAAGUUUUAGGGUACGUAGGUAUAUAUGGGUGAAAGAAGUACGUCGAUGGAGCCACGGGGGCCCCACGAGGUAGGGGGCGUGCCCGGGAGGGGGGGUGGGUGGGCGCGCCCCCACCCUCGUGGGCAGCCCAUAUCUCCCCUGACGUGCACUCCAAGUUCCCUGGGUUGCUUUCCUUCCAAAAAUAACUUCUCUAGUUGAUUUCGUUCCGUUUUGACUCCGUCUGAUAUCCCUUUUCUUCGAAACACUGAAAUAGGCCUAAAACAACAAAUCUGGGCUGGGCCUCCGGUUAAUAGGUUAGUCCCAAAAAUAAUAUAAAAGUGGAUAAUAAAGCCCAAUAUUGCCUAAAACAGUAGAUAAAGUAGCAUGGAGCAAUAAAAAAUUAUAGAUACGUUGGAGACGUAUCAAGCAUCCUCAAGCUUAAUUCCUGCUCGUCCUCGAGUAGGUAAAUGAUAAAAAAGAAUUUUUGAUGCGGAGUGACACUUUGGCAUAAUUUCAAUGUAAAUCUUCUUAAUUGUGAUAUGAAUAUUCAGAUCCGAAAGAUUGAAGACAAAAGUUCAUAUUGACACAAAAAUAAUAAUACUUCAAGCAUACUAAUAAAAGCAAUCAUGUCUUCUCAAAAUAGCAUGGCAACAGAAAGUUCAUCCCUACAAAAUCAUAUAGUUAGGCUAUGCUUCAUUUUCGUCACACAAAGAUGUUCCCAACUUCUAUACCCCCGAUGACAAGCCAAACAAUUGUUUCAUACUUAAAUAAUCUCAAACUUUUUCAACCUUCAUGCAAUACAUGAGCGUGAGCCAUGGAUAUAGCACUAUGGGUGGAAUAGAAAUGAUGAUGGGGAUUGUGUGGAGAAGACAAAAAAGGAGAAAGUCUCACAUUGACAAGGAUAAUCAACGGGCUAUGGAGAUGCCCAUUAAUUGAUGUCAACAUGAGGAGUAGGGAUUGUCAUGCAACGGAUGCACUAGAGCUAUGAAUGCUCAACAAAAGAAGACUAAUGGGUGUGCAUCCAACUCGCUUGCUCAUGAAGACCUAGGGCAAUUUGAGGAAGCCCGUCGUAGGAAUAUACAAGCCAAGUUCUAUAAUGAAAAAUUCCCACUAGUAUGAAAAGACAAAUUAUGAGACUCACUUACAUGAAGAACAAGGUGCUACUUUGAAGCACAAUAUAUGAGACUCACUACAUGAAGAACAAGGUGCUACUGUGAAGCACAAGCGUGGAAAAAGAGAUAGUAGCAUUGCCCUUUUUAUUUUUUUUAUUUUUUUGGGCCUUUCUCUUUUUUGGCCUUUUUUGGGCAAUGCUCUAAUAAUGAUGAUCAUCACACUUUUAUUGAUUACAACAUAAGGAUUACAACUCGAAACUUAGAACAAGAUAUGACUCUAUAUGAAUGCCUCCGGCGGUGUACCGGGAUGGUGCAAUGAAUCAAGAGUGACAUGUAUGAAAAAUAAUGCAUGGUGGUUUUGCCACAAAUAUGAUGUCAACUACAUGAUCAUGCAAUGGCAAUAUGACAAAAGUAAUGUAUGUCAUGACGAUGAUGAUGGAAGUUGCAUGGCAAUAUAUCUCGGAAUGGCUAUGGAAAUGCCAUGAUAGGUAGGUAUGGUGGCUGUUUUGAGGAAGAUAUAAGGAGGUUUAUGUGUGAUAGAGUGUAUCGUAUCACGGGGUUUGGAUGCACCGGCGAAGUUUGCACCAACUCUCAAGGUGAGAAAUGGUAAUGCAUGGUACCGAAGAGGCUAGCAAAGGCGGAAAGGUGAGAGUGCGUAUAAUCCAUGGACUCAACAUUAGUCAAAAGAACUCAUAUACUUAUUGCAAAAAUUUAGAAGCCAUCAAAAAUCAAGUACUGCGCGCAUGCUCCUAGGGGGAUAGAUUGGUAGGAAAAGACCAUCGCUCGUCCCCGACCGCCACUCAUAAGGAUGCACAAGCCAGGUACACCUCAUGUUUCAAAUUUGUUACACAACUUUAACCAUACGUGCAUGCUACGUGACUUGAAAACUUCAACACAAGCAUUUCUCAAAUUCACAAUUACCCAACUAGCAUGAUAUUAUCACCUUCAUAUCUCAAAACAAUUAUCAAGCAUCAAACUUAUCUUUGUAUUCAACACACUCAUAAGAAAGUUUCACAUAUCUUAAAUACCAAGUAUAUUAACAUUAAGCAAAUUACCAUGCUAUUUAAGACUCUCAAAAUAAUCUAAGUGAAGUAUGAGAGUUCAUCUAUUUCUUCAAAGUAAAACUACCACCAUGCUCUAAAAGGUAUAAGUGAUGCAUUACGAGCAAUAACAAAAACUACUCCGAAAGAUAUAAGUGAAGAUCAAUGAGUAGCUAAAUAAUUAUACAACUAUGCGAAGACUCUCUCUCAUUUAAUAAUUUCAGAUCUUGAUACUUUAUUAAAACAGCAAGCAAAGCUAAAGAAAACUACAUUGCAAGGAUAUCAUAACUCAUGUGAAGAAGCAAAAAUUUAGGCUCAACCGAUACUAUACAAUAGUUGUUGAAGAAGAAAGGUGGGAUGCCUACCGGGGCAUCCCCAAGCUAAGAUGCUUGAGACUUAUUGAAAUAUUAUCUUGGGUUGCCUUGGGAAUCCCCAAGCUUGAGCUAUUGUGUCUCCUUAAUUCCUCUCAUAUCAUGGUUUCUCUUUUUAUCAAAAGCUUCAUUCACAACAAACUCAACAAGAACUCGUGAGAUAGGUUAGUAUAAACCAAUGCAAAACCUUAUCAUUUUCUACUGUAACAAAUCACUUAAAUAAUUAUUCAACAUUUCAUACCAAAUGACUCUGCAUAUUUAAUACUCCUAUCCUCAAAUAGAAUCAUUAAUCAAGCAAACAUAUGCAAACAAUGCAACCAUAACAGCAAUCUGCCAAAACAGUACAGUCUGUAAAGAAUGCAAGAGUAUCACUGACUCCAAAAAUUAUGAACUAAAAUUCCCACUGUAAUAAAUUUAUCAGAGCUCAAUAUUCAAAAAGAUUCAACAUUAUACCACUCUCUGACUUUUCUAGGGAAUUUUUGCAACAGCGGUAAACUUUCUGUUUUUCAAACAGCAACAUGUAUACUAGCAAAAUAAGCAUGGGAAAGGCUAUCCUUGACUUCUUUAUUGAAACUAAAGAUGCAAAACAUUAUUCUAAAUAACAGCAAGCUAAUACUAACAAAAGAAAAUGACACUCCAAGCAAAACACAUAUAAUGUGGUGAAUAAAAAUAUAGCUCCAAGUAAAGUUACCAAUGAACGAAGACGAAAGAGGGGAUGCCUUCCGGGGCAUCCCCAAGCUAAGGCUCUUGGUUGUCCUUGCAUAUUACCUUGGGGUGCCAUGGGAAUCCCCAAGCUUAGGCUCUUGCCACUCCUUAUUCCAUAGUCCAUCAAAUCUUUACCCAAAACUUGAAAACUCCACAACACAAAACUCAACAGAAAACUCGUAAGCUCUGUUAGUAUAAGAAAACAAAACCACCACAUUGGUACUGUAAUUAAGUCAUUCUAAAUUCAUAUUGGUGUAAUAUCUACUGUACUCAAACUUACCUAUGGUUCAUACCCUCCGAUACUACUCAUAGAUUCAUCAAAAUAAGCAAACAACACAUAGAAAACAGAAUCUGUCAAAAACAGAACAGUUUGUAGUAAUCUGUAUCAAACGUAUACUUAUGGAACUCCAAAAAUGCUACCAAAUAAGGAAGUCCUAAUAAAUUCGUGUACCAAUCCAUAGCAAAAAGAAUCAGAUUAAUAUCACGUUUCUGUGAAUUAACAAAACUAAUUUACUGGGUGCAAAAGUUUCUGUUUUUCAGCAGGAUCAACACAACUGUCACCGUAAGCCAUCCUAAAGGUCUUACUUGGCACUUUAUUGAAACAAAAUCUAUAAAACAUGAUUACUACAGUAGCAUAAUCAUGUGAACACACAAAAACAGUAAGGAUAAAUAUUGGGUUGUCUCCCAACAAGUGCUUUUCUUUAAUGCCUUUCUAGCUAGGCAUGAUGAUGACAAUGAUGCUCACAUAAAAGAUAAAAAUUGAAACAUAACGGGAGCAUCAUGAAGCAUAUGACUAGCACUUUUAAGUCCAACCCACUUCCUAUGCAUAGGGAUUUUGUGAGAAAACAACUUAUGGGAACGAUAAUCAACUAGCAUAGGAAGGUAAAACAAGCAUAGCUUCAAAACUUGAAGCACAUAGAGAGGAAACUUGAUAUUAUUGCAAUUCCUACAAGCAUAUGUUCCUCCCUCAUAAUAUUUUUUAGUAGGAUCAUGAAUGAAUUCAACAAUGUAACCAGCACCUAAAGCAUCUUUUCAUGAUCUACUAGCAUAGAAAAUUUACUACUCUCCUCAUAAGCAAAAUUCUUCUCAUGAAUAGUAGUGGGAGCAAACUCAACAAAAUAACUAUCAUAUGAUUUAAAAUUAGGAUCAAGAUGACAAGUUUCAUGGUUAUCAUUAUUCUUUAAAGCAUACAUGUCAUCACAAUAAUCAUCAUAGAUAGGAGGCAUGCUUUCAUCAUAGUAAAUUUUCUCAUUAAAGCUUGGGGGACAAAAAUACCAUCUUCAUCAAACAUAGCUUCCCCAAGCUUGUGGCUUUGCAUAUCAUUGGCAUCAUGGAUAUUCAAGGAAUUCAUACUAAAAACAUUGCAAUCAUGCUCAUCAUUCACAUAUUUUAUGCCAAGCAUUCUAUGUAAUUCUUCUUCUAGUACUUGAGCACAAUUUUCCUUUCCAUCAUACUCACAAAAGACAUUAAAAAGAUGAAGCAUAUGAGGCAUCCUUAAUUCCAUUUUUUUAAUUUUCUUUUAUAAACUAAACUAGUGAUAAAACAAGAAACAAAAAUAUUCGAUUGCAAGAUCUAAAGAUACACCUUCAAGCGCUAACCUCCCCGGCAACGGCGCCAAAAAAGAGUUUGAUGUCUACUACACAACCUUCUUCUUGUAGACGUUGUUGGGCCUGCAAGUGCACAGGUUUGUAGGACAGUAGCAAAUUUCCCUUAAGUGGAUGACCUAAGGUUUAUCAGUCCGUACACUACUAGGGAAAAGCCUAGCAGCAGCGCGGGUUGUAGGCCUAUCAGUAGCACGGGUAGGAGCGCUACUGAGAAGGCGCUACAGCUAAUGCUUAGCAAUAGCGCGCCUGGAUCCACGCUACUGCUAAAUUGACUUAGUAGUAGCGCUUCUUCAGAACAACGCUACUGGUAAUUAGUAGUAGCGCUUCUCCUUUCCCGCGCUACUACUAUUAUUUAGUAUUUUAUUUCUUUUUUAUUCCAUGUUGUAUUCAUACACCUUUACACAAGUUUUCAUACAACAGAAAUUUAGAGAUUGUUUUUACAUCAUAAUGAGUUAUUACAUCAUGGGGUGAAAGAACCGUGGACUAGUUUCAAGUGGAUGUCCAUCCACUUGAAACUAAUCCACGGUUCUUUCACCCAAUGAUAUAAUAAUAUCAUCAUCAUCAUCAUCAUAUCAUUAACAACUUAUCAUCAUAAUACAUCAUUGUCAUAUAACACCUCCUCAAGAUCAUCGUUUUCAUCAAUGACAUCACAUAGCAAAUUGGUCACUAGUCAUAAUCACAAGUACUCCUCAUUAUCAACUCUAACACAUUACCACAUAAUAAACAUAUUGUACCUCAUAGGACCUAUUACAUUUGAUUAAGACCUACUACAUUUUCUAAGGUAAAAUAGCAAAAAACAAGAUAGCCCCUGACUCUCCAUUAUGGAGAAUGGAGAUUAGCAUGUCUCCAAUUCUUGCCUUUCGCUGAAUGUUACUUCCAAGAGCCUCCUUGCGAAUGUCCAUACAUUUCUUCCAUUCUUUGAUGAACAUGUGUUCACGGGUUUUAGAAAUCCGAUAUGCACAGGUGAGCUCCGUAGAUUUACCUGGCAGUAUGUUCAGAACUGAGAGGCAACCAUGCAGAGACAUCAGAUGAGGCACACAAUCCAUCGGGAGUUUCUGUUGAAAAACAUAAUAAUAACUUCCUAGUUAGCAAUGAUGUACUAGUUUUAGAAGUAUGCAAAAGAUGCACGGAUGUCGUAAUAGUAAAAAAUCUUACCAGGGUAUCUCCAGAGAAGUUACCGUGGUUCAACACAUGCACUAGUGGCACAUAUUCACCAUAAUUUGGAGGAGUUCGAUAAUAGUUAUUGUAAUUCUCAAGAAGAGUACAAAAUGUGAUCAGAUGAUUUUUCUCCUUAUACGUUAAUUCGGUGCCAUCGGUGUAGUGGGUUUUAUCUACCAUCUUUCGCACAGUCUUUGAAGAAUCAAAAUAAGCUGUCAAUGGAAAUAAGCUAUCAACUAUUUUGAAAUAAACAAUAUAAAUUAGUUAAUAACUAUGUUUGAGAAACUCACAUAGCGGUACAAUCGGAAGCGUAUCAACAAGGACCCAAAUGUCCAUAUUGUCUUGCUCGAUGUCAGGAUCACCAAGAUCCAUGGUGACAAUCAUACCCUCAUAAAAACCAUACAUUUUGCAAAGUGCUUCCGAAUUUUGGCAACCAAAAUGGGUUACGCUCUGAGCAUUGCACAGAUUUACUUCAAAAUCCAUAUCAUGAUGGGUCCUUAGGUGUAUUUUCUUUGUUUCGAAAUUUUCAUGGUCUUCAAAACCCAUCCUCUCCAAGACAUAGCGUCUUGCAUGGCAUGGAAUAAGCUAGUCGAAUUGUAAAAUAUGAAAAUUAGACGUUGAAAUAGUUGAAGUCAUGCUUAAUUACGAAAAAAACACUUGUCGUUGUUGCGUACCGUUUCACAAUCGAAGGUCUCAUCGAGCUUAAUGCUGAAGCGCCGAUCUUCAUCCAGCUGAACGAACCUGUCGCACAUACCUCGAUCGUCGUGGCACCAGCUACACUCCCCCAGGAGACUGUCGUCGUCCAAGUAUGACAUUUCCUACGUUCAUAAUUCGAAGAUUAAACUUGUACAUAUUCUAGCACAAGUCAUGCCAGAAUUCACGAAAAAAAUCCAGCAUGACCUUUGCUAAAAAAGGACAUAUCGAGCGCUUGAAAUUUGCCGGAAUGGAAAUUAAUCAACACUCCGGCAAAACAUAGGCCACUCGGAGAUGUAAACUGAACAUGAACGGCCACUUGGGCAACCACAUAUCCUAUUUGAGCAACAACACAAGAUAUACAAGGAUAUUUGGCUGGUCUCACCUCGAUGUCGGAGGGGGUCGGUGACUGGGACGACGGCGGGGAUGUCAGAGGGGGUCGGUGACGGGGAUGACGGUGGUCACCUGAAACCAUAUAAGUUAUCACUAAUACAUCCCGAAUAAUUGCUUAAACUAAAAAAUAACAACAAAUAUGACAUGUUCAACUAGUUUUAUUAAUUCAACUAGUUCUUACUAAAUAUAAACUUACUAUAAAUAGAAAAAAAACUAGUUCUUUCUAAAAAUAAAGUAGUUCAACUAGUUAUAUUAAUUAUCUUACUAAAAAUACAUUAGUUCUAUUAAUUCAACUAGUUCAACUAGUUUAUUAACUUACUUACUAAACUAGUUCAACUACAACUAAAGUAGUUCAACUACAACUACUAUUAAUCAUACUGCCCUAGUUAACUAGUAAUUAACAUCUACUACUACUAAAAAUCUAGUACUAACUAAGCAACAUCUAGUACUAGCUAUGAACCCUAAAUUAACAUCUACUACUACUAAAUCUAGUACUAACUAGUGGCAGGGGGUGGGGGGCGACGGAGAGGUAGCUAGGGGUGGCGAGGUCGAGGGCGGUGGGAGGAGGGCUGCCGGCGGAGGAGGGAGGAGGGGCGGCCGCAGGCGGAGGGAGCAGGGCGGCGGCAAAGGAGGGAGGGGCGGCCGCAGGUGGAGGGAGGAUGUGCGAGGAGGAGGAAGGAGGGACGGAAGGAGGGGAGUACCUCGGCGGCGGACAGACGAAGGCGGCAGCGGCGGCGGCGACGCACGAUGACGGUUACGCGGGCGAGAGUGAGAGUGUGAGUGAGGGCCGGUCGUGCGCGUGGGGAUAAGGUAGGGAUAGUUGCAGCGCGUUUGCCAAAACGCGCUACAGCUAAUCUGAAUAUCAGUAGCGCUUUGCAUAUAAACCGCUACUGCUAAGUGUAACUAUAGAAAAAAUACGUCCAUGCAAAAAUACAUUGGCCAUCAAUGAUCUUUUUGUGUACAAUCUGAAUUGUCAAUAUGAGUGCUCUCCGGUAGAACCGGAGAGGACUCAUAUUGCGGCCACAAAUUUUACACAUAGAGUUCAGUGAAGACCAACUGGUUGUGGUAGUUUCGGAAAUAACAUAUUUAAGGUGGUAAACACCCUGUUCACGGAGCGAGGUGGGACUAAACUUGUGGGCUGAUCUUAGCAGUAGCGGUUUUCCUAGAAGCGCACUGCUGCUAACUUAUAUAGCAGUAGCGCUGUUCAGUAUAGUGCGCUACUACUAUGACUAGGGGGGGUGAGGUCAUGGCAAUUAUAGCAGUAGCGCGGUUUGCGGUGGAGGCGCUACUGCUAUUUUCCUGUCAGCAGCGCGUUUUGAUAACACGUGCUGCUGCUAAAUAGCAGUAGCGUGGUAUUUUGAGGAGCGCUGCUGGUAAGAUUCUGUGUAUAGGGUUUUCCCUAGUAGUGGUAGGAGGCGUAGGAUGAAGAUGGUCUCUCUCAAGCAACCCUGCAACCAAAUAACAAAGAGUCUCUUGUGUCCCCAACACACCCAACACAAUGGUAAAUUGUAUAGGUGCACUAGUUCGGCGAAGAGAUAGUGAUACAAGUGCAAUAUGGAUGGUAGAUAAAGGUAUUUGUAAUCUGAAAUAAUAAAAACAGCAAGGUAACAAGUGAUAAACGUGAGCGUAAACGGUAUUGCAAUGAUAGGAAACAAGACCUAGGGUUCAUACUUUCACUAGUGCAAGUUCUCUCAACAAUAAUAACAUAGAUAGAUCAUAUAACAAGCCCCUCAACAUGCAACAAAGAGUCACUUCGAAGCCACUAAUAGCGGAGAACAAACAUAGAGAUUAUGGUAGGGUACGAAAUCACCUCAAAGUUAUUCUUUCGGAUCAAUCUAUAAAAGAGUUCGUACUAGAAUAACACCUUAAGACACAAAUCAACCAAAACCCUAAUGUCACCUAGAUACUCCAUUGUCACCUCAAGUAUCCGUGGGCAUGAUUAUACGAUAUGCAUCAGACAAUCUCAGAUUCAUCCAACCAACACAAAGUACUUCAAAGAGUGCCCCAAAGUUUCUACCGGAGAGUCAAGAACGUGUGCCAACCCCUAUGCAUAGGUUCCCAAUGUCACGAAACCCGCAAGUUGAUCACCAAAACAUACAUCAAGUGGCACAUGAUAUCCCAUUGUCACCACAGAUAAUCACGGCAAGACAUACAUCAAGUGUUCUAAUAAAAGACUCAAUCCGAUAAGAUAACUUCAAAGGGGAAACUCAAUUCAUCACAAGAGAGUAGAGGGGGAGAAACAUCAUAAGAUCCAACUACAAUAGGAAAGCUCGGGAUACAUCAAGAUAGUGCCUUAGAGGAACACGAGAUAGAACACGAGAGAGAGAGAUCAAACACAUAGCUACUGGUACAUACCCUCAGCCCCGAGGGUGAACUACUCCCUCCUCGUCAUGGAUAGCGUUGGGAUGAUGAAGAUGGCCACCAGUGAUGGGAUCCCCCUCCGGCAGGGUGCCGGAACAGGGUCCCGAUUGGUUUUUGGUGGCUACAGAGGCUUGCGGCGGCGGAACUCCCGAUCUAUCUUCUGUUCUGGAAGUUUUAGGGUACGUACGUAUAUAUGGGUGAAAGAAGUACGUCGGUGGAGCUAUGGGGGCCCCACGAGGUAGGGGCAUGCCCGGGGGGGGUGGGCGCGCCCCACACCCUCGUGGGAAGCCCGUAUCUCCCCUGACGUGCACUCCAAGUUCCCUGGGUUGCUUUCCUUCCAAAAAUAACUUCUCCAGUUGAUUUCGUUUCGUUUUGACUUCGUCUGAUAUCCCUUUUCUUUGAAACACUGAAAUAGGCAUAAAACAGCAAAUCUGGGCUGGACCUCCGGUUAAUAGGUUAGUCCGAAAAAUAAUAUAAAAGUGGAUAAUAAAGCCCAAUAUUGCCUAAAAUAGUAGAUAAAGUAGCAUGGAGCAAUCAAAAAUUACAGAUACGUUGGAGACGUAUCACGCGCCCACCCCUACAGGGCGCACCCCCCCUGUCUCGUGGGCCCCUCGGGCGGCCACUGACAUACUUCUUCCUCCUAUAUAUACCCACGUACCCCGAAAACAUCCACGGAGCCAACGAAAAACAAUUUCCACUGCCGUAACCUUCUGUAUCCGCGAGAUCCCAUCUUGGAGCCUUCGUCGGCACUCCGCCGGAGGGGGAAUCGACCACGGAGGGCUUCUACAUCAACACCAUAGCCCCUCCAAUGAGUUGUGAGUAGCUUACACAGACCUUCGGGUCCAUAGUUAUUAGCUAGAUGGCUUCUUCUCUCUUUUUGGAUCUCAAUACCAUGUUCUCCCCCUCUCUUGUGGAGAUCUAUUCGAUGUAAACUCUUUUUGCGGUGUGUUUGUUUAGAUCCGAUGAAUUGUGGGUUUAUGAUCAAGUUUAUCUAUGAGAAAUAUUUGAAUCUCCUCUGAAUUCUUUUAUGUAUGAUUGAGUUAUCUUUGCAAGUCUCUUCGAAUUAUCAGUUUGGUUUGGCCUACUAGAUUGAUCUUUCUUGCCAUGGGAGAAGUGCUUAGCUUUGGGUUCAAUCUUGCGGUGUCCUUACCCAGUGACAACAGGGGUUGCAAGGCACGUAUUGUAUUGUUGCCAUCGAGGAUAAAAAGAUGGGGUUUAUAUCGUACUACUUGAGUUUAUCCCUCUACAUCAUGUCAUCUUUCUUAAUGCAUUACUCUGUUCUUAUGAACUUAAUACUCUAGAUGCAUGCUGGAUAGUGGUCGAUGUGUGGAGUAAUAGUCGAUGCAGGCAGGAGUCGGUCUACUUGUCACAGAGGUGAUGCCUAUAUACAUGAUCAUGCCUAGAUAAUCUCAUAAUUAUUUGCUUUUCUAUCAAUGGCUCGACAGUAAUUUGUUCACCCACCAUAAUACUUAUGUUAUCUUGAGAGAAGCCACUAGUGAAACCUAUGGCCCCCGGGUCUAUCUUUUAUCAUAUAAGCUUUCAAUCUACUUUUAUUUUGCAUCUUUACUUUUCCAAUCUAUAUUAUAAAAUACCAAAAAUAUAUUUAUCUUAUUAUACUAUCUCUAUCAGAUCUCACUUUCGCAAGUGGCCGUGAAGGGAUUGACAACCCCUUUAUUGCGUUGGUUGCGAGUUCUUUGUUUGUUUGUGUAGGUGCGUGGGACUUUUGAGGAGCCUCCUACUGGAUUGAUACCUUGGUUCUCAAAAACUGAGGGAAAUACUUACGCUACUAUUGCUGCAUCACCCUUUCCUCUUCAAGGAAAACCAACACAAGCUCAAGAGGUAGCAAGGGCCUACAGCAUCUUCAUCGAGGAACUACUAUUCUCAUGCAGCUUCUUCCAGCCGGUGUUCUUGUCCUUCUACAGGUCGAUCUCGUGGCAGAGCUUCGCCUUGUCCUCCUGAAGUCGCAGGAUUUCGCCGGUCGCCUUCUUCUUCGAGGCAAUGCUCUUCUUCAGCAGCAUCACCAAGUCGGCGGUCAACUCCCCCUGCUUAUUGAGCUCAGCGGGCAUGUCGUCGAGGCUCUCCUUCAGCAGCUCCACCAAGCCUUGGAUGAACUCCUUCUGCUUAUUGAGGUGCUUAUUGAGCUGAUCGGGCAUGCCGUCGUGUCACGACCGGUUUUCCGGGUAUUAAUUUCCAGAAAAUGGCCGUUGUGCUCACCAGCCCCAGGAUUACUGUUAGUUGAUGAGGCACCAAAUUGAUACAGAAUUUCCAAGCAAAAUACAAAAUAUGUAGUACAAGACCAUUCUGGCCUAUGAGUACAACAAGUGAUUUCUAGAGGUUGAUGGCGGAAGCGGUUUGUGAAUCAUCAGUGUCUAUGGAACUCCAUUUCCCACAGGAAUAGCUGACCAGGUUAACUCCUAUCUUCGCGAGGCUGCUACCACCACCGCUUGGGUUCCGGGGCUGUCAUCGCGUCGCUCCUCUCCGUGCAAGAAAUCUGGCCAAGACAAUAGCCAGGGACAAGCCAGUGAGUACUUUGAAUGUACUCACAAACAUUAUGAACACUGGGAUGAUAUAAAUGAUAAUCAUGCACUGAACUAUUCUAUGAUCAUAUCGUCAGUCAUAAAUAAAAUCUCUUAUGCAUGCAAACAGGUUUUUUAUAUGCAACAUGAAUGAGCAAUAAUGGAGUGGAAAUAAAAUGCCGCAGUCGGGCGUCUGUGCGACACCACGUAAAGGGCUUAUAAAGUAAAUGAAUAACAAGCAAUGCCGCAGUCGGGCGUCUCAGCGACACCACAUAAAGGGCUUAUAAGGUAAAUAAAUAACAAGCAAUGCCACAGUCGGGCGUCUCAGCGACACCACAUAAAGGGCUUAUAAAGAAAAUAAAUAACAGACAAUGCCACAGUCGGACGUCUCAGCGACACCACAUAAAGGGCUUAUAAAAUAAAUAACAAACAAUGCCAUAGUCGGCGUCUCAGCGACACCACAUAAGGGGCUUAUAAAGUAAAUAAAUAACAAGCAAUGCCACAGUCGGGCGUCUCAGCGACACCGCAUAAAGGGCUUAUAAAACAAAUAAUCACAAUGAAUAUCCAGGGGGUAGAACCGUCCCAGGGAUACCCAAUAAUUCAGAUAAUAAAAUGGGUUAGUCCAUAAUAAACAUAAACAUAUUUAUCACAAGUCAUCAGUCAUGAUCCACGUUUUGGUUUAGUAGUUUUUCCUCCGAAGACCGACACUAAGACCGACACUUGACCCAUCCCAGACUAUAGUCCUUAACCAUGGACAGGGCUAUUCGAAUAGGUUUAUUCUCUACAGAGGGUGUACUCUUUACCCACGAGUAACGGAUUCCUUUAGUCCAUUGGGACUAAUUCCGUCUACGGUCUUUUAAUUGAAAACACACCUGACUUGCACACACCAGCUUAACUCACCGGUGCCUGGAAUCACCCACGACACCUGUCAAGCAAAACUCUAAGUGGGGAGGCUACAACCUCGCGUAGCAUGGGAUCAAAUCUAUACCGCGCGCUCUAAGGGGUGCCCCCCUCUCGGUCCCAACCGGAAACACCCAUGCCCCCGGACCAGGUGGCCUGCCUACCGGCUACAACCGGUAUCUUCCACCAUGGCCUCUCUGUAUGGUGUGUGCUUUAAAGGGGUUGAUGACUUACUGAACCGUACCCUACCUGUUGUAGGGACAAGUGGUAGUACGAAACAAGUAUGGGGGUUACUGGAACAAGACUCGAUCUACGGUCGACUCAGGAGGUUUAUGAAUUCCCUUCAUGAUAUGUAUAACAAAAAUAUUUCAACCAACAGAAUCACCACUCAUUAUACCUUACUGUGCCAUACCGGACAUAACCGUCCCAACGGAGACCGGCGACAAGCUCACGCCUACCCAAGGCAGAGGCUUUCCCGGAUUUCUUCUGGCAUGCAUGCAAGGCACAUGAGGAUGAUUACCAUCACAAGUGUGUUUAUUUCCAACAGCAUGGAAAUCACUAAUAUGCAUCCAUGCAAAUGAUCAUAUCACAUGAAAUAAUAAGUUCUCCGAAAUGAGGUGGUGCUAUAAAUGUGUCAACAAACACACCAAAAAUAUUAUGCCAGGGUUCAGAAUGCUUGCCUUCAAGGUGUGGAGAGGUGGGGGUGCUCUCCAAAACUUUUGAAAGCUUUCUGCCUCUCUCCAAAAUCCUAUUUUGAAAAUAUUGGAAUUAAAACACAAUUUCAAAACAGCACAAAAAAGGUGUUUGAAAUUUUUUCAAAUAAAUCUUAAAAUAAACUAGGCAGAAUUUGAGAGAUGUAGGAAAAAGAAUCAAUUCAUUUGGAGUUAUAUUUUAAAAGUUAUAGCCAGUCAAAGUUUAGUCAAAUAUGUUUUAAAAAACAGAAAAAAAAACGUUUCGGGCGGAAUACGCCUUCGAAGAAGGGGAGACAUACUCGUGGUUUUGCGCUUCCACUUAAACACGUGGAGGCGGGGCUGGGUCUCUGACAGCGGGUCCAGGGGGUCCACUGGUCAGGUUUAACCAGUCCAUCUCUUCCCCCUCUUCCUCUGCCCGAAUAGAGGCGGGGCAACGGCGAUCAACGCCGGCGAACAGCGGCUCCCCGUGGGCUCCAGAGGGUCGGGAUGGAUCCGCAAGACCAGGGCGGUCCUCCCGGUGGUCGUUGGGUCGGCAGGGACGGAAUGAGCUGCCGACGGCGAGCUUCGCGGCGGAGGAGGCAUUCGGGAGCAAUGUAGGUUUGGGGCUACGGUGGCUCCCGAUCAAAAUCGAGCAGGGGGACGGGCUCACGGGAGGAAGAGAGAGCUUCUGGUGGAGAGAGUGGAGAGGGGGAGGCCCUGGUGGUGCCGGAGUGGCUGGGGCAAUGGCGGUGGCAGGAGUUGCCAGAGAGGAAGAAGACGAUCCCUCUGGUCUUUCUACUACCACGGGAGGGUCAGUGAGGGAGUGAGGGAAGUUUCUUGAAGGCUUGACGAGCUCGGGGCUUCCUUUUAUAGCGCGACGAGGUCGGUUCUGCGGCGGUGGGGAUAAGAUCGCCGGCGACCGACGUUCUGUAGCAGCAGGGGGACGUGGCGGGGCUGAGGAUGGCGGCAGGAGCUAGCGGAUGAGCGGAGCACUGCUCCAGGGCGAGCUGGCGAGCGGGAGUGGCUCGGGUGGCGCCGACACGGCCGGGGCCUGCAUGCGGCCGUCAGAUAGCCGCCACGGCCGUCCGGACGGUGGCGCUGUGGGGUGCCAGGGGUGGUCGGGGUGGUGUGGCGGUGCAGGGGGAUACGUGGCGUGCUAGCUGCUGUUGGCCAAGGGCCAGAAUGGGUGCGGGGUGAGACGCGGCGGCUCGGGCGCACGUGCGUGCCAAACGCACGCUCUGGGCGUGCCCAGAGCACGCCCGGGACGUGUUCGAUGAAAUGCUAGUGCAUGCUAGAGGUCACAGGUGAGGCUGGCAAGAGAUAGGGCUAGGGUAGGGUUAGUCAUAAGGUAAAUGGACAUGGUGGUUAGGUCAGGUGGCCAAGUUCACAAUGCAAACAAACACUCAUGCCAAUUCUGUCCAUGCACUCUAGGUGUUUGACAAAAUGCCACAGGCACCUAGGAUUUUCUUGGAGUGGCCAAAUUCUCCAUGCUAGUGUCUCUUUGGAUGGACAAGAGGGUGGUGAGGUUAGUUUGUCAAAAGAAGAAACUUGUUAGUGCAAGUUUUGCAAAACCUCAGUUUUGGACAGAAAGAAAAGGGCAUGAUUGCAAGCACUUAGAAUCAUCCAAUGGGUCCACUCUCCUGGACUUAAGGGUUUGGCAAGGUGCACUACAAGCAGGAGAAAGCCCAGGGGUAAAGGAGCAAGUUAGCAGAUGGUGGCAGUACAAAUCACCAAGUUGCACCAGAAUGAAGAUGAGGAUGAUUCACUCAAAUCUUUCAAAGAACAUCACUGGGUUUUUGCAUAAAGUUGAAUCAUAAGCUACUACCAGCAUCCCAUAAUUUUGGUGGAGGCUAGAAAGAAGUAUUUAAAUGAGUUGUAGUGCAAAAUUGCCCACUGGACCAGAGAAGAAAAUUGGGUGUAGAGCUCAAAAUAUUUCAUGAAUAAAAGAUAUUUUUGCAUAAAAGUGAUUUAAAAACAUCAACUGACAUCUCCAAAUUUUGGUUGGAAUUUUAAGUGAAUUUAUCAAAUGGUUGUAGUUCAAAUAUGGCCAUAUAACCUUGGGAAAACCAUUUUUCAAGAAAAUAAAGAUCAAGCAAAUUAAUUAUGUAAUUAGUUCUACUAAUAAAAGAAAAGUUUUUCUUGAGAGGUUAAACAAGUCCAAUAACAUAUUUGAAAAGUUUUCACUUAGGGGAAAACUCCAUAAUAGCAAGGGAGAAAAAGGUUCAAAAAUCAAAAGGGAGCCCAAAAAAUAAAAGUUUUAAUUUCCUGGCAAAAUUUUAAUUAAUAAAACAAGGUCAAAAUUUUGGGGUGUCACAACACUACCCCCCUUAAAAUAAAAUCUCGUCCUCGAGAUUUGUUAAGAGUUGUUUUGAAAAUAUCUUUCCUGUGAGCUGGAACCAAAAGAUUUAUUCAUAGCACAAACUUGCGUCGUCGAGGUUGGCAGCUACGCCCGGGAUAAAAAAAAUGCAAUCGUACACCAACAUACUCAUGCAUGGCCAUUAUUAAAAACAGGGGCGCACAAUGAAACAGCAUUUAAUAAUGGCGGUACAGGAUCACACAGUUACAAGACGAGGAUAUUCUAAGACUCGGUAUCAUUCGAGCGAUUUUAAUCUACCUCGUACAUAUCUAAGCGGGCUUGCCUCGCGGACGUCGAGGUUUCACCACGGUUUUCACCGUCAGGAUUAGCUGGAUGGGGUUGAGGAACUGCAGGGUCGGGGUAGUGAUGAUGACCAUCUCGGGGAUUGUUGGCCACAAUCCCGUUGGAGUGCGUUCCCAAAAGGCGACGAAGCACUUCUGGGGUCAUCAAGGCACCUUGGUUGAUGGACGGGGCUGACCUCAAGGUCUCGAUUGGUUGUCCGAACAGCACGACUAGGUUGUCGGCAUCGGGCUCAUCUUCUCCUCUUGCUGGGGCUCGGCGGAUCAGUUCUCCACGAGCUGCGAUCAGAUCAAGGGUGAUUUCAUCGAACAAAUCCUCUAGCAUACUUACAUAGCGCACUAGAUGCAAUAAAGCAGGAUCCGUCUCGUGAUCUUCGUUGGCAACUUGGGGUGGUCUACCAUAUCUGUCACGGCUAGGGUAGUAGUAGAACGAGCGACAGUUAACUCUGGGCGACAAAUGCCGGAGUUGGACUAUAGCUUCUCAAGCAGCUAGUUGGAUGGCUUGUGGAUCGAAGGAAGUUGUCCUUCCAGUGAACCUGUAGGGGCGUUCUGGCGACAGACCCCUACCAUAGAUGUGCACUGUGGCCCAGAAUUGACGGCUCUCACCGCUCAUGGACCCUUGGUACACAACAUAUUCUGGGGGCUCUUCUAAUGCAAAGGCACGGCGUGUGAGGUUCGCGAGCACGGUCACAAAACCUUCAUGGGUGGUUGAUGUGGUCUCAUUGUGCACGACGGGGCCAGGCAUUAUAACUUGGUUUGAGGAAGAGGCCGGGUUGUGCUGUGUUGAGGCUAGCGUGCCCUUUUUUAUAGAAAAACGGAACGGAGUCUUCCUUCGCACGCUUGCGAAUGGGACAAUAUAGGUGUCGGUCUCUAGCGCGUGAUCGACGGGCUAGGCUGAUAGGUUGGGCACCGACUGCCAAGAGUGUCGGGGUCACUGUGUGGCUUUCUUGCACGGGAAGCUUGGCUGGGGUUUUGGUUAGGGUCUGGUGGGUUGGUUUUUCCUAGGUUUUUCGACCUGGCUAAGAUAGGAUUAGCCAAUGGUCAGCCUGGCUCUGAUACCAAGUUUGUCACGACCGGUUUUCCGGGUAUUAAUUUCCAGAAAAUGGCCGUUGUGCUCACCAGCCCCAGGAUUACUGUUAGCUGAUGAGGCACCAAAUUGAUACAGAAUUUCCAAGCAAAAUACAAAAUAUGUAGCACAAGACCAUUCUGGCCUAUGAGUACAACAAGUGAUUUCUAGAGGUUGAUGGCGGAAGCGGUUUGUGAAUCAUCAGUGUCUAUGGAACUCCAUUUCCCACAGGAACAGCUGACCAGGUUAACUCCUAUCUUCGCAAGGCUGCUACCACCACUGCUUGGGUUCCGGGGCUGUUAUCGCGUCGCUCCUCUCCGUGCAAGAAAUCUGGCCAAGAUAAUAGCCAGGGACAAGCCAGUGAGUAUUUUGAAUGUACUCGCAAACAUUAUGAACACUGGGAUAAUAUAAAUGAUAAUCAUGCACUGAACUAUUCUAUGAUCAUAUCGUCAGUCAUAAAUAAAAUCUCUUAUGCGUGCAAACAGGUUUUUUAUAUGCAACAUGAAUGAGCAAUAAUGGAGUGGAAUAAAAUGCCGCAGUCGGGCAUCUGUGCGACACCACGUAAAGGGUUUAUAAAGUAAAUCAAUAACAAGCAAUGCCGCAGUCGGGCGUCUCAGCGACACCACAUAAAGGGCUUAUAAGGUAAAUAAAUAACAAGCAAUGCCACAGUCGGGCGUCUCAGCGACACCACAUAAAGGGCUUAUAAAAAAAUAAAUAACAGACAAUGCCACAGUCGGGCGUCUCAGCGACACCACAUAAAGGGCUUAUAAAAUAAAUAACAAACAAUGCCACAGUCGGGCGUCUCAGCGACACCACAUAAGGGGCUUAUAAAGUAAAUAAAUAACAAGCAAUGCCACAGUCAGGCGUCUCAGCGACACCGCAUAAAGGGCUUAUAAAACAAAUAAUCACAAUGAAUAUCCAGGGGGUAGAACCGUCCCAGGGAUACCCAAUAAUUCAGAUAAUAAAAUGGGUUAGUCCAUAAUAAAGAUAAACAUAUUUAUCACAAGUCAUCAGUCAUGAUCCACGUUCUGGUUUAGUAGUUUUUCCUCCAAAGACCGACACUAAGACCGACACUUGACCCAUCCCAGACUGUAGUCCUUAACCAUGGACACGGCUAUUCGAAUAGGUUUAAUCUCUGCAGAGGGUGUACUCUUUACCCACUAGUAACGGAUUCCUUUAGUCCAUCGGGACUAAUUCCAUCUACGGUCUUUUAAUUGAAAACACACCUGACUUACACACACCAGCUUAACUCACCGGUGCCUGGAAUCACCCACGACACCUGUCAAGCAAAACUCUAAGUGGGAAGGCUACAACCUCGCGUAGCAUGGGAUCAAAUUUAUACCGCGCGCUCUAAGGGGUGCCCCCCUCUCGGUCCCAACCGGAAACACCCAUGCCCCCGGACCAGGUGGCCUACCUACCGGCUACAACCGGUAUCUUCCACCAUGGCCUCUCUGUACGGUGUGUGCUUGAAAGGGGUUGACGACUUACUGAACCGUACCCUACCUAUUGUAGGGACAAGUGGUAGUACGAAAUAAGUAUGGGGGUUACUGGAACAAGACUCGAUCUACGGUCGACUCAAGAGGUUUAUGAAUUCCCUUCAUGAUAUGUAUAACAAAAAUAUUUCAACCAACAGAAUCACCGCUCAUUAUACCUUACUGUGCCAUACCGGACAUAACCGUCCCGACGGAGACCGGCGACAAGCUCACGCCUACCCAAGGCAGAGGCUUUCCCGGAUUUCUUCCGGCAUGCAUGCAAGGCACAUGAGGAUGAUUACCAUCACAAGUGUGUUUAUUUCCAACAUCAUGGAAAUCACUAAUAUGCAUCCAUGCAAAUGAUCAUAUCACAUGAAAUAACAAGUUCUCCGAAAUGAGGUGGUGUUAUAAAUGUGUCAAUGAACACACCAAAAAUAUUAUGCCGGGGUUCAGAAUGCUUGCCUUCAAGGUGUGGAGAGGUGGGGGUGCUCUCCAAAACUUUUGAAAGCUUUCUGCCUCUCUCCAAAAUCCUAUUUUCAAAAUGUUGGAAUUAACACACAAUUUCAAAACAGCACAAAAAAGUUGUUUGAAAUUUUUGCAAAUAAAUCUUAAAAUAAACUAGGCAGAAUUUGAGAUAUGUAGGAAAAAGAAUCAAUUCAUUUGGAGUUAUAUUUUAAAAGUUAUAGCCAGUCAAAGUUUAGUCAAAUCUGUUUUUAAAAUAAAACAGAAAAAAAGAAAAACGUUUCGGGCAGAAUACGCCUUCGAAGAAGGGGAGACGUACUCGCGGUUUUGCGCUUCCACUUAAACACGUGGAGGCGGGGCUGGGUCUCUGACAGUGGGUCCAGGGGGCCCACUGGUCAGGUUUGACCAGUCCAUCUCUUCCCCCUCUUCCUCUGCCCGAACGGAGGCGGGGCAACGGCGAUCAACGCCGGCGAACGGCGGCUCCCCGCGGGCUCCAGAGGGUCCGGAUGGAUCCGCAAGACCGGGACGGUCCUCCCGGUGGUCGUUGGGUCGGCGGGGACGGAGUGAGCUGCCGGCGGCGAGCUUCGCGGCGGAGGAGGCAUUCGGGAGCAAUGUGGGUUUGGGGCUACGGUGGCUCCCGAUCAAAAUCGAGCAGGGGGGCGGGCUCACGGGAGGAAGAGAGAGCUUCUGGUGGAGAGAGUGGAGAGGGGGAGGCCCUGGUGGUGCCGGAGUGGCUGGGGCAGUGGCGGCGGCAGGAGUUGCCGGAGAGGAAGAAGAUGAUCCCUUUGUUCUUUCUACUACCACGGGAGGGUCAGUGAGGGAGUGAGGGAAGUUUCUUGAGGGCUUGACGAGCUCGAGGCUUCCUUUUAUAGCACGACGAGGUCGGUUCUGCGGCGGUGGGGAUAAGAUCACCGGCGACCGACGUUCUGUAGCAGCAGGGGGACGUGGCGGGGCUGAGGAUGGCGGCAGGAGCUAGCGGACGAGCGGAGCACUGCUCCAGGGCGAGCUGGCAAGAGGGAGUGGCUCGGGCGGCGCCGACACGGCCGGGGCCUGCAUGCGGCCGUCAGCUAGCCGCCACGACCGUCCGGACGGUGGCGCUGUGGGGUGCCAGGGGUGGUCGGGGUGGCGUGGCGGUGCAGGGGGAUACGUGGCGUGCUAGCUGAUGUUGGCCAAGGGCCGGAACGGGUGCGGGGCGAGACGCGGCGGCUCGGGCGCACGUGUGUGCCAAACGCACGCUCUAUGCGCGCCCGGAGCACGCCCGGGACGUGUUCGAUGAAAUGCCAGUGCAUGCUAGAGGUCGUGGGUGAGGCUGGCAAGAGACAGGGCUAGGGUAGGGUUAGUCAUAAGGUAAAUGGACAUGGUGGUUAGGUCAGGUGGCCAAGUUCACAAUGCAAACAAACACUCAUGCCAAUUCUGUCCAUGCACUCCAGGUGUUUGACAAAAUGCCACAGGCACCUAGGCUUUUCUUGGAGUGGCCAAAUUCUCCAGGCUAGUGUCUCUUUGGAUGGACAAGAGGGUGGUGAGGUUAGUUUGUCAAAAGAAGAAACUUGUUAGUGCAAGUUUUGCAAAACCUCAGUUUUGGACAGAAAGAAAAGGGCAUGAUUGCAAGCACUUAGAAUCAUCCAAUGGGUCCACUCUCCUGGACUUAAGGGUUUGGCAAGGUGCACUACAAGCAGGAGAAAGCCCAUGGGUAAAGGAGCAAGUUAGCAGAUGGUGGCAAUACAAAUCACCAAGUUGCACCAGAAUGAAGAUGAGGAUGAUUCACUCAAAUCUUUCAAAGAACAUCACUGGGUUUUUGCAUAAAGUUGAAUCAUAAGCUACUACCCGCAUCCCAUAAUUUUGGUGGAGGCUAGAAAGAAGUAUUUAAAUGAGUUGUAGUGCAAAAUUGCCCACUGGACCAGAGAAGAAAAUUGGGUGUAGAGCUCAAAAUAUUUCAUGAAUAAAAGAUAUUUUUGCAUAAAAGUGAUUUAAAAACAUCACCUGACAUCUCAAAAUUUUGGUUGGAAUUUCAAGUGAAUUUAUCAAAUGGUUGUAGUUCAAAUAUGGCCAUAUAACCUUGGGAAAACCAUUUUUCAAGAAAAUAAAGAUCAAGCAAAUUAAUUAUGUAAUUAGUUCUACUAAUAAAAGAAAAGUUUUUCUUGAGAGGUUAAACAAGUCCAAUAACAUAUUUGAAAAGUUUUCACUUAGGGGAAAACUCCAUAAUAGCAAGGGAGAAAAAGGUUCAAAAAUCAAAAGGGAGCCCAGAAAAUAAAAGUUUUAAUUUCCUGGCAAAAUUUUAAUUAAUAAAACAAGGUCAAAAUUUUGGGGUGUCACACAUCGAGGGAUAACAACUCCAGCGCCGCCGGCUCGGCAUGUUCGCCUCUGUGACUAGGGCGCUCCUUGGAGCCAUCGCCUGCACAUGAGAGAUCUUUCGAGGUCUCUGUGUGGCGGCGAGCCCUCUUUUUUUCCGCAGCCUUGGUUGCCGCUCCCUUGUUACGAGUAGUUCUCGACCUAGAGCUCUGCUUACCGGCCAUGGCAAGGACGGACGAAGAAGAAGCACUUAUGAGGAGGAAAGGUAGAGUAAUUUUCGGUUAGGUAGUUCCCCUUUUUAUAACCUAAGUACUAGGACUAGUACUAGUACCUGCAUAGUGGGAACACGUUCAGGUUUGGUACGUACUAGUAGUAGGUGUGAGCAGGCUUUCGAAUGUGAUGGGAACAAGGUAAAGAUUAAUUGAUGGUUUUGGUUUCGUGGCCCGAAACGGCUCCCGAUGAGUUUAGCGGAACAUAAAUUUCAAGUAGACUACACUGCUCAAAUGCGUAAAUAUUAUGUUACUGUCAAAAAUUGGCACAAAAUACGAAGGAGACCAAUGGAAGUACUACUAGCAACCCAUGAUUUAACUACUCGCAUGCACGCAGUGGAGUAAUAAUGUCUUCCUUCCGCCCUCACGUCCACUUAAUUUGCAUGCGCUCUAUUAAUUGACCAUCAAUGAAAUGAACGACUUUACAUACGUCAAAAUUAUCACAUGGGAUGGAUCUUGGUACAAAAUUGCGUCCGUCCGUGUAACAGCAUGUGCGUGCGAGGGAAUGAGUGCGUGCGUGGUGUGCGUGCACAUAUUCGCUUCAUGCAUGUACCGCCAGUAUGGCUCAGGGAGGACGAGUACAUUCUUCUGGAACCAGCAGCAUGUCACUGUGAUCAAUCCACGCAAGGAGGUCGCGAUAACGCCUCCACAUGUGCCACGUGGCUUCAUGAACUGUAAGAGCGACACUGUGUAGCGUGCCAUUGGAAUUCUAAUUUACGUGUUUUGCAUACUCGAAGUACUAGUAAGGUACAUGUGCAUUGCACGCAUCAGAUUUUGCAACCAAAUUAUGAAUAAAUACCACACUAUAGCAUGUAAGCUCUCAGUCAUAUAUGCCUGAUGUAGACCUUCAUUUAAUUCUUAUAGUUCAUCUCAUUCAAAAUCAAUUAGUUUUUAUAAAAAAGCUAGGGCCUCUUGGAUUCGUAGGAUUUCCAAAACACGGGAAUAGGAAAAACAUGGGAUUAUAGUGGAAUGUCAUCUUGAAUCCUACAGGAUUGUAUGAGUGUUUGAUUGUGCAUUAAAAACGCAGAAUUCUUUCAAAGAGGCUUGAGUGGAUGGGAUGUUUCCUAUGAAAUCUAGUGCAAAUGAAUCAUAUGGAAAAAAUUCCUAUGGUUUACAAUCCUACGAAUCAAACAACCAAGAUAGGAAAAAAUCCUAAUGAUUAGAAUCCUCCAAAAUUCCUUUGAGAAUCCUUUGAAUCAAAGAAGCCCUUAAUAUAUUUUAUGAUUCAUGGAAUUGUGCAUUGUAAAGCAUAAAGUAAAAAACAAAUAAUGGCAAUUCAACUAGAAAAAAAGUUUGGGCAGUUAUGAUAUGGAAGAUUCUAGAACAAAAGAGAACCACUACUGUUUUGAGGUUUGUGCAUUAUGCUUAAGUUCAACCAUGGAGUCUGCUAGAUUGUACAUGUGGCAAAAUCCGGUGGGGGGCUAGACGAUGGUGCGAGGGGCCGAGUGGAGGGAGAUUAUGAAGGAAUGCACAAGUGCGGGAUCGAUAUUUAGAGAGAGGGGGCGAGAACGUGCGCUAUUGCGUGCAGUGGCGGAGCCAUGAAAAAUAAAUGAGCUAGGGGGCCAAGCAUUGCUAAUCCUUUACAAGGAGGGUCAAUUCAUGAACUUAAACCAUUUUUAGCAGCAAUUGUCUAAUGAUCACAUUCAUAUUAGCCUCGAUAUACAGUGAUGUUAGGGGGGGGGCAGGGCCCUUACUACCCCCUGUCUUCGCCAUUGUGCGCGCGUCUGAGAGAUGAAGCGGAAGGCAUGGAUGAUGAGAGGGGGACGUUGGAUAUAUAAUUAAUGUGGGUGUAUUAGCUAUAUAUGUUAAUCCUAUAUAGAGAGGUAUAGAUUGAUCGAUGUGGAUGUGGAAAAGGGGGUGAGAUCUCACUAGAUAUAUCGAUUGAUCGGUUUGUGUGGAAAACUAUGAAAGACCUAGCUAUAUACACACAUACAUAGAGGAACAUCGAUCGUUGCGCAUGCAUGCGUGGGAGAUAAAGAAUGCCCGAUAUGAUGUAGAGGGGGAUGUGUGUGGGUGUGUGCCUUCAUUGGAGACCGACCUGAAGAAAAAGAUUGCAUGUGUGCGAUGGAUAAUGCCGACUGGUAGUGUGUGUGCAUGCAUGCAUGAGAGAAAGUUAGUGGUACAAUUAUAAAGAGAAGACGACUGUGUGGGUGUAAAAGACUAGGUGAGGUCAUAAUCAAUGUAAAGUUGAAUUCAAAUAUUUGAAUAAGAGAUCCUGAUGUUUGAAACCCAUGCAUGCAUGAAUAUAACGGAGAUCUACGCGGUGUGGUUUGGAAACGAGCAUGUUGCAAUGUAUACACAUUGAACAAGAUCAGACUCAUUUGAAUUUGAGAUACCGAUGGCAGACAUCAUUUGGCCACGUCGCAUCCGUGCAUGGACACACUAUUCUAAUUGGAGAUGAUGGGUGGCUUUCGCAUCACAUAUCUAUAUCUAUACCCCUAUAUAUAUUAUAUUUUAUAAUUUUUUAUAUUGUGUGCGGGUAACUUUAACUUUGAAAGAUGAUCAUUGGAUGAGGCGAAUCCGAUGGGCCAAAGAUGACACAUUUGAGCACUACUAGCCGUUGGAUAUCAUCUAGAUUCCACCAGAUUUCGCCACAUGUAUAAUCUAGAAGACUACAUGGUUGAACUUAAGCAUAAUGCACAAACAUCAAAACACAAGCACUUCUUCUUUGUUCUAGAAUCUUCCGUAUUAGAAUUGCCCAAAUGUUUUUCUACAUGAUUUGCCAUUAUUUGUUUUUAUUUUAUGUCUUACAACGCACAAUUCCAUGAAUCUUAAAAUAGAUUAGCUUUCUUAUAAAAACUAGAUGAUUUUGAGUGAAAUGAACUAUAAGAAUUAAAUGAACAUCUACAUGAUGCAUAUAUGACUUAAAGGUUACAUGCUAUAAUGUGGUAUUUAUUCAUAAUUUGGUUGCCAAAUCUCAUGCGUGCAAUGCACGUGUACCUUACUCUAGUCUAAAUGGUGUUUGUGUGUGUGUUGUGCGUGUUGAGGUGCAAGUUGUCUUUUUUUUGGUACAUGUUAAGCUUGUUCUUCCGAAAUUUCAAGCCGCGCCUUGUUAUGCCGAAAAUUCAAGCUAGCGUCUCUGUCUACCGUGCUGCGAAACUCCCGCCUUGUUAGCCCGAAAUAUUUAAGAUAUAUCUUUGUCUCGUUGUGCUCCGACAACUCCCUCCAUCUCAACAUGCGCCUUGCUAUUCCGAAACUACAACGCGCACGAAAACUCCCACCUCCUGUGAAAUCCCGACAUGCGAAAUGCCCGUGGUACCCCUGAACCGAAAGAACCUCCUCAAAUUGGUGGGUGUACUUUCGUAACUUACCCCACAUUUCGGACAAGCGCGUCCCUAAGCCAUGGUUCCCCACUUCCAUCCCAUCCACCCACCCAUUCGUACACCGAGGCCGCGAAAACCCGCGACGAAACCCCAAACCCUGCUCCGUCUGCCACCCAGCCGGAGCCUCUUCCCCGACAACGUCGUCCACAACAACACCUCGACGUCCCUCAUCCAACGUACCGGAUGAGGAUCCGUCGUGGAUCUCGUCGUCCCGCCGGUUCAGCCACCCCGUCCUCCACCUCCAAGGAGUUGCCCCGAUGUUCCACUCGUCUUUCGUGCCACCUCCAUUCCUACACCGCCGUCUUUAGUUGCACCACGGAAGAGCAUCAUCAUCACCGUUUCCUCAGAUGAAGUUGCGGCCUAAUCGGCGCCACCAAAGAGGUUGUACACUAAUCGCCGCAUUUUCUUCUUGAUUCGAUCCCACGGUGCUGCCGGCGCUCGGUCGCGAGCCGACACGGUGCGGCUCCAUCCAUGGCGGUGUCGUCGGCCACUUCCUCCACGGCGUCGCUCCCUCGGUGGUGACGUCCACAUCAGUAGGAACUGCUGCUGCUUUAGCUCUCGCUCGCGCUGUUGCUCUGCUCUUGCGGCACGGUCAUGGAAAAAUCUAGAGUGGAAACAAGGUCUUCAGAGCAGACAAUGCUAUCUGACGAAGCGCAUGUCUUGCUGGUUACUGAUACCUCCUCAGAGGAGGAUUCAGAGACAGAUGACCAGUCAUAUUCCCCCCCCCCCGAGGUGCAUGCUCUAACUUGGCAGGGUUAUGUUGCUCAUAUCGUGCGUAUGGUAUCUUGCAUUGCUAUGUCAUUUGCUUAGUUUAGACAUGCUUUGUGUGAAUGCCACCUGUUUAGUGUCUAAUUACCAUAUAUGUGAAUUAUGCAAUGUCAUCUUGUUGCAAGACAUUAUAUAUGUGAAUUAUGCAAUGUUAUCUUGUUGCAAGGCAUUAUGUAUGUGAAUUAUGCAAUGCCAUGUUGUUUAGGCAAGCGUCAUAUAUGUGAAUUAUAUCAUGCCGUCUUUUUGUAUUUCUCAUUGCUUUUGUCGACAAUGUUUGUAUAUUCAACUGCUCUUCAUGUGCAUAACCAUUUGAAUUGGUGAUGGAGAAAUCUGGAGUGAAAACAAGGUCUUCAGAGCAGACAAUGCUACCUGCUGAAGCAGAUAUCUUGCUGGUUACACAUAGCUCUUCAAAGGAGGAUUCAGAGGCAGAUGACCAGUCCUAUUAUCCCCCUGAGGUGUAUGCUCAAACUUGGCAGGGUUAUAUUACUCAUAUCAUGCAUAUGUUGUAUUGCAAUGCUUAGUUUUUACAUCAUAUACACAAUAUUGAAUGCCAUCUCCUUAGUUGACACAUCAUAUAUGCGAUUGCCCUCUGCUCACUUCCUUAGUAUAUAAAUCAUAUAUUUGAAUUAUGUCAUGCCAUGAUGUUUACAUAGAAAGCAUGUAUCUGAAUUAUGGCAUGCCAACCCAUUUUCUAAAGACAUAAUAUAGUUAUAUCAUCUCAUCCUGUUUACAUAGUCAUCAUAUUUUAAAUUAUGUCAUUCUAUCCGUGAAUUAUAUCAUGCCAUCAUGUUUGCAUCGACGACAUGUUUGUGAUUUAUGGCAUGCGAACCACUUUAAUAGACACAUCAUAUAGUUAUAUCAUGUCAUCCUGUUUACAUAGUCAUCAUAUUUUGAAGUAUGUCAUUCUAUCCUGUUUAGUUAGCCAUCAUACAUGUGAAAUUGUGUCAUGCUAUCCUGUUUAAUUAGCCAUCAUAUAUGUGAAAUUAUGUCCUGCUAUUCUGUUUGGUUAGACAACAUAAAUGUGAAUUAUUUCAUGCCCUGUUUUCUUCCCUACUAUCCAUUGCACCUGUCUAUCUUACAAUGUCUGUACAUUCAAUUACUUUUCUUGUUUAUCAGCCAUUUCAAUUGGAGGGAGUGAUGGCAGUAUCUGUGGGAGUAAAAACAUAGUCUUCAGAAAAGAUCGUGCUACCUGUCGAUGCAGAUAGAACCACGAUUGUACUUGCCCAAGAACCAGCCCCACCACACAUAACCCACACACAUGAAGAUUGUAUCCCUACCCAGUUGGACAGAGAACCAGCUACAUCCCUUCUAACCCCAACCCCAGCAGAUAGACGCCCAGUUCCCGUUGACACAACACCGUCUCCACCACAUAGCACCCAAACACGAGCAGUUAGUAAGGAAACUGCAGUUCCCAAAGCACGAGGACCACCACUCUGAGCCCAAAGUCAACGCUUAAAGCAGAAGAAGAAUUGUUCUCAGGUUAGGUUCCGUAGCUAUGGUUCAUACUACUUUGCUCUUGCAUCACUGUAUUUACUCAUACCAACUAAUUUCAAAUUUGAAGGAUGCAACUGAAACUCCAAUGGCGCAACAGGUAUGUUUUAAACCUGUUUCUUCAACGUGUUUGGCUGUUUGCUCUUGUAACUUGCUCUAUGUUGAUUUCAGUUUCAAUUGAAUAAACAGUUAUGUUCUCAUGCCAUGCACAUUACAAGUGUUGUUAUCACUGUGUAGUUUCCCACACUUAUAUUCUGUCUAUGCUGCCUUGUCUUAAAUAGAUAUGAUUCGAAUUGUAUCUAUCUUGAUUUGGCAACAUAAUCUAGAAUGAUAUAGACCAUACAGUGACCAUACUACAUAGAUAUAUGUUUGUUUCAUGUUGUUAUCCUGUCCACCUUACUACUGAACUGGUUUACCAAAAUGAGUUUCAUAUACUACAUUGUAAACAUGUGAUGUGUUUGUUUGUUUCUCUUUUAGAACGCGGAUAAAAUAUUGAAGAAGAGUACCCUGUUAUGCAAUGGUAAAGGAAGUAAUGCAGAUAAGGUUCAAGAUAGUGAGACAUCCCUGUUGGUCUCCAAGAAAGCUGAUAAAAACUAUAUUGAAGACACUGAGACAACCCCAAAGUCCUGUCUUGAUGUAGUGUUCGAGUUACUGGCUACUACUGCUGGCACCAGCUCUUCGAACUCGUUGCCUGAAUCAAUUCGGCUUCUUGAGUCUCAACUUCAAGUUGAAAGACAUCGAUCAGAUGUUAUGCGACAGGAAGCCGAAGGACUAAGGAAGUCCCUGCAGAAUUCAAAUGCAUACUUUCUGGUGCAACAGCAAGUGCUGGAGGACUUAAGCGCCAAACAAGAGAAAGUUAAUAAGCUUGCUAAGCAUCUUGCCGGCAUUAUGGGUACCCAGGAUAUUGUUUCUUGAGCUCUUCUGAAGUGGUUUCAGUUCUGGAUUUGUUUUGUUGCGGCGUUUCUAUGCUGCUGUGUUCCCUAUAUUUGCACUGGUGGCGAACUUUGAUGCCCAGUGGAUGUAAUAUGUGUGAUAGCCGUGAUAGCCUAGCGUAAGUUGCUUUCUUAUUUAUUUUCUCAUUGUCUUGUUUAUUUCUUUUCUUGUAGUCAGUGCAGUUCUUUUUCCGCGGUUUGCUAGUGACCGCAAUAACCUAUUUUUUAAAACUAGGCCACAAUAACCAUGGGCUCAUAUUUACUGUAGUUACCAUUUCCCUCCUACGGGCCGUAGAAACAAUGGGCCUUCUAUGUGUUGUAUACACAAUGGGCCUUCUACGGGUCGUAUCAUCAAUGGGCCUUGUACGGGUCGUAUGAUCGGUUGGCCAAACAUGGGCCAAUAACAGACGCAUUAUGGCCGUAAACGGGCUAGAGUUGGAAUUGUCUGUUCAUGGGCCGACCAUAACGGGCCGUCGUUAAUUGGUCAUAUUUGAUGAUGCUAUGAAAACGGCCCAACAUAUUAACAGGCCACAAACGGGCCGACUAUAACCUCGGGCUGAAUUUAGCCCACAAGCAGAAAAUGACAGUAACGGGCCAUAAGUAAAAGAAUGCUGGAAAUGAGCCCAAGAGUAAAUGGGCUCUGAUAAGGCCGAAAGAUAACAUGGGCUGGAAACGGCCCAACGGAAUAACGGGCCGUUAAUGGGUAUAAAGUGAUACACUGUUCAUUACGGGCCAGUUUCACCACGGGCCGUUAAUGGGUAUAAAGUGAUACACUGUUCACUGCGGGCCAGUUUCACCACGGGCCGUUAAUGGGCCAAGAGUUACAAAGGGCCUCAUAUGGGCCGAAAGACGUCAUGGGCCAUACAUGGGCCAGAAGUGAAAACAGGCUGGAAUCAUAUUGGAUGGCCCAGAUGACGCUACUGUGCCUAAUUCGGAUAGGGCGUAACGGGCCUUGGAUUAGGGGGCUGUAAAUGGGCUAUAUGCGAACAGACCAUUAACAAGCUUUCCAUGGGCCGGGCCGCCACCUUUUGACCAAGUCAAACAGGCCGGCCUUUUCACAAGAAUGGGCCUCUAUUGGGGCCGUGCCAUGUGUCGACGUAUCAUAUGCGCCUUCCAUCCAAUGAGUGGAUGACAUCUGUCCCAACGAUGAGCCGACAUGUGUUUCUUCCAGCCAAUGAUGAUUUUACACGUGGAAAGCCCCCAUUGGUCAGGGCUGUUAACGGGUUAUCGGAUCCAAAACCCGAUCCGAUAGCUUAACGGCGUUCCGUUAUGCUGGAUGCCACGUGUCGGUCACCCUUGACAAAAGCACUUCUGUGACGCGCGAUUUAUCGUCAUGGAAGUGAACACUUUCAUGAUGAUAAUUUUGGUAAUGUCAUGGAACACUUUUAUGACAACACAGGUAUGACUAUCUUGAUUAUGUCAUAAAAUCGUCAUGGAUGUACAUGCAUGACAAAAAACGCGACCUACUGUGACAAACGCGUAUCAUCACAGAAGUGUAUUUUUUUUGUAGUGUAACUACUUGUCACAUAUGGUCAAACAAUAGUUGCCAUGUGUGUUUACCUAGUUGCCACGUGUGGUUAAUCACAGUUGCCAUGUAUGUUUACCUGAUUUCCACGUACGUGCAACUGCAGUUGCCGUCUAGCAAACGAAUCAUAGUUGCCAUGUGUGUUUACCUAGUUGCCAUGUACGCGUAACUGCAGUUGCCAUCCAACAACUUACGAUGGUCGUGUGGGUGAAAAGCAGUUCGCCCACACGCACAUAGACUAGGUGGUGGCUGUGUGGGCAGAAACUAGUUCGCCCACAUAGCGCAGCUGGCAACCACGUGCUGUGGGACAUGUGGGCAACCUCUCCAACGCCCACACACCGGCCUUGUCCUACGUGGCAAGCGAAAACUGCCUCGAUGUGUCAAGAUUCAUGCAAACUUAACUGGAUGGUGAUCCAGGCGUGUGGGCGAGUUGCAAUGUUGCCACACGUGUGGGCAUUACUGUUUUCAUAGGGGAAAAGGAAGUUGGGGACAGAUCUCAGCUUAUAUAUCUCUAAUCCAAAUGGGGCGUUGGGAUGAGGAGCAUUGGGAUCUAUCCACACACAACGCUCGGCGAACAUCUCUUAUCCUCACCUCACCUUCAUUCUCGUCCAUGGCCGGAGGAGGCUGCCGAUCCAUCCGCUCACCCAUCUGCGUCUGCAGAAGAAGCAACACAAGUAGCAAAGAAACGGGGAUGUAGGGGAUUCCAAAUGGAUGGGGACAGAUGGGAGAGGAGGGGAGGAGAGGUCUAACUGCGCAACAGUGAGGAGGCGCGUCGGCGACAUGCAUAGAGGCGACGGGGCAGCGAGAUCUAGUGCCGCACGAGAUAGGAGAGAAGCAAGGAGAGCAGCGCAAAUGAGAGGGUGUGAGCCGAUUGGGAGAGAGACCAUAGCCGAUUGGAUGCUGUGCAGAUGCAGGCUCAGGGAAACGGCCGAAACUUGCAUUUCCCCUCAGCCUGACUGGGAGCCUCAUUUUGCAUUAGUCGGGCUAGGCCCAAUUCAUCAUGCAUGAUACCAAACAUUCAUAAAUUGCAUGGUGGGUGUGAGACAGGUGCAAUCGAGGAAACUAAACACACCCAUAGUGUAUACUAUGUGGGAACAAACCAAUCUAAUAGGUGAAGCUGAAUUUAAUUUGGCUGGUGGUCUCUCACUGAUUGCCAUACAUUUGAAAUAUAUGUUUUUUAACACAGUACAAUCAGAGAUGCUUACAAACACUCAUCCUUAUAUAUGAACAUACACACACAUUUCUAUCCUAUGAGCACCUUCGAGAUGCUAAGCCGAUACAUCAUCUUGAGGUUGUCAAAGUCACCACAGGCGCCUCGUAGUCAAUCGAAAUGUCUCCCCUCGCUGAACGAACAUUGCUGGAAAUCCUGAAAUAAAUGCAGGAAAAUAUGAGCACCAGUGCUAGGUGUAGGAUUGACACCCUGGUAGGUUGGUUCCACCACAAGGAACCUAACCAUCUGGGCUAGGCUCAAUUUGCACAACAAAAUAUAUGUUAACUACAUUUCUAUGUUUAAAUUCAUUCACAAUUUUUUAUUUGAGAAACUAGUGGAGGUUCUUGUACACAUCAAACUAAACCAUAACAUUCCAAAUGAGCAUAUAAAGUAUCAAAUCAUAUGUGUGCAAAAGUAGUCUGCAAUUUCUUAUGUUGUUUGAUGGUUACAAUAUUUGUGCUAUUCGAAGUACAAGUACAAAUCAUGCACAUGUUGUUAAUUUAUUAAUGAACGCAAAUUGCAAGACACAUUUGACAUACCCUAGAAGUUUAUAUAAGGUUACCUAAUAAUACACUAGGGACCACUAUAAUAUUUUUGUUGGAUUGUAUGCUUUAUAAAUCUCUUUCAUGAUAUUUAAUGAUAUCAAUAUAUAUGAAACACACAUACACACACACACAUAGUUAAUACAAUUUUGGAAAAUUGAUUCAUUGUAUUUUUUGUUAUAUCAUAUAAUUUAAAUUUAAGAAAGGUAAAUUGAUUGACAUAUGUUAAAACUGCAUAACAAAUAGAGAAUGAUAUUAGUAUUAUUAAGCAAAAAUUAUGUUGUUAACUAUACUAGCCAAGUAAUAGAAAAUUGUACGAAUUAAAUUUAUAGCACCAUACAACUAGUUUAAAUAACUAUAAAAUUUUAUUAUAAAAAUAUGCAUUUUACUACGCCUUGUGUCCACAACUAGUUUAAAAUGGCCCUGGACGGAGACGGGCCUGCAAGGAAACGAGCGCCCCCAUCUGCAAUGCAGUAUUGUCACCAACCAAGCCUCCUUUAGCUAUAGAGCCAUCCCCUCAAGUACCGAAAACUCCAAGAAUGCGGUCAAUGGUUGUGGAGAGUGCAAGGAAAGGGGCAGGGUAUUUAGCAAUCAAAAUGCAGACAAAGGUAAGAAUCAAUAUGUUAGAAAAAAAUACAGAUGCAUGUAUUGGAAGGAGGUAUGAGGUCCAUAUGCCACAUAGGAGUGGAGUUGCUGGUGAAAUGCAAGAUGCUGGUGGUGGAAUGUCACAAUGCAGUAGAAGUGUAAAACCUAAUAGAGAAGGGGAUGAAAGCAUGUUCAUUCAUGUUGAAAAAGGGAGUGUUGCUUGUGGUGGAAUGUCACGAUGCAGGAAAAGUGUGCAACCUGCCAGCGAAGGGGAUGAAAGAACAUACAUUCAUUUUGGAUAAGGGCAUGUGGCUUGUGGUGGAAUGUAAGAAGGUUGAGAAGACGUACAUGUUGGCUGAGAAGGGGAAUCUGAUCUAUGCAAAGGUAAAAGCAUACAACUUCAGAGAGAAGGUUGAAGGGGCGGGAAAUUUGGCAGAGAAGAUGUCCAUUACAUUGGAAAGAUGGAGAAGGUGUGCAUCAUCUUCAAGAAGUUGGUCAGGUACUUUUUCUGACCGCAGCAAGGUCAAGAAACUUGGAAUACAGGUCGGCACUAAAACUAAAAUGAACAAUGUUCAUGUAUAUUCAUGUGGCCGGAUUGUAGAAGUAUGUGGGGGCAUGUUCCGAUUGCUGUGUGGGACAUAUUUUGGUAACUUUUUUAAUUGCUUUCAUUAAGAGUUUCUCGAUUAACUUUUCUAAUGAAAAUGAGAGGUGGACCAAAAGGAGUAUUCAUGAUUGUGUGGUAUCCUAUAUAUCAAACACAAUAAGUUGCGGGGCAAUGGCACCUCCUCGCCUAUGCCACGUCGGCAGAUGCACUGUUCGAUCACCCAUUUUUGAUUGGGUCGUAGUCCCUCCAUGCUAUUGGUCCAUGUCAUUGCUAACUAAAACCAGCGAGCUCGAGCAAAUUUCCAGGAAGCUUCGUACUUGCCUCUCCCCACAUGAAACCAUUCGUUUUCCUCGUCAAAUAGGUAUCUUCAUUCUCUCUCUCUAUCUAUCUAUCUCUCUCUCAUAGAGGUAACCGCUUGAGGAGAGAUGCGGCCACAGGAGGAGCAGUGGUGGUCGACGAGCUCAUGGAGGAGCAGGCGACAACCAGCGGCGGAACAGAUCGGUGCAUCACGGGAGAAGAUGGGGCGGCCUUUGCGGGCAGAGCAGAUUGGACCUAAUGGGCCAUGAUGUAACCAGGGUGACACAAUUGUGGGCAGAGAGGGCGAGGCUGAGUCACGGCCGGCGGUGGAGCGCGACUUGCAUGAGUAGCACGACUAACGAGGUACAUGUUUUGAUAACCCACAAGUAUAGGGGAUUGUGACAGUCUUCAAGGGUAGUAUUUGACCCAAUUUAUUGAUUCGACACAAGAGGAGCCCAAGAAUAUUUAUAAGUUUUAGCGGUUGAGUUGUCAAUUCAACCACACCUGGAAAGUUGUUUCUCCGCCGCAAAGUGUUUAGUAGUGUAGUAGUUUGAUAGUUUUGGCAGUAACAGUAACAGUAACAGUAGCAGUUUUGUAGUGAUUUUAACAUCAUCAGCAACAGUAGUAACUUACCAAAGAUCAAUAUGAGCAAAGUGUAGGCAUUGGAUCAGCGAUGGAUAUUUGUGUUGGAUGGCAUUUGAUGACCCACAAGUAUAGGGAAUCAAUCAUAGUCCUGUCGAUAAAUAAGAGUGUCUAACCCAACAAGGAGCAGCAGGAAAUGACGAGUGGUUUUCAGCAAGGUAUUUUCUGCAAGUACUAAAAGUGGCGGUGACAGAUAGUUUUGUAGUAAGAUAAUUUGUAACACGUAGCAUGUAGCAAUGGUAACAAGGUAUAGCAGGGUGGCCCAAUCCUUUUUAUAGCAAAGACAAGUCAGAACAUUCUCUUAUAGCAAGCAAAUUGUUCUCGAGGACACAUGGGAAUUGUCGUCUAGUCACGUUCAUCAUGUUUAGUUGAUUUGUGUUUGCUAUUUUGAUAAUUUCGUAUGUGGGUGGACGGGUGCUAGGGUGCGUGUGGCUCUCUGGUGGCCCCCUCUGGUAGAUAUUUUUGCCGGUAUUUUUUAUAUAUUCCAAAAAAAAUUCUUCGUAUGCAGCCAAAAUCGAGAACUUUUAUUUCUGCAUAAAAAUAACACCAAGGUAGUUCAACUCAAAAGAACGCCCGUCUGGGUUACUUCCAUUCAAAUCAUGCAAAUUAGAGUCCAAAAGAAGAGCAUAAGUGUUUGGAAAAGUAGAUAUGUUUGAGACGUAUCAACUCCCCCGAGCUUAACUCAUUGCUUGUCCUCAAACAAUUCAAUUGAUAAACUGAAAGUGACAAAGAAAAACUUUUACAAACUAUUUUGUUCUGUUGUAUAUAUAUGCUUAACUAGUAUUCAUGUUUUCAGCAAAGAUUAUGAACUAACCAUGUGAAUGAUAACACUUAGGUCUCACAUUUACUAAUGACAAUAACAUAAUCAACUAGCGAGCAAUAAUAAUACAUCUCGGAUGCCAACAAUUUUUCAAAACAAUCAUGAUAUAAUAUGAUAACAUGGUAUCUCGCUAGCCCUUCCUAAGACCGCAAAACAUAAAUGCAGAGCACCUCCAAAGUUCAAGCAACGACUAAACAAUGUAAUUCAGGGUAGAAGAUAUCUAGUCAUGCUCAUAUCCAACAUUAACUAGACUCAAUGCAUGUUAAACUAAGAAUGACAAUAGCGCUCUCCAAAUUGGUGCUUUGAAUGAGAAGGCAAUGACUCAACAAUAAAAGUAGAUAACUUGAAAGUAAAUAGAAAGGCCCUUUGCAGAGGGAAGCAGAGAUUAGUAGAAGUGCUAGAGCUCAAAGCUUAAAACAGAGAUGGAUACAUUUAGAAAGCUUUGCUCUUCCUAUCAACGUCACGACAAAGGAUUCCAAUAUCUUCCAUGCUAAACACAUCAUUGGUGGUUCCCGUGCAGAAAUGAAAAGUUUACUCCCCCUCAACCAUACAAACACAAGCCAUGGCUAGCCGAAUUCACGGCUGCCCUCCAAACAAACAUCUUUCCCAGGGGAGUUUGCUUUAUUAAAUUUUUCUUUAUUUUUGUUUAGCGGGAUUGGACAUCCCAACUACCAGCCUCUCUCAUGGAAUGACAAGUGAAUAAACACCCAUCAUCAGAAUUACCCGCUUAGCAUGGAAGAUAUUGACUGCCUUAUCGCUCCAUGAGCGGUACAGGAACAUAAAACAUAUGCUUAUUUGAAUGAUUAGAGAUGGCACAUACACAUUUACUUGGAACGGCAGGGUAAUACCUUAUACACGUAGGUAUGGUGAACUCUUCAACAUAAUUUUGGGGAUUCAAGAUUUUGGAUGCACAAACAAUAUUCUUGCUUAGUACAGGCGAAGGCUAGCAAAUAGGUUGAGAAUCCACCAACUAGAGAGCUACAAUGAUCAUAAUCAUGCAUUGCCAAUAUUUAACAUUGACUAUGAGCAUGAGUAGGAUAUAAACACCCUGAACAUAAAAUCAUGAAGGCUGGAUUGGUUUUGAAUCAACUACAUGUGUGAACAUGUGCCAGGUCAAGCCACUUGAAUUACAAAGGAGGAUACCAUCCUAACAUACUACAUCACAAUCAUUUUAAUGCAUGUUGACACUCAAGAUAAAUCAUUAUCAACUCCUAGCUACUUAAGCAUGCAUGAGGAACUAUAAUAUAUCUAAUUGUCAUCACAAACAUGUUUACCCAUAAUAUGUAGAAUCAGGCCUACUAAGUUAAACAUUAUUUAUAAAAACGAAAAACAAGAAGAGUUCAUACCAGCUUUUCUUCACCACAAUCACUUCAUGAAAUAAUCGCAAUAUUUUGUUUCACUUGCAUGACUGAAUGAGUGGAAAUAAUAAUAGUGCGGGUGUGUCAUGGACUAAGCUGAAAUCUGCAAACACUUUAUUCAAAGGAGAAGACAAGGUAAUAUUGGCUCUUCGUUAGAUUAACAACAAAGCAUAUGAGAGCCACUCAAGAAUUCUAGCAUAGUCUUCUCCUUAUGAUGACUCAAAGAAAAGAAAAAAAAUCAAAGAAACACACUGAAAUAUUUUUGGAGUUUUUAGUUAUUUUUUAAGAAAGAGGACGAAAGAAGAAAAACGAAAAGCGAGAAAAACUACUUACACCAAAGAACUCCCAACAAACAACAAAAGAAGAAACGGGAAAUCUUUUUGCGUUUUCUUUUAAUAGUACCAACUAACUAAACAAGAAAGAAAAACCAAAAAGAAGCGAGAAAUAUUUUUGGAUUUUCAAAGUUUUUAAACACACAAAAGAAAGAAAAAUAAAAUGAAACAUGGAUAUACAAUGAAAAUGAUGAACACCUACAACUGGAAUGAAUGUGUGAUACAUGAAUGUACUAUCGGUGAGAAUACGUACUUCCCCAAGCUUAGGCUUUUAGCCUAACUUGGUCUAUGGCCACGGCUGGCGUGAGUAGAAAUCAUAGCGAUAGUUUGGGUCAUGCUCAAGUACAGCUGCCACCGCCUGAUGGGCGGCCUCACUUUGACGAACAGUCUCCUCUGCUGCCCUGUACGCCUCAGCCUCCUCCUCAUGUAUAUAGUAUCUCAGUUUUCCUGAAAGUUAAAGAAGGCUGGGGCAGGCAAAGUAAUACUGAUAACACGAUUCAUAUCAAAUAUUAGCAUGUACCAGAAUGGCGGGUCCUCCCUUUCGAGAAACUGAUGGUGGACCAUAGCAUCAUAAUCAAGAUAACUAGUAGCCAACUGAGGAUCAUUUUCCUUAAUAGGUAUAUCAAGAUAAGCCGCCAACUGGGUGGCGUAAAUCCCACCAUAAAGAUCACCAUCAGAAGAGUUUUUAUUUAUGCAACAUGCAAUGAUGGCCCCAAGAUUAAAUUUUCUAUCUCUCAUUACAACACUUUUAAGAAUACUUAGGUCAGGAGCACAUGUAGUACAGAGGUCAUGUUUACCAGUUAUGCAUCUUCCUAUGAAUAGAGCAAAAUAAUGAAUAGAAGGAAAAUGAAUGCUUCCAACUCUAGCUUGGGUUACUACUCUAGUUUUGCCUCGCAUGAUGCUCAUGAGAAAUUCAUUACAAUGAAAUUUAUGUGGUUCGAGGCAAGUACCCCAAAAGGGAAUUCUACAAGCAAUGCAAAUUUCUCGAACACUUGUGUGGUAGGAUUUUUAUGAAGACUGAAAAUGACAUCAUGAGAAGAGCAGUGAGAUACAUACUUGAAUUUCCGCACAAAGGAAUCAGUGAGAUCAUGGUAUUGCGGACACUUAUUUGAUAAGAAAUCCGUCAACUUGACAUUUUGUAUGUACAUAUCAAAUUCUUCCUUGAUGCCAACAUUAAUCAUGAAGGCAUUGGAUGGCCAUCCGCAAGAUUUCACAAUGGCAUCCCGAGGGGGCUCGAGAUCGGGAUCGCAGAUAGUAGGUCUUGGGGAACUCUUGCUUGAAGAACCCUCGGAGAACACUCUCCUCAACAUUUUCUUUCUCUGAAAUUUUCUAAAUAUUUUAGUCCCCAAAUAAGAAGUGAAUAAAACUCAACAAAAUUGAUAGCAACUAGUCCCACAAGUAUCUAGAGGUUAUAUCAUGCAUCAAAACUACUUAGAAAUAAACUAAUUUAACAUGCAAGAUCAUAUACAUGGUCACCAAUUGUAGAAAAAUAUGCAAAACAUAAUCCACUAGAACAAAAACUAAUUGGAUCAUCAGAAAAUUCACAUGCCAAGGAGCAAUUCCUCCGAACAAUUUCGGAAAUGGAGCUAUGAGCAACGCGAUAAAAUAUUUCACGAAAAAUGAGCAAGGACACGGGAUAGGAAGCCAUGAUGAUUUUUUUCUUGAGGUGGAAGAAGGCUGUGAGCCUGGGCACUAAGUGAGUGGGUCCAUGUGGUGCCCACAAGCCUGCAUGGUGUGCCCAGGGGGUGGGUGUCGGUGUCAAAACCGGCGGAUCUCGGGUAGAGGGUCCCAAUCUGUGCGUCUAAGGCUAAUGGUAACAGGAGGCAAGGGACACGAUGUUUUACCCAGGUUUGGGCCCUCUCGAUGGAGGUAAAACCCUACUUCCUGCUUGAUUGAUAUUGAUGAUAUGAGUGUUACAAGAGUUGAUCUACCACGAGAUCAUAGAGGCUAAACCCUAGAAGCUAGCCUAUGAUGAUUAUGAUUCCGUCUCUAAGGACUAAACCCUCCGGUUUAUAUAGACACUGGAGGGGGCUAGGGUUUACAUGGAGUCGGCUACAAAGAAGGAAAUAUAAUAUCUGGAUUGCCAAGCUUGUCUUCCAUGCAAAGGAGAGUCCCAUUCGGACACGAGACGAGGUCUUGAGCCUUGUAUCUUCACGGUCCAACAGCCCGGCCAAAGUAUAUAGUCCGGCUGUCCGGAUACCCCCUAAUCCAGGACUCCCUCAGUAGCCCCUGAACCAGGCUUCAAUGACGAUGAGUCCGGCAUGCAGUCUUGUCUUCGACAUUGCAAGGCGGGUUCCAUCUUUGAAUACUCCAAAGUAAUUACCGAACACUUAAAACGUGUCUGGAUCUGCAAGACGAUCUUCACAUACCACCAUAGAGAGAAUGAUAUUUCACAAAUGUAAUCUGCGGGCAACUUUAGACAACAUGACAUAACACCACGGUCAGGUCAUCUUUCGAACCAUCUUCCCACAACCAGCCACAGCGCAUAUUGCGAGGUGGUCUCCUCUGCACGUCUUGCCGAAGCAGAGAUCACGUCCCCUUAUUACGGGAUUCUCAUCAAUACGGGUGUGGGUAGCCCAACCGCACCGCUAAUUGGGGCGAGUGGGGAACGAGCGGGUUCCACCAGGCAAGUGGGAAGGCGCAAAAACUUUUACCGCCUCUAUAAAGAGAUAAGGUCUCUUCCUUUUUACCCACGCCUUCCGCUAUUUCAUUCCCCUCUGUUUGAGCCCUAGAGCCCAAGCACUCUUCUUCUCCACCGAAGAGAGGUCCUCCAAAGAUGUCCGGAUCUGGAGUAGGAGGUAAAUGGAUGGCCUCUACCGUUCGGGAGAGGGACAUCAAAAAUCUCCGAGAGGCCAGGUACCUGGCCAAUAAAAUCGGCCACCGUCUUCCGCCGGCGGGACAGAUCGUCCCCACUCCGGGGCCCCACGAGAGGGUCGUGUUUCUUCCUCAUUUUGUCCGUGGUCUUGAGUUUCCCCUUCACCCAUUUGUUCGCGGCGUCAUGCAUUAUUACGGGAUUGAUUUUCAUGAUCUUUCCCCAAUUCUUUCCUUAACAUCUCGACAUUCAUCAUCGCAUGUGAGGCCUUUCUCCGUAUUUCGCCCCACUUUGGCUUAUGGCUGAAAAUCUUCAACAUAAAGCCCAAGGUGGUGAAAGGAGAGCACGCUGAAUGCAGCGGCGCCAUGGUGAGAAAGAUGCCCAAGGUCAUAUGGUCGAUGGGCGCCUUCAAUGAUUCCGUCAAGGAGUGGCAGCAGCAGUGGUUCUAUAUCACCAAACCGCACGGCAAAAAGUGGGCCGCUGCUCCCGAAUUCAGAUACGGAGCCCCACUGCGGCCCACGUUCUGGCCCGAGAAGGGCCUGAACUGGUCCUAAUCCGGCAAGCUGUCGAUGCUCCAAACGCGCGUCCAGAGCGUGGUCUACAAGGAUGUCAAACUCGUCAACGUAGUCCAGGUGAUGUUAGUUCGCCUGGUUCUCCCUUGCUAGAGUCGAGCCUACAAUUUGUGGGAAUAUGACCCGACCGAACACCAGACCCUACGAGAGCUCUAUGGAUCCUCCCACAAGGACAUCUGGAAGGUGCUCUUCAAGUCCGGCAAACCGUGGCCGGACUCCGCAGAGGACCGUGGGUAUCAACUAUCCCGCUCUCCAAGUCCGGUAAGUCAUUGCCAUGCUCUGUCCAUCCAUGUUUUAGCUGGCAUGUCCUGAGGGAGACGCUUUUAUCAUGCUUUACAAUAAUCCCAGGGGUGGAUGAAAAAGGUGGAGCGGAUACACUGUCCUGCCCUGCUGCCGGAGGAACCGACCGGACCUCUUGUGACGAAGAUGCUGGUCCCAGCGCCUUACGGGGCGCCAAAGAAAGAGGCCCCCAAGAAGGUCAAGAAGACCCAGAGUGGCCUCCGUCAUCGUGAUGCUUCAGACGCAAAAUCCAAAGACUCCAACGACCAUCCCUCCUCCGAAGACGAAGAGGAGGAGGAAGAAGACGAGUCCCCCGCAGGGGGAGGGAAGAGGACGGCUUCCUCAUCCCUGGAGGCCAAAUCGCCAAAGAGGGGCAAAGGUUCCCUUCCUGAGGGAUCCUCCACGGCUGCUGAUAGCAGCCCGGAGUGGGAUCCCAGGGUCCAGCCCCUGGCAAAGUCGUAAGUAUACAAAAUCCAAACACGCAUACGCGCCCGGGGUUAUUAGGAUGUAGUAGUUUUGACUGUCACCAUUCUUUUGUGCAGCCCAGCAAGGUCUCGCGCCGAACAGUCCUCCUCGGAGGAUUCGCUGAGCUCAAAUGCCCUGGAGAGCGAGACGCCUCAAGAGGCCCCUUCCCCGAAGCCUAUGCACGACACCGAGGUGUCGUCUCAGCGUGGCCUGGACCAGGGAGGACAUAUCUCUGGGGCCGGAUACAUGGGAGCAGCGGUUCCUAUGAAUGUCAACGGCGGGGGCGAUCUUGGAUUCGACCCGCAGCCGGACACAGUCCUGGAGGCCUUUAAAGCUCUAGGAUUGGGCGAGAAGCCCCCCUUGACGGAGGGAGGCCAGCCCGCUCCACCAGCAACCUCUUUCCAAGUAGAAUUGCCGGGCGGUCUAUCGACAACACUAGAAAGUGCAUCCAUCGUCGAUGAACAUCGCGCCCUCAUGGGUGUGGUUAUUGAGAAGAUUCAGUCUGCUGAGAGCGGGCUGAAUGAAUCCUGCCUUAGCCUUAUAAAAGGCUUUGAGGUAUGUUUUUAGGAACCUCUGGAAGAUUGUCAUAGUAUGAGUAGUAGCCCCUGAUGCAUUGUCCGGAGAAGAGAUAGAGAGAGCCGGACAGGGGAUCAAAUUUCCGUUUUGCAGGAGACUCAGUUAGUGACGUAUAUCCCUUUGUUUGAAAACAGGCGUCUGCAGGGACGACCGCCGCUCAUAGUGCGGAGGCGUCCAGACUAAAGCAGCGUCUGGAAGGCGCCGAAGAGGAACUUCGCCGCGUGAAGAAGCAGUUGGAGGACAAGCAAGGUAUGUCGAAACCUGUUUGCUAAGUUGAGCAUGAAUUAGAAGUUGUGCCUGAUGAAAAUAUUUGUAUUGUAUGUUCCAGGGGCGAAUGCCGAAAUGGAGGCACUGAAGAAGGAUGUGGCCAAAGCCAACGAGAAGGCCACCGCCGAGCAGGCUCUUCGUGAUAAACACGAGGCUAGGGUCAUUGAAGCUCAGCGAGAGCUCCAGGAGGCUGUGAAGAAAAGUGAGGCCUUGGAGCAGAGUUUAGCAGGGAAAGAAUCCAAACUCGCCCAAGCUCUCCAAGCCGCGGAGGAUGCACGGGAAGAAGCCUGAGGUGCUCUGAAGGACAUUCAGGAGGCACAGAAGGUUGCGGCUGGUAAGGCCUUUUGUACUCAGGGCCAUUUUUUCAUAGUAAUGGGGGCUCUAAGCGACAAGCUGAAUUCUUGUUUCUCCAGGUGUGUUUGCGGACCUGCUGAUGCUGCCCAAUUCUACCGGAGUGAGGAGAAGAAGUCUGCGGAGAAGGAUUUCUGGUCGCAGUAUUUGGCGCCGAACUAUCCGGUGCCCUUUAUCGAUCAGCUGAAGCAGCUGGUCAAACUGCACCAGGCGUCCGAACUAGCCAUGAAGGACUUGGUUGUUCGGCUAUGGCCCGCGGAGCCAAUUCCAAGCAGUUACUUUGGACUCGUGAAGCGGAUUGUUGGUGAUUGCCCUCGGCUCGAUGUCAUUAAGUGAUCGGUUUGCAUAGAGGGUGCGCUCAUGGCAUUUGCCCAUGCGAAGGUGCACUGGGGGAAGCUUGAUGCUGAGAAGCUGAUGACUGAGGGACCACCGGAGGGUAAGGAUCGCAAGCCCGAGUUAUACUAUGAAGGUGCCCUGAAAGGAGCCGGCCUUGUGGCGAAUUAGUGUAGACACUAUAUUUCCCUGAAGGUUGUCGUGCCAUUCUUUGUAAUGUGGGAUAAUGGCAAUUUUAUUAUUUAUUGCCUGUUUAUUUGUUCUUCCUGUGCAGCCGUUUAGUGUAUAUAAAACCUGAGGGUUGGCCAGUCGUCGGCUUCUGCCCCCACGUGAAAAGUAUGGGGGUGUUCGGGAUAUACCUGAACACUCUUUAUCCCAUUGUUGGGUCCUUUUAAGGAGGUGUUCCACACCACGAACCAGGCAAUCAGACUAUAGGGCUUUAUCACUCUCACUUAGCCAUAGGAAUUCGAGUAUGGUGGGCGCAACCCCUGGUGUUCAGAAGACCGUACUAGGGGCUCUAUCGGCGCCUGAUAGGAAAACCGAUCCGUCACACUUUGCAUUUAUAAUGGCAAUAUGCGGAAUAAAUCUUUAAAGAUUUUACAACCUCUCGAACAGCUGACCAGCUCUCGCCGUAUCAUGAUAGUCAGUUUUUGGCUUUCUCUACUAAGGUGCUUGUCCGGCAGAACCGGGACACAAUCGCAGUAAUUCUCCCGACGCUACCUUAGCCGAUAGAGCGGAACGUAAGGUACCAAAACAUGGGAGCCGGGCAAACCCAACUAAUGACCCAAGACAUGAUUCGGAGCUGGUGCAUAUAAUGCUAUAAGUUCGGGGUGCCGAGCGACCGAAAAGGUGGCUGGACUUUGUUGCCGUAUUAUGAGUAUUAUGAAGCCCCUGGCAUAGUGGGGCAUAAUACAAUGUACGGGUGCCGUUUAUGGAAAAAAUGGCGUCAAUGAAGAAUGACAACCGGUAAGUGUUAUUUAAGUCUACGCACUGUAGUAGGAUGACAUGUCUAUGCAUAUGAGUACGGUUUAUGAUUAUGAAAAGAGGUGUUUUUGGCGGAACCUGUCAUGGCCGGACUGGAGGAGGCUGUGUGUGGAUCUGAAGUGUAUCCGGACUGCCUCCUUUGGGGGGGGUACUUAUGCGUUCCUGCCCUUGUGCGUCCGAGCUGAUUCCACGUCGCCAGUCCUUUUCUACGCCAAAGUUAAUCUGUAAAGACAAAUGCUUGAAGGCAGCUGCAUGUCCUCUUGUGGUUGAACUGUGGGUGCCUCAUCGGAGCCUGGCUGAACCAGGCUGUCAUGCCGUAAAAUAGCGCGGACUCCUCAGUUGGUGUCCGGGUAGUUGGCUGCCGAAUCAAAAUUUGAUAAACAGGCACGCCUUGCUAUUCCAGCAGCGGUAUGAUUUCCCCUCUAAGGGUGGGGUUCAGCCCUGCCCAUAAUUGUGACUAUGUCACGCGGGACUAGCCUAAUGUUGUACCCCGCGGCUUGUCCCGGUAGUAUGUUGUAAUUACUGUAUAAGGGGACAAUGCCGAAGACUUAGUCUUCAGCGUGGUAUUUGCUUGGUGAUCCGAAGACAACCAUUAAUGUGGUGGGCCAGUAAAACUUGGCCUUUGCACCUGGCAUCUUUUAGAAGCUGUUAUUAAUAGUUUAUGACCGCGGGGGCUCGUAUGGGAUGGAGCCCCCAAACUAUUGGGUCGAUAGUGAGUGCAAUUAAAUUGCUAUGGUUGAUGUUGUCCGGACGGUCAAUGUGAUCGGAGAAGAUCGGCCGUUUGUGCUGUGGAGGAUCUUCUUUUGAUUUCGCCAUGUUUGGUUGGUCUUUCAUUGUUUGAAAACCUCCUUUCAUUGUUUCCGGCGCACGACUGGCCGUUUUGCAUUGAGGAUCCGGCAUUCUCUAUUGGUGUGCUUGGCCGCCCUUCUAGGGGUACCACGAAUUUCACAUGGUUGAUCGAGUAUGUUGCUUGGGCCGGAUGGGCUUGAGCUAUCUCUUGGGGCUCUUGUCUGAUAUGGGAAACACGGUUUUAGUCUGGGUGCAUGGGUGUAGCUGAAUCUGGAUUCUGAUCCGAUCUAAUGCCCAGGGGCAGAGGAGCUUCCGGGCUUGAUAGCUCGGGAUUCGGGGUGCCGCCCGAUUUUUAUGGCCUGAUACCCGAUUCUAAGUCCGGGGUCUGGGUCAUGUCCUCCCGUGAGCGGGUAUCUGGCUCAGGGAGCUCGGUAAUCCAGACAUAAUUCAUCCUCAAAAUAGAGGGACCAUCCGUACGUGGCUCCUCCACCACCGCUAUCUCGUGGGUGACCAGCGAGGAUUUAAUAUCCCUUUGGUCGGGUUUAAGCCCAAUUCGGUCAUAGUCUGUGGCGACUCCCAAAGCAGCGAUGCGAUCCAAGAGCUCAUUAAGGGAGGAGAGUUCCCUUGGAUCCAUCUGUUCGGCAAGUUCCGAAUUGACGUGGGGGCUAUUCGUGAUGACCCGAGAGAUCAUCGUCGACGCGACAGUCGAUUGGGCGACCAUGAAGAAGCCGCCUAGUCGGAGAGUUUGGCCUACAGCCAGUGCUCCCCCAGAGGUGAUGUUUUCCUUGACAACGAGGUGGGCCAUCAAGCCUUGCAGCGACGACACAGAGGAACUCUCAAUGAAAGCACCAAUGUCGGUGUCAAAACCGGUGGAUCUCGGGUAGGGGGUCCCGAUCUGUGCGUCUAAGGCUAAUGGUAACAUGAGGCAAGGGACACGAUGUUUUACCCAGGUUCGGGCCUUCUCGAUGGAGGUCAAACCCUACUUCCUGCUUCAUUGAUAUUGAUGAUAUGAGUGUUACAAGAGUUGAUCUACCACGAGAUCGUAGAGGCUAAACCCUAGAAGCUAGCCUAUGAUGAUUAUGAUUCCGUCUCUAAGGACUAAACCCUCCAGUUUAUAUAGACAUCGAAGGGGGCUAGGGUUUACAUGGAGUCGGUUACAAAGAAGGAAAUAUAAUAUCCGGAUCGCCAAGCUUGUCUUCCAUGCAAAGGAGAGUCCCAUCCGGACACGGGACGAAGUCUUGAGUCUUGUAUCUUCACGGUCCAACAGUCCGGCCAAAGUAUAUAGUCCGGCUGUCCGGAUACCCCCUAAUCCAGGACUCCCUCAAUGGGUGCGCCAUGUGAGCUUGUGGCUCACAGGUGCAUGAUUACCCACAAGUAUAGGGGAUCUAUCGUAGUCCUUUUGAUAAGUAAGAGUGUCGAACCCAACGAGGAGGAGAAGGAAAUGAUAAGCAGUUUUCAGUAAGGUAUUCUCUGCGAGCACUGAAAUUAUCGGUAAUAGAUAGUUUUGUGAUAAGGUAAUUCAUAACGGGUAACAAGUAACAAAAGUAAGCAAGGUGGCCCAAUCCUUUUUGUAGCAAAGGACAAGCCUGGACAAACCCUUAUAUAAGAAAAGCGCUCCCAAGGACAUAUGGGAAUUAUCGUCAAGCUAGUUUUCAUCAUGCUCAUAUGAUUCGCGUUCGUUACUUUGAUAAUUGGAUAUGUGGGUGGACCGGUGCUUGGGUACUGCCCUUCCUUGGACAAGCAUCCCACUUAUGAUUAAUCCCUCUCACAAGCAUCCGCAACUACAAAAUAAUAAUUAAGGUAAACCUAACCAUAGCAUGAAACAUAUGCAUCCAAAUCAGCCCCUUACGAAGCAACGCAUAAACUAGGGUUUAAGCUUCUGUCACUCUAGCAACCCAUCAUCUACUUAUUACUUCCCAAUGCCCUAGGCCCAAACAAUGGUGAAGUGCCAUGUAGUCGAUGUUCACAUAACGCCACUAGAGGAAAGAUAACAUACAUCUCAUCAAAAUAUCAAACAAAUACCAAAUUCACAUGACUACUUAUAAUAAGACUUCUCCCAAGUCCUCAGGAACAAAUGUGACUACUCACAAAUCAUAUUCAUAUUCAUAAUCAGAGGGAUAUUAAUGUGCAUAAAGGACUGAACAUAUAAUCUUCCACCGAAUAAACCAACUAGCAUCAACUACAAGGAGUAAUGAACACUACUAGCAACCCACGGGUGCCAAUCUGAGGUUUUGAGACAAAGAUCGGAUACAAGCUAGGGUUUGAGAUGAGACGGUGCUGGUGAAGAUGUUGAUGGAUAUUGACCCCCUCCUGAUGAGAGGAUCGAUGGUGACGAUUUCCCCCUCCCGGAGGGAUGUUUCCCCGGCAGAACAGCUCUACCAGAACCCUAGAUUGGUUCCGCCAAGGUUCCGCCUCGAGACGGCGACGCUUCAUCUCGAAAGCUUCCUUAUGAUUUUUUUCCAGGGCAAAAGACACCUUAUACCAGAAGAUGGGCAUCGGGGGGCUUCCAGGUGGCCCACGAGGCAGGGGGCGUGCCCAGGGGGUAGGGCACGCCCUCCACCCUCGUGGACAGUGGGUGGCCCCCCUCUGGUGCUUUCUUCGCCCAAUAUUUUUAAUAUAUUCCAAACUGACUUUCGUGGAGUUUCAGGACUUUUGGAGUUGUACAGAAUAGGUCUCUAAUGUUUGCUCCUUUUCCAGCCCGGAAUUCCAGCUGCCGGCAUUCUCCCUCUUCAUGUAAACCUUGUAAAAUAAGAGAGAAAAGGCAUAAGUAUUAUGACAUAAUGUGUAAUAACAUCCCAUAAUGCAAUAAAUAUCGAUAUAAAAGCAUCAUGCAAAAUGGACGUAUCGACUCCCCCAAUCUUAGACCUUGCUUGUCCUCAAGCGGAAGCCGAUAUCGAAAAAUAUGUCCACAUGUUUAGAGAUAGAGGUGUCGAUAAAAUAAAAUACGGACAUGAGGGCAUCAUGAUCAUUCUUAGAAUAGCAACACACACACACACACAAAUAUAUAUAUAUAUAUAUAUAUAUAUAUAUAUUGUCAUAUGAUUUCUUAUGCUGAAGUAACAACCUAUUCACAAUGUAAAGUAUGAAUCAGAAACUUCAUUAAAAACUAGCAAACUAUGAUCUCAGUCAUUGAAGCAAUUGCAAUUUAUCAUAACAUCAGAAAGAGUCAAUAUAAGAGCUUUUCAGCAAGUCCACAUACUCAACUAUCAUUUAGUCUUUCACAAUUGCCAACACUCACGCAAUACUUAUGGGUAUGAAGUUUUAAUAAGACACAGAGAAAGAUAGGGGCUUAUAGUUUUGCCUCCCAACCUUUUACCUCAAGGGUAACGUCAACAAUAAUGCUUUAUGAAAACCCACAUCCAAUUAGAUAUAUAUAUAUAUAUCAGGAUCUUUCCAACACAUAGUGCUUGCCAAAGGAUAAAGUGUAAAAAGGAAAGGUGAAGAUCACCAUGACUCUUGUAUAAGGUGUAAGACAAAAAAAAGAUAGGCCCUUCGCAGAGAGAAGCAGAGGUUGUCAUGUGUUUUUAUGGUUGGAUGCACAAAAUCUUAAUGCAAAAGAACGUCACUUUAUAUUGCCACUUGUGAUAGGGACCUUUAUUAUGCAGUCUGUCGCUUUUAUUUCUUCCAUAUCACAAGCUUGUAUAAAUCUUCUUUUCUCCACACUAAUAGAUCAUACAUAUUUAGAGAGCAAUUUUUAUUGCUUACAACAAUGACAACUUACUUGAAGGAUCUUACGCAAUCCAUAGGUAUAUAUGGUGAACUCUCAUGGCAAAAGUGGCUUUAAGGAUAUUUGGAAGCACAAGUAGUAUCUCUACUUGGUGCAAAGAACUUGGCUAGCAUGAGGGGGAAAGGCAAGCUCAACAUGUUGGAUGAUCCAUGAAAAUAUAAUUUAUUUCGGUAUAAGAAAACAUAACCCAUUAUGUUGUCUUCCUUGUCCAACACCAACUUUUUAGCAUGCCAUAUUUUAAUGAGUGCUCACAAUCAGAAAAGAUGUCCAAAACCAAGAUAGUAUAUUUUAAUGAGUGCUCACAAUCAACUUUUUAGCAAACCAAGAUAGUAUAUUUAUAUGUGAAAACCUCUCUUUCUUUAUUACUUCCUAUUAAUUGCACGAUGACCAAAACUAUGUUUGUCAACUCUCAAAACUUUUAUUCAUCAUACUCUUUAUAUGUGAAGUCAUUACUCUCCAUAAGAUCAAUAUGAUCUCUUUAUUUCUUUUUAUUCUUUCUUUUUCUUUUAUUCCCUCAAGAUCAUAGCAAGAUAGCAAAGCCCUCGACUGAAGACUAAUCUUUAUUAUAUAUAGCCCACGGACUCUAUUACAUAGAUAAGGAUCAACACAAAAACUCAAAGCUAGAUCAUACUAAACUUUAUCUACUAGAUCAAUAUAUAACCAAAAUGAAAUGCCUUGUAACAGAUGAGUGUCCGUCCGAAACCCUGAUACUUCGAAAGAGAUUGUCCAUUUUGUACACGAAGUGCAUCCAAAUUUUGCCAUAACCCUCUCUAUUUUUUGCAUAUGCUAUGUGGGUGAAAUGAUGAUACCAAGCCAACUUUUAACUUUUUCAGAGUUCAUUUGAAGUGUUUUUCAAUUUCAGGGUCAUUUAGCUAAAAAACAGUAAAUGCAUGAAAAAUAGCAAAUGAAGUCAGAAAGGGUUGAAAAUUGAUGACGUGGCUUUGAAUGGUGCAUACUGAACGGACAAAAAGUCUGGAGUUGUAAUAGUUAAAAAAUGAAAUGUCUUUGUAACAGAUGAGUUUUCAUUCGAAACCCUGAUACUUCGAAAGAGAUUGUCCCUUUUGUACACGAAGUGCAUCCAGUUUUUGUCGCAACCCUCUCUACUUUUUUGCACAUCCUAUAUGGGUGAAAUGAUGAUACCAUGACAACUUUCAACCUUUUUAGAAUUCAUUUGAAGUGUUUUUCAAUUUCAGGGUCAUUUAGCUAAAAAAAUCAGUAAAUGCAUGAAAAAUAGCAAACGAAGUCAGAAAGGGUUGAAAAUUGAUGACGUGGCUUUGAAUGGUGCAUACUGAACGCACAAAAAGUCUGGAGUUGUAAUAAUUUAAAAAAUGAAAUGACUUUGUAACAGAUGAGUUUUCGUCCGAAUCCCUGAUACUUCAAAAGAGAUUGUCCCUUUUGUACGCGAAGUGCAUCCAGUUUUUGCCAUAACCCUUCCUACUUUUUUGCACAUGCUACGUGGGUGAAAUUAUGAUACCAUGCCAACUUUCAACCAUUUCAGAGUUCAUUUGAAAUGCUUUUCAAUUUAAGGGUCAUUUAGCUCAAAAAAAUAGCAAAUGAAGUCCUACAUAAUGCAUGAAAGAAUUUGUUUGAACAUAAUAUAUCUUCGUGUUUCAAAUGCCAAAACACAUAAGUACCCUAACUAUUACAAAGAUUCCCUCCGAUUUGUUCGAAGUGGGACUUUCCAGAUAUAUAAGUCCGUAAACUCACUAGAGAAGAAAGUGAUGACAGUGAAGCCGAUCACAUCCCAGAGUGGGAUCUUUGGGUGUGAAACUUUUUCUUCGCGUGUGUCCCUUUGCGCCAUAACCAUGGACAAUCUUCAUCAUUUUACUAGAUGCUCGGGUCAAUAUUCACUGUGAAUGGAGCAAUUUCAUCAAACUUUCAUAAUCUUCUGACAUGUCUGUCUUGUCAUCCACUCCCACGACGUUUCUUUUUCCUGAAAGAACUAUGUGGUGCUUUAGCUUAUCGUAUGAUGUAUUUGCUUCCUUAUCUUUUCUUUUUCUCGGCUUGGUAGACAUGUCCUUUACAUAGAAAACCUGCGCCACAUCAUUGGCUAGGACGAAUGGUUCGUCUGCAUACGCAAGAUUGUUGAGAUCCACUAUUGUCAUUCCGUACUGCGGGUCUUCCAUUACUAGCCUCGUGUCAUAUUGACCCAUUUGCACCGAAACAAAGGGACCUUCAAACCACGUCCAUAGUCAAGUUCCCAUAUGUCCUCUAUGUAACCAUAAUAUGUGUCCUUUCCUGUCUUGGUUGCUGCAGCAUAGCGGACACCACUGUUUUGGUUGGUGCUCUUCUUAUCUUGGGCGAUCGUGUAAAAUGUAUUCACAUUUAUCUCGUACCCUUUGAAAGUCAUUAUAUUCGAAUAUGGUAACUGGGAUAAUAAGUACAGGUCAUCUUCAAUAGCGGCGUCAUGCAUGGCACAUGUCUGCAACCAACCGGUGAAAGUCCCCAUUUGUUCACGUUUAAUCCAGUUGUCAGACUGCUCCGGGUGUUUGGAGCGUAGAAAAUUCUUGUGUUCCUCCAUAUACGGAGCCACCAAGGCGGAAUUCUGUAGAACUAUGUAGUGUGCUUGAGUGAGACAAGGCAUAAAACCAUCCGCCCACUUGUUUGCCUCAGCCGUAAGCAGAAAAGUAUGCACGCCAUCAACGAACUGGGGAGGGUAUCGGUCAUCGUACAUCCAUUGUUGGCUCAUCUUCAUCACACAACACCGAAUAGACCAAAUUAAUACAAGUUCAUACAACACUUAUUCUCAUAAAACUAACAUACAAAUAACUCUCUAGCAAAAGCAUUUAAAUGCAACAACAAAUGCGAUCAACAUCGCAACUAAGGUAACAAUUGAUCCAACAACAUAAUGAUACCAAGCCUCACUAUCAAUGGCAUAUUUUCUAAUCUUUCUAUUCUUCAAGCACAUUUUCUCCAUCUUAAUCUUGUGAUCAUUGACGACAUCGACAACAUGCAACUCCAAUUCCAUCUUCUCCCCCUCAAUUCUUUUUAUUUUUUCUUUCAAAUACUCGUUUUCUCUUUCAACUAAAUUUAACCUCUCGACAAUAGGGUCAAUUGGAAUUUCCGGUUCACAUACCUCCUAGAUAAAAAUAUCUAUGUCAACUUGAUGGGCAUACUUUGUCAUAAACACGAGAUGCAACAAAUAGUUUUAAAAGAGAAUAUACCACAUCCAAAUCAUAACCCGGACGAGGGUCGGAGGGUACGGAUAUCAAAACCAUGGCACUAUAUAUAACAAACAACGUACGGGUAAGAUAGUUAUACAAGUAACUAUAUAUCUAAAUCACACAAACAUGAUUUUUUAUAUAUAAAAAAGAUAAGAACAAGAGGCUCACCACAAGGUGGUGCCGGCGACGGGUCGGUGGGACGAUCGAUGGUGGUUAGGACGGAGACGGAAAGGCACUAAGUAAACCACACCUAUAUAUGCAAACUAGGAGUUAUUUUGAGCUCAGAUUGCAUAUAAAUCAAAUAAACUACCACAUAUAAUUCCUCCCAAAUUACUAAAACCCACAAAUUAAUCACUAUAUAAAGUAUUGCAAGAGCUAAUCUAGCAAUGAAAGAUGAAAGGACAAAGUUGCUAACCUUUGUGAUCACUUGAAUGGAUGAGGGCCUUCAAAUCUUGACAAAAUUUGGGCAAAAUGUGUGAUGAGCUCGAGGAAGAGGGGAAGAACAGAGAGGAGAGGGGAAAGGGGAAGAACAGAGCGAGAUUGAUCGCGGGUGGACGAAGGAUUUAUAUAGGAACACCUUUAGUCCGGUUCAGGGCACAAAUCGGGACUAAAGCUCAGCCUCUAGUACCGGUCCGUACCACGAACCGGGACUAAAGGUGUUGGUGGGGCCGCAGCCUGACACCAUCCUGCCACCACCCCUUUAGUACUGGUUUGUGGCACGAACCAGUACUAAAGGUUCGCUACGAACCGGUACUAAUGAUCGCCGCCCGCCUAGCCAUUGGAACCGGCACUAAUGAUCACAUUAAUGCCGGUUCAGUUACAAAUCGGGACUAAUGUGCUUCACAUUAGGCCCUUCUUCUACUAGUGAUUGCAUUUGAUUUGCUGUAAUUGAUCCUUAAUCCCGAGGUUUCACCAAAGAUGUCAAAGGUCGCUUUCAUGAAUGUGAUAUCUUGUAGAGAUGGUCUCAAGAAAAACGCCAUGUCAUCAGCUUAUAAAGACAAUCUUUGGGUGACCGAGACUCCUCUAAACGAGCUGAGCACUCCUUCCUACUGCAUCGUAUCGUAUGCAGUCUCUGUCUUUCAGCACGGCGUCGGUGUUCGCCGCCACGGCCGGCUGCUUUGCUCGAUGCACACAACAUGCUUGUUCAAAUGCCAGAGAGAAAGAGAGGAGGAAGGGGGAGGAGGUUGAUGCUGACGUGUGGGCCCCACCUAUAAUAACCGUCAAAAUAAACGACGUUGACUUUUCUGCCACGUCGGUCCUGCCGGUUGGUCCCGCUUGUCAUAAACGUAUCUAAAUCCAAUAACGCGGUCACCACCCGAAAGUUGUAGUUUUUAGGGACGAAUUAUGAAAAAAGUGGUAGUCUUUUUAUUAAAAAUUUAGAAGUUGUAGUACUGUGGGAUGCAAAUCACAAUAGUGAUAGCUUUUUGUCAAAUACUCAUCAUACAGAGCUUUUUGUUACAAUGAAAAGGCACACACAUCACAUGCCUAGUAGAAAUACAUUGAUGUUAAAUUCACAUCAUCACGAGUUUAAACUGUGAAGUUCCGCACCCAUGAUCUUCUUUGAAAGGACAAAUUUCUUCAAUGUGGCGCUUUUACUCUUAAUUUGAAGAUCUAUAGAUACGCUCCAAUAUCCAAAAAACUCAACGGGAAAUGAUACAGGAAACAUUUAGUUUACACUCAUCUACUCCUUUCAUUCCUACAUAUAAGUCUUUUUAGAGAUUUCAAAUGGACUACAAUAUACGUGUAUAUAGACAUAUUUUAGAGUGUAGAUUCACUCAUUUUGCUUCGUAUGUAGUUCCUUUUUGAAAUCUUUAAAAAGAUUUAUAUUUGGAAACGGGGAGAGUAGAACUUUUUUUUCUUCUGAAAUGACAGGAUUCCUGUAUUCAGAAAAGAGUUACUCAAUUAAUUUGAAAAAACCGAGCGAAAACAAGGUUGCCUAGUUAAUUGUGAAGAAACAAGCGCAAACCAUCACAACCGUUGAGCGGCACACAAAAGAUACUCCACGCACAACACUCCAAAGAGGGCAUCGCCGAGACACCCAGGCGUCAUCAUCCUCACUCCUCCCUUGGAGCCGUCAUCAUCAUCCUAAGAACCCUGAGCAAACGACUCCGACUUCACUGUAGGCCAUCAUGGACCCGACCCAUCCAACCCACGUUGUAGAGGCCGUGUGGAGAUGUAUGAAGAUCCGCCGUAGUAGAUCAUCGACUGGACCCCACAGAAGAUUAAUUAUCAAGGUUUCAAAGAAACUAAAAAAAUGCUAGAACAGUGAUAGACAUGUGGAAUUUCAAGUUCGAGCUCAUGCUCAUUUGUGAGGUAUGUACAAAAACCAACCGAGUAUGAGUAUGAAUUUGGACACAUGCUUACGGAACAUCAUCCUCCCAAUAUAUUACAUUUUGUUUCAUCUUUUGAUUUCGAGAUAUUCAACCUCUCCUGUCGCUUUCACUCGUUUGCACCGUAUUGUCGUUGCCAUGGGAUGCUUUGCCAUCUCGAGGGCCAUAGGGAGAAUCAUUCUCGCGUAUUUCUUCAAACCCCGCACGUCCCAAAACACCGAAGUAACAUAGAUGACCAAGAUUGCUAGCCUGCGUCACAGUUGAUAGGAUGCAUGCAUGUUAGCCAAACCUUCAAUCAAUUGCACAAUCACUGACAUGUCAACGAUCCUAUAAUGCACACAAACCUGACAUAAUUGCCAAGGGCCGCAGUGCUUUUCCUAUGAUAUUUGACAAGCAGAGCGAUGAUUAUACCUGCACAGAUAACACGUAUAAUUGUAGAGGUCAGUAAAAAGAUAGGGUAUGUCUAGGGCAUAUCUAGAUGUGACGUAGUUAUGUCACAUCUAACUUGAUGUCCACUAUGUUUGUGGUUUAUUUUUUUUGUCCCAGUUUUUUUUUUAUUUCUUGUUGCUGCGUUAUUUAUGGGAGCUUAGAUGUGACAUUCUUAAAAAAUAUCUAGAUGUAAAUUAGACAAACAGAAAAAGAUACUACUUCAAAAUGUGGAAUCCUGCGGUGAAGUACUUUAAAACUGUAAGGUAAAAUAAUGCAAUUAGUUACGGAGAUCCUCCGGAAACUACCUUAGUUUAGACCGAUCCUAAACCCUAACAGUAUCGCUAAGGCUCAGUUUAUGCUAUAUUCGUGAGAUCUUACAUUGAGAUUCAUAUUUUUUCCCCUCUCCUGCAUGCUAUGUCACUUGAGUGAGAAUUGGUUAAAUCUCAGUCGACUGAAACCUAGCCACACCCAAACCCUAAACCCUAAGAAAGAAAGCAUCAAGGUGGGGGAGAUGGACUCACCAAGUUUAAUCCGGAUUAUCCAGUCAGGGGAGAAGCCACACCGCCGGACGUCGGCCGCGAUGGUGCUGAGCUUGUAGAAGGCGUAGUACAUGGCGACCUCGAUGCACGUGGAGGGACUAAGCUUCCACAGUUGGUACAUCCCCAUACACGUCAUGAUGGCGCCGAAGGGCAUGCCGAUCUGGAACUCCUGGGUGUCGAAGACGCUCUUGAGACUCCGCAGGUCGUCGAGGAGUUCCCGGAGUGGGCGGACCACGCCGGUGACAGCGCCUAUGACGGAGGCCUUUGCCUCCUUGGACUCACGCCGGAACCGCUCGUUGAUGGCGGCCUGGCUGAAGUCCGCGGUUUCGAACUCUUGGAUCUCCCUGACGGUCAGCCCCGCGGGAUACACGACGUCGUCGAGGUCGCCCCAGUCGUCGACGUCGUCGUGCGAGCACUCGCCAAGGCCUGUGGUGGGCGCGAGCUCGCGGGGAUCCUCGACGGCCGGGCCGCUCAGAACCAAGGCGUCGGUGCCAUCGCUGACCGUGGUGGGCGCGAGCUCGUGGGGAUCCUCGACGGAGGGGCCGCUCAGAACCAAGGCGUCGGUGCCAUCGCUGAGGACCAUGGCCACGGCAUCGUGUAAGACAAUAGGCUUUGGGGGGAACCGGCACAACCCUCUAGAGGUGGCCUAUCACAUAUAUAUAUAUAUAAUGAGGUGGUAUACAACGUUACAAUAUACACAUGUAAAUACAGUCUAACACCCUCCCUCAAUCUUAGCCACUUUCUAAUGAAUCUAGAAGGGUAAGAUUGCGCCUGCAAGUCUCAAACUGUGGCAAAGGCAAUGGCUUGGUGAAGAUGUCAGCAAGUUGAUCCUUGGAAGAAAUAAACUUGAUCUGUAGUUGCUUCUGAGAGACACGUUCACGCACAAAGUGAUAGUCAACUUCAAUGUGUUUCGUUCGGGCAUGGAAUACCGGAUUUGCAGAAAGGUAUGUAGCACCGAUGUUAUCACACCAAAGAACAGGAGGCUGUGAUUGGGGUAUACUUAACUCCUGAAGCAAGGACUGUACCCAGAUGAUCUCUGACGUGGCAUUGGCCACAUCCUUAUACUCAGCCUCAGUACUGCUACGCGAGACAGUAGCCUGUUUCCGAGCACUCCAGGCAAUCAGGUUAGAGCCAAAGAAGACAGCAUAACCCCCCGUGGAUCGUCUGUCAUCCGGAUUGCCAGCCCAGUCUGCAUCAGAAUAUGCUGAAAGACAACCAGAGUCAGACGGCCGAAUAUGCAAACCAUGAUCCACCGUGAAACGAAUAUAGCGCAAAAUCCGCUUAACAGCAGACCAAUGAGUGUCACGGGGUGACUGCAGAUACUGGCAGACUCGGUUAACAGCAUAGGAAAUGUCUGGUCGCGUGAUCGUCAAGUACUGGAGCCCACCAACAAUACUCCUGUACUCUGUCGCAUCAGAAGAAGAAAGAAGCACACCAUCAACAGCAUUGAGCUUAUCAGUGGUAGACAUGGGUGUAGUCGUCGGUUUGCACUUAAGCAUCCCAGCUCGCUGCAACAAAUCCAGAGAGUACUUCUUCUGCGUCAUAACAAGGCCAGCAUCACGAGAAGUAACCUCCACACCAAGAAAGUAAUGAAGCUUCCCAAGGUCCUUGACCGCAAAAUCAGCACCAAGUGAGCGAACAAGCGCAGUAGCAGCCGACUGAGAGGAGCUGACCAAAAUGAUAUCAUCUACAUAGACCAACAAGUACAUAGUAACCUCAGGCCUUUGAAGAAGAAACAAUGAGGAGUCAGCAGUUGAUGAUGCAAAACCAUGAGCACGAAGAGCCAUUGCAAGACGAGCAUGCCAAGCACGAGGAGCCUGCUUCAGACCAUAAAUUGCCUUGGAUAGACGACAGAGAUGAUCAGGGCGAUCCGGAUCAGAGAAACCCGGAGGCUGGCGCAUGUAAACCUCCUCCGCCAAGACACCAUGAAGAAAAGCAUUUUGAACAUCAAGCUGACGAAGAAACCAACCUCGAGUAACAGCCAGAGAGAGAAGAAGUCUGAUGGUAGUAGGCUUGACCACUGGACUGAAGGUGUCUUCAUAGUCAAGUCCAAAACGCUGUCGAAAACCACGAGCAACCAGACGAGCCUUAUAGCGCUCAAUGGACCCAUCAGAAUGCCUCUUCACUUUGAAAACCCAUUUGGAAUCAAUGACAUUUACCCGUGAUUGUGGAGGAAUAAGAGUCCAUGUCUGAUUGCGAAGAAGCGCUUGAUACUCCUGCUCCAUGGCCUCUCUCCAAUGAGGAAUGUGCAUAGCACCUUGAUACGUGCGUGGCUCAGAGGAUGGAUCUGCGAGAGCAGCAGACAUGCACGCCGCUAACCAAACAACUGUGCCAUCGUGACGUUGCUUAGGCUGAAAAAUGCCACUCCGACUGCGCGUAUGUGGACGUAGAGCAGCAGCAGGAGCCGGCGGAGGCGAAGGUGACGGAGACGUGACGGUCACUGGAGAUGCAGGAAUCACCUCAGGCGAGCUCGGGACAGACGACUCCGGGCUGCAUGGCGAAGACUGGCCCGACGACAGGGACUCAGAGGCCAUGGGCGAACCGAGAGUGGGCGAGGCCAGCUCCGGUGACACCGGCCCAGACGGCCUUGGCGAGGCGAGAGCAGGCGAGGCCGACCCUGGUGAGAAGGGCCCAGACACCCUGGGCGAGGCAGGGGCGGGCGAGGCCAGGCCUGGUGAUGACUGCCCCGACGCCCUGGGCGAGACGGGGACCGAGGAGGCUGGCCCAGUCGGCGGGGUUGCAGGGCGCGACGAUGGCGAAGGCAGCCCAGAAGCUAGAGGCGACCGGGCCAGGACGUCGAUCGGCCGUGCAUGAGCACGGAAACCGAGGCCAUGCAGGGGCGCCAUGUGCUCCCAUGCACAACAGAAGGUGCCGAGGAUGAAGGCGAUGGCGACGAAGAGGAAGAUGGCACUUCCAGAAUCUCCAAACGAGCCCCACGACCAGUGCCUGCACCAUGGUUAGGCAAUAAUAGAGGAGAAUAUGCAACAUCAUCAAAUUGGUCAGAAGCAACAGAGGAUGAAUGCAUGACAGGUGGCUCGGUAGUGGACACACGAAGUUUGGCAAAGGGAAAAACAUGCUCGUCAAACACAACAUCCUGAGAGAUGUAGACACGAUUAGUGGGCACAUGAAGACAUUUAUAUCCUUUAUGAAGAGAGCUAUAACCAAGAAAAAGACACUUCUUGGAACGAAACUCGAGCUUACGCUUGUUAUAUGGACGGAGAUGGGGCCAGCAAGCACACCCAAACACCUUGAGAAAGGUGUAGUCCGGUUGUUCAUUAAGGAGAACUUCAAUGGGAGUCUUCAUAUUCAAAACACGAGUGGGAGUACGAUUGAUGAGAAAACAUGCAGUGGUGAAAGCAUCACUCCAAAAACGAAACGAAACAGAUGCAUGGGCCAAAAGAGUCAGACCAGCUUCAACAAUGUGACGAUGCUUACGUUCUACUGAACCAUUCUGCUGAUGUGUAUGUGGACAUGCUAAACGGUGAGUGAUCCCAAGCGACUGGAAGAAGGAGUUGAGGUUGCGAUACUCGCCACCCCAGUCCGACUGAACAUGAACAAUUUUGUGCUUGAGAAGGCGUUCAACAUGUUUUUGGAACUGAACAAAAAUGUCAAACACAUCAGAUUUACGUUUGAUAAGAUAAAGCCAAGUAAAGCGGCUGUAAGCAUCAACAAAACUGAUAUAGUAAUUAUGACCACUAACAGAAGUCUGAGCAGGACCCCAUACAUCUGAAAACACAAGUUCUAAAGGAUGUUUCACCUCACGACUGGACUCCGAAAAAGGAAGUUGAUGACUCUUCCCCUGCUGACAAGCAUCACACACUGCUACAUCUUUAUUACUAGACACACUAGGAAGCUCAUGACGACGCAAAACAUGCCGGACAAUAGGUGUGGCCGGGUGACCAAGACGAGCAUGCCACUGUGACGGAGAUACCCAAACUCCACUGAAGACGCGAGCGACGCCAGGAUGCUCCAGACGAUAGAGACCUUGGCAGAGCCGCCCACUAAGAAGAAUGUCCCUCGUGCCCCGAUCCUUAAUAAAAAGAUCAAAAGGAUGAAAUUCACAAAGCACAUUAUUAUCACGAGUGAGUUUAGGAACUGAAAGAAGAUUACGUGUCACAGAUGGAACUCGAAGAACAUUGCGAAGUUGAAGACUCCUAUUGGCAUGUCUAGUGAGAAGUGAUGCUUGACCAAUAUGAGAGAUGUGCAUACCUGCUCCAUUGGCGGUGUGGAUCUUGUCGGAGCCAUGGUAGGGUUCACGAGUGUGAAGCUUCCCCAUCUCACUGGUCAGGUGCUCUGUCGCCCCAGAGUCCAUGUACCAGUGGGGAUCAAUGGAGUAGGACUGAGUGUGUCCCUGUGGCUUCUGCGGCGGCGGACGAUCAGCCAUGGCGACCUGACGAGCAAAGUUGCGUGUAUCCUUCUCGUCAUUGUCGAGACCAAGAAAACCCCGCUGGAAGCGCUUGUGACACUUCGAGGCCCAGUGCCCAUCGCGACCACAAAGCUGGCACACACGUGGACCGCCAGCCCCUGGUAGCGUCGCAGUAGGAGGAGGGGCCGAGGCGGGUGGUGGUGACUGCCCCGAAGGAGCCCUGGAUGAAGCAGAGGAGCGACCACCCUUGGUGGCGGCGUUUGCCGAGAGGGCACCGUUGCCCCUGGAUCGGCGCGUCUCGACUCGUUGCUCAGUAAGCAGGAGGCGUGAAAAGACCUCGUGUGCUGGCAUGGGCGUGGAGUUGCCCCUCUCAUUGAUGAUCUCGACUAGGGCGUCAUACUCCUCAUCAAGACCAUUGACAAUAAACGAGUUGAACUCGGAGUCGGUGAGGGGCUGUCCAAUGGAGGCCAGCGUGUCGGCGAGACUCUUGACUUUGUUGUAGAACUCAGUGGCGGUGGAGUCAAGCUUCUGACACUCCCCAAGUUGGCGACGGAGCCCAGAUACACGAGCCUGCGACUGUGCCGCAAACGAGCGCUCAAGAAUAGUCCAUGCCUCGUGGGACGUCUUGGAGAAGACAACAAGCCCAGCAACGGCCGGAGAGAGCGACCCCUGGAUGGAGGAGAGGUUCGCCUGAUCCUGCCCUGUCCAGACACGGUGAGCCGGGAUUAUAGACCGGACCGUGCACGCUGUCAACCAGCGCAGGAGGGCAAGGGAGAGAGCCGUCGACAUAGCCAAGCAGAUAGUGACUCCCAAGAAGCGGAAGAACCUGCGCGCGCCAGAAGAUGUAAUUGUCCGACGACAACUUGAUGGUGAUGAGAUGGCCGAAGUGAAACGGCGGCGGCGGCUGCGAUCCCAUCGAGGAGACUGGCUGAGGUGAGACCACCGUGGAGACAGUCAGAGGGGCAGCCGGCGCGGUGACAGAGGGCGCGAUGGCCGCGGUUGACGCCGCGAAGCCUGCCAGCGCGACGUCCUCCGCCACCAGCGGCGCAGUGGCCGAGGGCGCGACAGCCGCGGUUGACGGGGCGGUGGCGGUGUGGGCCACAAGCGCCUGCCCGGGCGAAGUAGCAGCCGGCGGGAGCGCGAAGAGGGAGCCGACGCUCCGUGUCCCGAUCGGCGCCUGAAGGGAGGCGGCAUCCAGCGGCCUCGAGAGAAGUGCCGCGAGGAAGGCCGGCAGAAAACCGGUGGCGGUGGAGCCGGACGCAGCGGCAGAACGUCAUAGCAGUCGGGCGACGGCGACGGCAGGCGCGGCGGUGGCGGCGGCGGCGGCGGCGGCGGCGGUUUAGGGUUUUUAGGCGGAAGCGGACGUAACCUAGCGUGAUACCAUGUAAGACAAUAGGCUUUGGGGGGAACCGGCACAACCCUCUAGAGGUGGCCUAUCACAUAUAUAUAUAUAAUGAGGUGGUAUACAACGUUACAAUAUACACAUGUAAAUACAGUCUAACACAUCGUGAUGGUCUUCGUCGUCCUCGCCGAUGCCCGUGGUGGCCGCGAGUUUGCGGAGCUCCUCGACGGCCGAGCCGUCCAGAACUAAGUCGUCUGUGCCAUCGCUGAGGACCAUGGCCACGACAUCGUGAUGAUCUUCGUCGUCCACGUCCUCGCCGAUGUCCGUGGUGCCCGCGCGCUCGCGGGGCUCCUCGACGGCCGGGCCGCCCAGAACCAAACCGGCAUCGGUUUCGUCGCUGUGGUCCAUGUCCACGACAUCGCAGUGGUCGUCGACGGCCGGAUCGCUCCAAGGCGCGCUCUCGGGAUCAGAAUAGCAGCGGUGCACGCGCGGGCGCAGCGCCGACAGUGACAUGGACAGGGAGCGCGGCGCCGUUUGCGGUAGACGUACGCGAGCAGGGGCGGCGGGCGGGGAGAAUGGGGAGGCCGGAUGCCGCCGUGGCGCGGUGUAAACCCUCGCGGCCGGCCCAAGACACGACGCCAUCACGUACCUGUCGACCGACUCGAUCUGUCGACGGGCUUAUUCGGUGCUUUGUCGGUUGAACCCAGGACCCGUACGUAUAUGGCGAGGAGAGCCUUGUCCUCGCCGUUUUAUCCCCAAAUCGUUUCCUAUACUGAGGCAACCCAGAUCCUGAUUCUAAUCCCGAGUCGCUCAUGGGUUGGCCGAGCAAAACACUGACCGCCACCGCCCCGUCUGCUCUCCUUCUUGCCUGUAUCUUCACCGAAGGAGGAAGCUAGUGGACAAAGCCUGUCUGAUGAACGGUGGCGUUGGGCUCGUCUCCUUCCGCCCUACGAGUCCUCGCGGUCGCGGUUGGAGUGUGCCUCGCAGCGGAUGUCGGCCGCGGCCCAUCUCGCCGGUGGUCAUGCCGCAGCGGCUUCGGGGAGGGGUAGCGUGGUGGCCUGCUUGUCCGUGCGGCGGCAGGUCCAGCGUGGCUGACCUUGGGGCGGCAUGCGAGGGAUUCGGAACCAAGUGACUUGAUCUGACGGUCGCAAAGGCGGUUGCCGUUGUAUGGGCGACAACGGGGGCUUGCGUGAGGGUGGGUGCUCCCUGUAGCUCCUGGAAUCGGGGCGGUGGCCCCUCUUCUUCGACAGCGCGGCAGACUCUAUGGUGAUAUGGUCGUGUGUGUGACUCAGAGUCUAGAUCUGGAGGUGGUGACGGCCUUUCUGAGGCUGGUGGCAGUACAGGAUGUCCCCUCCAUCAACAGACCGUGUUCGAUGUGGCUCGGCAGAUGACACAUGCGUCUUUUUUGGAGUCAUCGGGCAAUGCCUGUCGCCGGCAGGUGAAGCCACCGGCAGAUGCUACGCACGACACGUCCCAUGUGGGGACGUCAAAUCAUGCCUGCUAUUGGCACGUGUUGCACGGUGACUCUAGCGGAGGUCUCAUCUCUAACUUGUUGCUACUGGAUCGAAGGUGAUGCAACAGUGGUAGGAGGCAGGCGGUAUGGGAUGUUUGUUUUCUGGUGUCUUCUCUAGAUGUAUCUGGGUAUCGAGGUGUCAGUAACCGGAUAAAGGAUGAUUGUACAUAUGGCUUCAAUGACGACUUUAUGCACUCCGAUGGAUACACAAGAUCUCGGAUCAGGCUAUGUCGACGCGCGCGUGCGUCGUAUGCUUGCUAAAGGUGAUGGAUUGAAGCUUGCCUUCGGUGAUGAGAAUCCUGAGUUCGACCUUGUAUUGGACUCGCCAUCAUCGACGCUCGCGCGGUGAUUCCUUCUUGAAGGCGUAGCCUAGGCGUUGUGUAUUUUCCGUUUUGAUGUCGUCUUGUAACACAUGGUUAGUGGUUAUCUGGUGGAGUUACUGUCGCGAGGCAUUGUGGUCUCAGGUUUUCUUUUCGCUUUAUUUCCAUGUUGAUGUUGUUCGAAUGUUGAAUUUUUCAUUCUUAAUAAUAUAUGGUUGUAUGAAUCGUUCUGAUGCAGAGGCCGGGGGCUAUCCUCCUUUUCGAUAAAUUUUUUUGCCAUAAAAACGUUCGAUUUGACAUGGUCAAAUCCCAAACGUCCGGGAUUUAUAAUAUCCGUACAUCUUAACUCCUAAUAUGCCUCUUUAUAUAUUUAACUCCUUAUAUAUAAUUUGAGGAGUUAGACGGUUGUCGGACCUGGACGAAUACCUAUAUUUAUUUUCCUACAGUUUUUUACCAACUCUUUUAGCCUUUUUUUUGUCACAUACACUUCAUACACUUCAAACAAUUGCACGAUGUUUCAUCAAUCAUUUGCAAGAUUCAAAUUCAACAUACACAAUAAAUCAACCAUAAAACAUGCUAUAGUGCUUGCAUGCACUUUUCAUUGCCAACUAGUUCUUUAUAACAAUGGUGCAAUGUAAAUGCCUUGCCGCCAUUCUUCUUGUUACGUUGCUUGUAUAGGCUUAGAUGUAUGACUUGCACCUCACUCUGUGGUACAUGGUUGACUUGAUCAACAUAAUCGGAUCAUCGGUUGCAUUGCUCUUGGAUGGUUCCCAACAGUGUCCAAGAGAGUCAUGUGUGAGGUUUGAAGAUAGGGUCAUCGUGUUGCAAUAGUAGCCUUCAGUAGUACUCCAAAAUCUUUCCUUGGUUUGAUCUGCACUAACAGAUGCAUUAAGCGAGACGUUCGUCCAAGCAUGGCACAAAGCAAUGUCUUUGUCUUGGGAAUUGAUUUGUGUCCUUAAUCUCUGGUUGGUUGUUGACCCGGUCAAAAUCAUGAAUCAAAUUCAAAAUUAAUUAUCUUAAUUGAAUGGGAGAGCUCUUGCGAAAUCGUUGACCCUAUCAAAAUCGUGAACCAAAUCCAAAUAUAACACCUCAAUUGAAUGUGAGGCCCCUAAAAUUAGGAAGCAUUGUGUAUUAGAUGAUGGAUAUUUUUGAAAAUCAUCUGAAUUUGCCCUCGAAUAACCCAAAUAGUGAGGGUUUUCUGCAAAUAGUGAAACAUUUUUCUAGACUCACUUAAUUAUGGACAAUGGUUUGAUAUAAAAAAAAGCAGGAAGCUUUCUGCAAAAGACAAAACGUUUUCCCUCACUCAAAUCUAGACCACGAGUUGAUUUUAAGAGACAGUAAGGGGGCUUCUAAAAAGGUAUGACAGACAGGAAUCAAGGAAUGUAAUGUUAGCGCGUUAAAAAAAAUGUAUCCUAUCAAUCUCUGGGUUGCUUACACUACCCAUAGUGGGAGUAACAUUAGGUGGUAAUAUCACACUUAUCUAGACAAAAUAGAUGACAUGUGAAGAAAUUAAUAACGAAAGAGAGAAAAUAGUAAGCUAAUUACUAUUAUGAGUAACAUCGCAUGUAUCAAGAUAAGAUGAGUCUGUAAUUUAAUAAACAAAAAGUUGCAUAACACCACACAUACUGUACUUUGCACUAUAAAAAUAGUAACAUAGAUUUAAGUAAUACUCCGAGUAGUACUGUUUAUUGCAUGCAAAACCUACUGGUGCGGUGGUUGCAUUGCAUGCAUGACGUUAUUUUCAUGGGGACGUAACGUACAGUACUCGCCGGCUGGCCGGGUUCAAUGGAAACAGAUGGAUUUCCUCUAGGAUAUCGUUCUUCGAAGCAGCGCGGGCAUGUCUCAGGGCAAACUCCAACGCGCUCCCCCAUCUCCUCUUGUGGGCGUCCGUUUGGAGCAGACGGAUAAAAAAGGCUGCCCAACCGUAGAUUCUAUCUCACUUUUUGAUCCGUUUUGUAUCUGUUUCACUUCAUCUCUUGAUCAAAUUUCGUCGUGAUUUGGGUCCAAAGCGGGCAGAAAGCGGAUGCUCCCUGUGUCUCAGCGUCUGUCUAUGUUCGCUGCAUGCAAAUGAUAGCCCAUUUGUCAUCCAAACAAAGGGACCCAUCACCACCCACCGCACCGCUCUCUCUCUCUCCUCUUCACCAACGACGCAAGGCCGGCGGCUGCGGCUCGGCGCGCAGGCGAGUUGUGGGGCGAGGCGCGGCAGACGGGAAGCGGCAGGGCGGGGCGNNNNNNNNNNNNNNNNNNNNNNNNNNNNNNNNNNNNNNNNNNNNNNNNNNNNNNNNNNNNNNNNNNNNNNNNNNNNNNNNNNNNNNNNNNNNNNNNNNNNNNNNNNNNNNNNNNNNNNNNNNNNNNNNNNNNNNNNNNNNNNNNNNNNNNNNNNNNNNNNNNNNNNNNNNNNNNNNNNNNNNNNNNNNNNNNNNNNNNNNNNNNNNNNNNNNNNNNNNNNNNNNNNNNNNNNNNNNNNNNNNNNNNNNNNNNNNNNNNNNNNNNNNNNNNNNNNNNNNNNNNNNNNNNNNNNNNNNNNNNNNNNNNNNNNNNNNNNNNNNNNNNNNNNNNNNNNNNNNNNNNNNNNNNNNNNNNNNNNNNNNNNNNNNNNNNNNNNNNNNNNNNNNGACGAAGCGGGGCGGGGCGCGGGCGGGCGGGCGCCGACGAGGGCGGUCGAGUGUGGGCGCGCCCCCUACGAGGGCGAGCAGGAGAAGCCGGGGCGGGAAGGGGCGCGAGUGAGCGCAGCUGAAGCGCGGCAAUGACGCGGGCAGGGCAGGGAUGGCGCAGGCGAGGGCACGGCCAGGGCGUAGGGUGGCUGGGCGCGACGCGGCGGGGCUGCGAUGGAGUGGGCGAGGGCACGGCCAGGGCGUAGGGUGGCUGGGCGCGACGCGGCGGGGCUGCGAUGGAGUGGGCGAGGGCGGCCGGGACGCGACAAGGGCAGAGAUGGCGCAAGCGGGGCGCGGCCAGGGCGGGGAUGCCGUGAGUGGCAGGCAGGGCUGGCUGCUGGUGGUGGCGGCAAGGGCGGGCAGCAAGCGACGAAGCCAAGCGCGCAGGCGAGCUCGAUGGGGCGCGGACGCAUGCUCUAAAGGCGGCAAGGCGCGUUGCCGAGGCGUGGCGUGGCAGGCGAAGUGCAGCCGGACGUUUUGGGUCGUCUUCUGCGUUGGGCACCUCCAACAAAAACCGAACAUGCAUGCCUGUUUUGGCAUCCAUUGCCAUAUUAAACGGACGAAAUCUAAAUGAACCGAACGUCUAUUUGGGGUUGUGCGUUGGAGUUGGCCUCACAGUAUUAACUUAGAGACGCUCGGUCGCGCGGAACGCUUGCUACACUUGGACGUACGCGUGCGUUGCCGAUAAGCCGUCGACGCGUACGUAUGCCAGCUAACACCAUUAACUGCUGCUGUUUCCUUCAUGACCUUUGCACUUUAAUUCUGUUACUUGCAAUAACUAAUGCAUCUUCAUUAUGACUAAUGAUGUGUAUGCAGCACGUAUUCAUUUUGUUCAGCUGGUAGCGUACGGAAGAAGUUUGUGCUCCCGGAGAGAACUCGCCAUGCGUCUACGGCAUCACCAAGCUGCUGCAGGGAAGCCUAGGGAUGUAGAUGGCGCAAUAAACGGCGCCGCAAAUCCAGUUUAGUUAGCUCGAUUGUUCAUUUUCCCUGAAUUUUUCUUAUUGAACUGUUAGACCGAUAUAAAUGAGCUUAAACAGGACCAGUUUACAUCCGGAAGCCGCCGGGGUAAUACCCACAGCAUCAGCAGCUCCUCUCACCCUCUUGGUAGUGGCCACAAGAUAUAAGAUAUAGGAUAUACGAGGAACGGAUGGCUGUCACAACAAAUUAUGCGGAAGUGCAAAAUCACCUUGGAAACCAGGCCGCAAAUAGGUAGUGGAAGAUGCUUGGAAAACGAAGUAAAUAUGUGCUAGUUGCAACCUAUCCCUGUACUACACAUGUUCACCUGUAGCAAUGCUAAGAAGCAAACCAAGUGCAUAAGCAGCAACAAGGAUAUAACCAAAAUAGGCAGCAUAAUUCACAGUUUGUAAAAAGGAACUCAGCUAACAAAACAUCAUGUUUGCCGGGGGGAAACAGGUACGGUAGAAAAACAUCAUGUUUAUCUUGUACAUCUGACGGGUUGUCUUUCCUAAAGACAAACAUCUGAAUUUGUCACAGAAAACUCAAGUCAUAUUUUUCUUCAACUGUGUAUUUAUCAAGAAUGUCAGCAGGUAACUGAUUAGGCACAACGGAAGCAAACACAUUAGAUCGAAAAAAGGUUGAUCAUAUAUAGCAGUAUCACCGCUAGGUGGAUAUAUCAUCAGUCAAUGGCAAGACCAUAAAUACGUACCAACAUUAGUGAAAAUAAAAGAGGCAAGUAUCCAACCAUCAGAGAUUCAGAGGUCUUACAUGUCUCAUUAAAUUCUGAUAUUUGGAUUUAACAAUCCACAAUGCCACAAUCGAGCUUUUUUCGAAAAGCACUCCACAUGUUUCGUUGUAAUUCGCCUUUUUAUUUUUAUUUUGUGUGAGAGGAUCUUACUUGGUUGUGUGCAUCUUAGUUAUGCAGAGGCCGGGUGUAAUGCCACAAUCGAGCUAACUAUACAAUAAUGCAUCAGACAUAAUAAAGGAGUAAUUAUUUGAAAUUACUCCCUCCAAUCCAUAAUAGGUGUUGUGGUUUUAGUUCGAAUUUUAACUGAAACUACUGCACUUAUUAUGGGUCGGAGGGAGUCCAUCUCAAAUAAUCUUUUGCCAAAUUAAAGGAGGUACAUUUCAUUUGAUCAAAUAGAGAUAAAAUGUGCAAUAAAAACAUAAAAUAGCUGAAAAGAUCAGGGACGGACAGGCUCACAUGUCGUUGUAAAGUGUGACGGGUUGAUGGAACAGAAAGCCACUCAUUCCAAAUUAAUGAUACCAGCUUAAUGACCAUCGCUUCACACAUAAGGCAUACACCAUGUGCUUGGGAUGACAAUCCUAGAGAAAACAAUCAACAAGGUUUAUUUUCCUUAAACUCUGUGUUGUUUUCAUCACAUCAGAGAAAGUAGCAACUUAGAGAAUCAUAAAAUGCAAUCAGGUACAUCAGGUAAUCAUAAGCUCAUAGAACAUAUAACUAUAACCUUUUGGACCAUCCUAUCAUGCUAUCUUCAGGCGAAAUAAAAAUGAAUGUUAAGUGUUUUCAGCAAGCCUACUAUUAAAAAUAAAUGAGGGGAAGCUAAUAGUGCACAUGUAAAAGCAUAGUUGUGAGUAAGAAGUACAUUUACAGUCAGCUUGUGUAAUCUCUUUUCUUAUAACAUAUCAGGGUAAACUGAGACAUAUUUUGGUUAUGCAUCUAGCAAUAGGGGCUGAGGGAAAGGAAAGAACAGCUGGGCAGAAAAAUAAAUACAAGGACGCUUGCGACCAUGCUGCCCAGCCACACGGCAAGCAUCAGCCAUCAAGAACCAAAAUUCAAAUAGCCAACCAUCAUCAAACCAAGUAGAGUCAACAAAUUGCGCUCAGGAACACAAAUGGCUAGCCUCAGAACAUCAUAGCACCAAGAAAACAGAAAUCAAACCACACAAACCAAAAAUAGUACAACCCACAAAAACCAAUGAUGCAUGAACAAACUAAACAAUUUCAGUCCGUGGCCACCAGGACAACAGCUCUAAUCUUCUUCCAGUACCACUAAUGAAUGGACCAUAGUACGGCCGUGAACUCUCGUUUCCCCACUCCUGCCGCGACGACACUUGAAAAGGAAAAUGUUAGUCUCGCAGGUGAGCCACCCAGAGGGGAAACAAUGUCCAGAAGCUGGCAGAGUUGGCCCACACGCUCCCCAAGCCCGACGCAGGAGAGAGCUCCUUUUCCAGGGAGCAUAGUAACUGUAGGGAUGAACCAAACUGGGGUCCUGACUGCUAUUAUCUUUGCUAGCAAAAUCUUGCGCAACUGAUUUGCCCCCUUUUUUGUAGCAUUGCUUGGCAAAUUUGUCUCUCACAGGAAAAAAGCUCACCAUUUCAAUGUGAAGAAUGAUCUUUCAGGGUGACAUAAGAAUUUGCUCAUAACUUCCACUACCAUGACACAUGCACAAAUGCAUAGUUUGGAAGCACCAUCAGGACCACACAUUUAAGCCAAAAGAGCAUGAUCUACAAGCACUUAACUAACAGGCGCAGGUUUUGCAGCACAUAUGGAGGAUUAAUGGUUUGACAUCUGUAAAAGCUAAGCCUCAUGUGGCACAUCUCACAGGCAGUAAUGCAUGAUCAGCAGCAUAGAUACAAGAGAUUAAGGGACACAUUUUUUUUCCUAUUUAAUUAGCGCUUAAGUACUCCAACCAAAUCCAUGAACCAAGGAUCAAAAUAAUUGCCGCACACACAAGGAUCUCAUUUGCAUCGUCAAAAAGAAGUGCAGAUCACUAAAGCAUCAACCGAUUAAACCCAGAUUACACUUAUCAGCCCAAUUUGUUUUCCUUUUUAGGGAUCGGUAAGAUUGAUUAAAUUUAACAAUGCUCAUGUCUAAAAAAAAUUAUGCACCACAACAGAACUCUAAACAGAUAAUUUGCAGUAAUCCAAAUAUCUAUAAACAGAACAAAGGAACAAUAAUCUGUACAAUAGUAGAUCCUUUGUGAGCUUUCUCGGUGGUAUUUCGGUACAGUAUGGCCCACCUGCUGAUGUAUUCUCCUCUGUAUGCUAAGUCGUAUCUGCGGCAAAAAGUUAAUCGACACACAUCAGAAGCCAACCUGUACCGUCCAGAUUCAAAGAGCACCUGAGCUCGGGAGUCAUUUCGCUGCUCCCCUGUCAUUUGACUGAUUUCUAAUUCAGUCCCAGUCGAAUUUUGCAAGUACAUAGGAUGACGCAUGACACUGUCAGCUCUGCCAACUCGCUGAACCCCGCUACACAAACUUAAGGCUCUGUUCACCUAGGGGAACUAAUCCCUGCAGGGUUUUGGAGGGAACUAAGUAGUAUUUUGUUACCAUGAACAACACAGUGCCUCUUAGCUCUGUCUAUAAUAUUCACUUGAUUUUGUCAUAGAUUUACCAUAUUGAACAAAGAGAGUUGCUCCAGCAAGUGAAUAGGAGUGGACUGCACUGCAUCCAGCUCUGCAUGAAUGGAGUCUAGUUGCUGCUGGAGAGGUCUCUUGGUUCUGCUCCAUCUUUUAAGGGAACCUGCAAGCUUGGAAGUUCUUAAAUGGAAAGGUUUAUUGCAAGAACUGGACCAAGCAGUUUGAACAGUCGCCUGAAAAUCACUUUCAAAUAACAACAAGUUUAGAAGUUUUCUUAGAUUUAACAGUGGCCGGAUGGAAAUGGUAAGAAUGGUAGCAUGGUCACUGUACAUAAUGGGCAGGUUAUAAACAGUACAUAAUGACCAUGGUCACUGUACAUAAUGAGCAGCAACAGGAUAUAACCAAAAAGGGUAGCAUAAUUCACAGUUUGUAAGAAGGAACUCAGCUACAAAAACAUCAUGUUUACCACAAAAAAAAGGUAUGAUACAAACACAUCAUGUUAUCUUGUAGUACAUCUGACGGGUUGUCUCUUUUAAAGACAAGCAGCUGAAUUUGUCACAGAAAACUUAAGUCAUAUCUUUCUUCAACUGUGUAUUUAUAAAGAAUGUCAACAGGUAACCGAUUAGGCACAAAGGAAGCAAACACAUUAGAUAGGAAAAUGGUUGAUCAUAUAUAUCAGUAUCACCGCUAGGUGGAUAUAUUACCGGUCAAUGGCAAGACCAUAAUACUCACCACAAUUAGUAAAAAUAAUAG